RNAcentral lists this long non-coding RNA (91900 nucleotides) under Jatropha curcas. RNAcentral's name for it is "long non-coding RNA (JCUR_LNC002689)". Lineage: Eukaryota; Viridiplantae; Streptophyta; Magnoliopsida; Malpighiales; Euphorbiaceae. The record is from RNAcentral.
GAGAGAGAGACCUAUGCACAUUGAGAUUACUCCAAAGCGGCAAUCCUUCCCACGACGUUUCAUUUCAUGCAAAAUAGUUGAAACACAGCGAGCACCUAUGCAAAAAGCAGCAGGUCACAUUACAAUUAUCGCCAAUUAACUGAAAAAAUGAUUUCAAUAUCAAGCUAAACCCUGCCAAAUUUAUGUCUUAUUGUUUUGUUUUUUGUUUCUGCUAUUCUUGGAUUGAUUUUAUUAUUAUUAUUAUUAUUAUUAUUAUUAUUAUUAUUAUAGAGCCUAUCAUGCAUGAUCCAACAUGUCUUGUUGAAUUCUUGGCAGGUAAUAUGUAUUGGCAAAAAUCAUAAGAUCUCAUAAACCAUCAGAAAAGGCAUCACUGCAAGUACCUGUAGCGCCCAAAGGAUGCCCGAGUGCAAGUGCACCACCAUUGACAUUAACCUUUUCUGGAUCAAGCCCCAAUUUCUUAAUACAAUAAACGUAUUGAGAUGCAAAUGCCUGAACAAAGAACAAUAGGUUCCUUAACUCCAAUCUUACACUUUUGCUAAUAAUACCACUAAAAUUAUAAGAAAUCAUUCAUUACCUCAUUAAUUUCAAACAGGCUAAUAUCAUUAAGUUCUAGUCCAGCAGCCUUCACUGCAGCAGGAAUUGCAUAAGCUGGGCCUACUCCCAUCACAGCUGGAUCCACACCAACAGCAGCAAAACUCCUGCAAGAAAAAGUGAGUAAUUCAUCUUAUUAUCCUUGCAUGCGGAUUUAUUCUCAAUUUCGAUCAUAAAUUGACCCCCUUUCUCAAAUCCAAAAUGAUAUGAACAUGCUAGCAGUAUACUUCACAUUUCUCUACUGAUAUUGGGUUAUCAAUAUUGAGACUGACAGAGACUGACUAUAUAAUCAUCUUCUCUCUGUUUUCUAUUUAUUCUUGAAAUAAAGCAUUCCACAAUACCCAGUAAUUGUAUGACUAUAUCAAAACCAGAUGUAAAAGAAAUGGAAUUAAUUGAUGCAGAAAAUAGUAAAUACGUAUUCUUUUGUCAAAUAGAGAUAGUCAUGGUAUAGUUUAUGAUCAAGUAUAAUACAAUUAGGAGCAGGCAAUGAUCCGUUGCUAGACUUAUCCUUGUCCACGAAAGGCAAGUACCUGAAAACACCAAGAAUUGGAAGUCCCUUCUUCAAAGCUACACUUCUUUUCAUAAGGAGGACAGCACCAGCACCAUCACUCACCUGGCUAGCAUUACCUAAGAUGGCACUACAGUCAGAUUUCAAUUGUAGGUUCCUUAGGUAGAAGAUAUUAACUGGAAAUAUUAAAUACCAGCAGUUGUGCACCCAUCCUUUUUGAAUGCAGGCUUCAGCAUGGAAAGAUCUGCAAUGUUCGUUGUUGGUCGAAUUCCGUCAUCCACUGAAAUUGUGACAGACUUCUGUUCACCAGUUUUGGGGUCUACAAUCUUCAGAAGCCAUCACACACAAAACAUGAGGAAGAAGAAGAAAAAGAAGAUGGAACCUCAUUAUCAUUCAUUUUAUGUAUUUACCUUUGUAGAAACUGGUACGAUCUCAUCUUUGAAUUUACCAGAUGCUGUUGCAGCAGCUGCUUUCCUAUGAGAUUCAACCUUUUAUAAAGAUAACAAGUCAAGACUAAGUUACAUUAUGUCUGCAUAAAAAGAUCAUGCCAUGUUUAAAGUUUUAUAGAGCUUACAGCGGCCUGGUCUUGCUCUAGCCGUGUUAUACCAUAACGCUGUGCAACAUUUUCAGAAGUGAUACCCAUAGGAAGAAGACAAUCUCGGGCUUGUGCAAAGAUUUCUACCUGUUAAAAACAUUAAUAAAGUUUAGGAAAACAAUUCAGAGAUUAAUUAGUCCUUCAGGAAAACAAAGUUUGUGGAAUUACUUUUGGGUUAACUUGGCUAACGAUGUCAAUUUUAUCCACUGUCAUGCUUUCCAACCCAGCUCCAAUGCCUAGUGUUGGAAAGAACAAGAAAAAGUCAAGCACAGUGAAGGUGAUCAAGAUAAAGUGAGAAACACAUAAUUCAGUAUCACUGUUACCAAUGUCAUAAAAUCCAGCUUUUAUGGAAGCAGCAACAUCAGCAACUGCCUGCAGACCAGAUGAGCAUUGCCUGUUGACUGUUCUGAUGGGCACCGUUUCUGGUUGAAAGAGAGCAAUAAUACUUAAAGGGGAAAAACUCUGAAGAGCAUUAUUUGUAGAAAAACGUUCCGGUGUUCCUUUUCUAACCAGAAAACAUAUAAUUCUUGUGUUUAACAUUAACUUUCUCAACCAAUCCAAAAUUUUGUUAAUGCCAGCAAUUUGAACGGGCAGGCAGGUACAUUUUCAGUUAUAUGAAAACGAAUACAUUAUGUGGAAUCCAAUUAUUGAUAAAAGAACUUAAAAUAGCUAAGCAGCGAGAGAAGUAAACGAAAAUCAUACCAGGAAAACCAGCAUAGAAAGCUCCCAUCCUGCAUUCAAUUGCCCUUAAUGAGCCAGGAGCUAGAACUGUACCAACAACUAUGUCCCCUACUUCACUUGGAUUAACAUUUGUUUUCUCUAUUAGUGCCUACAACGAAGUUCUCGAAUUUGUUAAGGUAGAAACUCAAUUUCUUAAUAACAAAAGCAGAACCAUUCUUUUCAGAAUCUUCUUAGAACCUAAAAUAUCAAAGACAACUCAGGCUUCAGACAUCUAACCUUCAAAACUGAGCCAAUAAGGUCAUCAGGAAGCGUAUCUUUGAAACCACCUUUCUUGGCUUUGCAAAUGGCAGUACGAUAAGCACUGUUUACAUUAGGCACGUAUAACAGAGAAAAGGAUGUCAAAAAAAGGCAGAGAAUAUAAUAUAUAUAUAUAUAUAUAUAUAUAUAUAAUAUAGAUAAACAUUUUUCUUCAAAAAUCAAGAAACUUACGCUACGAUCACAACAUCAUCACCAGAAACAGCUGUCCUGCGAUACGCAGCACCAUUUCCAGCAGCACAAAUUGAAGUCUAACAAAUAAAAUCAGCAACAAUGAUAGGAAAAACAAAGAUUCAACUUCCAGAACAAAUGAAACAUUGUAAUAAAGUAACAACAUAUCCCAAAAAUAAAAUCAAAACAUAGUAGCAAAUUAAACUGCCCAAAGACCCGUUAUCUAUACAGGACAUAACACGAGACAAGUUGAUGUCUGUUAUACAAAUCAACGAAAUAGAAGAUAUUUCAUUUUUUAAUCUUCUGUAAGAAGUUUCUCUAAAUGAUACUGAGAUUAAAGUCUCCUCCGAAUGAGAUUUUGCAUAAGUUGGUUCCUUUUGGACCAUAAAUCAUAGGAAACAUAACACAAUUAAUUCAAAACAAUCAACCCAUGAUUAAAAUCAAGGUUAAUUAUCUAACCCCUGUAAUUACAAUCAAGAAUAAUUAAAAUUUUCACUUCAAAGAAAACACUUUUUUAGUUCAAAACAGAAAAAAAAAAAUUGAUUAAACACAAAACACACGUCAAAAAAAGACCAUAAUGGAUCAAAAUAAGCUUACAGAAAGAGAGGAUGACUUCUGGGUAUGAGAAAGAAACGAAGAAGAAGAAUUGGGCUGCAGAUGACCGAGAAGAACUUUCUGUCUGUUCCCUGCCUUCUCCAUUUCUGUGUUUCUCAGUUAAAAGCGACAAUGUUACGGAAAAAUCGUGUACUUUGGAAAAUAAUGCAUGCUGAUAUAAAUAAGCAGAGGUUGUCUUGGAUUGGACAGAUUCAUGUGGACCCUAUCGCUUAAGUGAAAGAAACCUGAAUAGGAAUAGUCAGCAAGUAGUAGCGAUGUUUCUUUGGAGAUUUCGGAGAAAAGACAGAGACAGUGCUCCACGUUUUCCAAAAUAGGCGUUAGGUAGGGGUAUUCGUCAAACCGCUCAAACCCGCAAAUCCAAACCGAUUAAAAAUUGUGAUUUCAAAAAUUAAUGGUUUGAGUUGAUUUUGUAAAAGUUAAAAUUGAGCUUCUAAUUUAGUUUACCAAAACCUCUCAAACCGUGUAUAUAUUUAAAUAUUUAAACUUUUAAAUGAUAAAUAAUUCAAUUUAAUUUUGUAUAAAAAUUUCUUUUGGGUCGAUUAAUUUAUAUUGGAUAGUAAUUAAAUAAUAAUUUUAUAAAAAGUUUAAACGUUAAAAAUUUAUGAAAAUAGAUUUAGUAUAUAUUAUGUGUAGAAUUAGAGUUUUUAUAAUUUUUUAGUAAUAAAUAUAAAAAUAAAUCAAAUUUUAUAUUUUAUAUUUAUAAAUUGAUUCGCUAACGUUUUAUUGAAUAUAUAUUAUUUUUAUACCAUACUCAGAAUAAAUGUAAAAAAAAUUAAUUAAAAUCUUUUUUAUAACUACUUAAAAUCAUGUGUAUUCUAUGUCAUGAUUUGUAUUAAUUCAUUUUUCAUAUUUAGUAUAAUGUUAAUCAUUUUUUUUUCUCAUUAACUAUAUGACUAAGGAAGUUUAACUUAUCUUUUUUCAAAUCAAACUAAAUCAAACUGUUAAUAAAAAUUUAAUUUGUUUUGAAAUUUUUAUGAUUUGAUUUAAUUUUGAAUUUUUCAAAUCUCCACUUUAAAUUUGAUUUAAUUAUUAUAUUUAAAUCAAACCAAACUAACUCAAGAAAGAGGCCUAACGUUAGGUAUUAAUUGAGUUUCUCAUUCCCACGCCUCUUGUAACAACUUUUUAAAAUUUUUCCUUUAUCAAUUUAUUUGUGCAAAAUUUGAUAAUGCUAGCUUAAAAUUUUUUAUCCUUAACUAAUAUUUUUUUUCUGAGAAUUUAACUAAAAUUUUUUUAAUCCCUAAUUAAAUUUGCAAGAAGUCAAGCUUUUAAAAUUUAACACUCUUGUAUAUCCAAAUAAUAUAAUAAAAAUUUUUCAAUAAUUUGUAAUUUUUUAUUUUAUGGCACUCUUUACUUCUCUGUAUAUAUAUAGUACAUUAAUAUUUAUAAAAAUGUUUUUCUCUCUUUAAAAUUUUAAUAAAAGGGUAUUAGUAAAUUAUAACUACUUUUUUCUAAAAUUAAACUCGUAUAAUGAUUUUUUUUUAAUCCUUGUAUAAUUUGAUUUUGUGGUACAUAAAGUGAAACAAAACUAUUCUUCGUGGUACGUAAACAUUAAACAAAUAGCACUUGUUAUUAAAAAAAAAAGCUCUCUUGCUUUUUUUGGUUAGGGCAGCCUUGGAAGUAAUGGCCCUAGCGUGUUAAGUGUGAAACACCCUUGGACGUCAAAUUGACUUUUUUAGAACAGAAAAAUUGGAAGUCAAACUGACUAAUACUUGCUUUUUCCUGAAAAAAAAAAAGAAAGCGAAAACUCGUGGUCAACGGUCAACCAUUUAUAAUUCCACAGAUGGCUUUCCUGUUUAUUUAUUAUUUUAUUUACUUAUUUUUAAAAAUAUUUAAAUGAUUAGGGUUUUUUCACUUGAGAAAAGGAGCUCGAAGCUUUAUUUAAUUAAAUCAAAAAGCAAUAUAGCUUCAAUGCAAUGAUAGACGGUCUUUCAAAUCUCUGAAAACGAGCAAGAGAAAUAAUCACUCCAACGAAAAAGUAAAUAGCCAUGUUAGCUUCUCUUCGAAUCUAAACCAAAAAAACAUAUACUAAUCAAUAAUGGAGAAUUUUUCUAAGUAAAAGAUAUAAAUAAACAACCAUCUGUCUGCAUCUCUGAAAGAACUUUCUCCACGAUUCACGCUUGAGGACAAGCAGGUUUUGGAGUAAGGGGAGUAGUAUUAGCACACCAAAUACUUUCUUACCUUAAGUUACAAGAGAUUCAUACAAGGAAAAUCUAGACCGAGUCACUGUAACUGAAGUUUCAUUGAUAUUGUUAUGGCUGGCUGGCAAAUUUUUUUAUUUAUUUCCAAUUAGUUGAAAAUUAGCAUCUAAUUUCUCACUUUAGCUGUGGUUAGUAACAGCUUUUUAAGUAGCUUUUAACGUUUUAAUUAAUAUAAUGUUUAAACUAAUUUUUAGAGGUUAAAAUAGUAUUUGUAAAAGUUGACUCGUACGACGUUAAGCAUAAAAAGCUGCUCAAAUAGCUAACAGCUAAAUACUAUUAAAACAGCUAACGGCUAUCAAACAGUUACUUUUAUCAAAUAGACACUUUAUUUCCUUGUUUUAGGGUGGGUAUUCCACCAGGCUAUAUUUACAAACAAGUUAAUAACAGAUAUCAUUUAGAAUCCAAUAAUAGUUUUGAGUACUUAAAACUCCAGAUUUGCAGGUUCUUUCUAAUGAGAGAACAUUGCAAACAUGGGUAAAAAUAUAAAAACUACAUGCAGAUCACCUGGGAGUUUUAAUGGAGAUAUUUCAGUGCAGGUACUUCUAUUACAAAAGAAUAAACAAAUGAAGAUAUUUCAUUAUCAAAGGUCAGAAAUCACAAUCAACAGUAAAUCUAUAAACUAUAUAUACUCAUGCUCACCAUCAAAAGUUCUCAUCUUUACACCACGGGGCUUCUAUACAAGAGAGAAUUAGCCAAUCCCGGUGCUUGAAGAUAGAAAGAGCUGCCCUUAUGUACACUAUUGAUUCGUUGGUACUUUUGGCUUCAUUGGUCUUGUCUGAAUAUUUUGUCCCUUUGCCUGAAGCACCAUAGACAUAGCUCGAAGCCUAUUUGUUAUCUCAGUAAAUGAUGGCCGAGAAUCAGGGUCAGGUGACCAGCACUGUUCCAUCAACUUCCUCCACUCGGGGUCACAACUUUCCGGAAUAGGAGGUCGAAGAACAUUUUUCACUAUCCCGCCUUCAAUAAAAUUCAACAAACAAACAAGAAUAUAAACAAACAACCAAACAAAAAAAAAAAAGGGUUAUCUAACACAGAAAACACAUCAAACAGAGAGAAGAUCAAUGCAUGAAAACAAAAAGAAACCAAGAGAAAGAGAUUUAAGAAGUCUACAAACUCCUACUGCACUGCAUGGAUCAUCCAAUCCAAAUUCUGGCCACUGAUAUGUCCAUCACCAACCUCUAUGCAACAUAACACAGCUCAAUUUGCUGAAGAGAAGAACUGGAUCUAGUAAUUAUGUGAAGCACCAUCAGGUUUUUGCCCAGUUCAAUAAUGUGAAGAUGAUUGCUAAACCCAAUCUUUUAACUUAAGAGGACUCGCCACGGUUAGUAAUACUCUGUGUAUGGCCGUGAUCUUAUUGAAAGAGGAUAGCAAUUAGGAUUGAUUUAUUAAUCCUAGUGCGUGUGUUUGUCCAUUUACGCAAAACCAUGAAUUAGAUGGGGUGGCUUCAUUUUUUUUAUAUAUUUUGUUUCUACUUUUUUUGUUGGUUUUUAGCUAUGAAUUUGCUUCGAUUUACUGGUUUCAGUGAUGAGUAUAUACAUCUAUAUAACAGUUAAAAAGAUAAGACAACUUUUUGAUUAUUUAAAACUAAAAAAUAUUUACUGAUUUAGUAAAAAAAGAAAUAAUAGGCAAAAAAGGUAUUUUCCUAAUUAGGAUGCAACCUUUAAAUUUUUUAUGGUUCUAUUUGAACCAAUUGAAAAAAAUUAGGCAAGUUUAAAUUCUUAUCCAAUAUUUUAGCCUCUAUACAGACCAUAACAACUUUGAUACAAGAAAAAGAUUCCACUGCAAUUUUUAUCAUUGUCAUUUGGUACUGAUAGAGCAAUGGUGAUUCUAUUUCCUAAUGAAUGUACAAGGAAAAGCAAAAUGUCUUUUCCACCACUGCAUAUGUAGAUUUCCAAUGAAGAAUCAAUACUAGGUUUAGACACACACUUACCAAUGAUUGCACCACAAUGCAUAUCUGCAUAAGGUUCCUCCCCAGUCAAGAUCUCCCACAAUGAAAUGCCAAAUGAGAAAACAUCAAUCUGGCCAACAAAAUACCACUAUCAUGAUUGCCAUAUAACUGGAUUCAUAUUAGCAAGACAUAGAACGAUGAGGAUCAACUAACCUUCUCAGAUACCCGACUGCUGCUUCCGUUCAACAAUUCUGGUGCCAUCCAUGGAAGGGUCCCUCGCACACCACCAGAUACAAGAGUAUUGUGUUUGAUUCUCGAGAGUCCAAAAUCACCAACCUGAAAAUAAGGGGGAAAAAAGGAAUAUUCAAUACUUGAAAUCAGAAAAUCCUAACUGAAGUGCACCUUGUGUAGGAACAUCUAGAAAUUCACAAUUAUUAUUGCAUAGAAGUUAUGGUUUUUUUUUGUUUCGUUAGCCUCUCAUAGUCAUAGUCUUUAUUUUUAUAUCCUUUGAAUCAACUGAGUUGGCAGUAGGAUUUGAACUGUUUACUUUGCAUAUGGGUCGUAGGGGAUCCCUUAGAUUGACGAGCAAAUUGUCACACUUCAGAUCAAAGUGGACAAUAUUUUUUGAGUGCAAGUAUUCCAUGCCAAAAGCUGCAUCCAUGGCAAUUAUGAGCUUCUUACGAUGAUCAAGUGAUCUGCAUAAAACAAAAACAAGGCCAUGAAAUUACAAGUAUAACUAGAAGAUGCAGAUGCACAAUAAAACAGAUUGAAUUACCUAUCCUUCUUGAGUAGGACAUGUCUAAGCGAUCCAUUCACCAUAUAUUCAGUUACAGUUGCUAAGGUUCCUCCAGCCCCAUCUGGAACUACCCCAUAAAAUGCAACCACAUUUGGAUGGUGAAGAUUUGAGAGUAUCUGUGCUUCCCUCCAAAAGUCUUUUGUCUGCUCAAUCAAUGAACCAUCAAUUUUAUAUAAGACUGAAUAAUUAAAAAGCAAAAUCCAUAUAGAAGACCAUACUCAAAGUGACAAUGAAUUCCUCAUCCUUUCUCCUCUUGGUUUCUCUCCACUAAAUACCAGAUAUACUCAAAUCAAUUACUUAUUAAAACAAGUUCAUAAAUCAGUAAUUUCCUAAACACCAGCACGGUUCAAUUAAUCAGAUGUUUUGUUCUUCCCUCAUUCUCCAUUAUGGUUAUGUGCUACCUAUGUUCCGAAAUUUUAGGGAGCUCAUGAUCCUAAAAAAUUUGUUUGCUCCUUUGUUUGUGUAGUCAAAAUUUGUGAACAAGGACAAUUCACAACUUUUUACAUUUUAUAAAGUCUUUCCACAAAAAUACUUUUGGAGCAUAUCAAGAUAAUUAUCACAACCAUAACUAAGAUAAGAAAGCAUAAUUAUAAUGUGAACACAUAAAUUAGAUCUUUGAAAGUGCAAAAGAGAUGGCAGCACAAUGGCAGGGCAAAUCUUCAUGUCAGAUAACAAGAAGAAUGACCAGAUAAAUAAUCUCCGCUACUGAUAAUAUUCAACAACUGUUCUCCUGGUCUAAUGGCUAAUUUGAUUGUUAAAGUUUUAACUGGCAUGCAAGUCCCACAUAUCUUAAAAUCAACAUCAAACACCUGCGAAACUGAAAGCAGAUGGAAACAACAUUUCUUCAGAAAUCAGACUAUAGACAUAUGCUUUAGAACAUUUACUAAUCCAUACAAUGUUCUCCCACACUUCAGUCUCAGUGGCUGUACACAUAGGAAAAUGCUAUCCAUAUUUGUUACUAGGAACACUUAUAAGAAAUAUAUAGUAGAAACUUACCAAACGUUCUUGCUCUGACGAUCUCCCUGAAAAGCAGCUCUUUUUAAUUCUUUUAAUGGCAACAUCUGUUCCCCGCCAUUUUCCAUGGUAGACAGUGCCAUAAGUACCAGAUCCUAAUUCUAUUAGUUCUUCAAGAUCAGCAUUCUUUAUAAUCUGCAUACCAAUGUUAGGAAACUUCAGUUAAAUCAACUAAACAUAAAUGUAAAAGAGAAAUAAAGCAAAAUAUUGCACAUUUUUGAUGACUCAAAAUGCUGAAUAAUGACAAAUGCCGCAGAGCUAGGAUUUCAACAAAAGAUAAAAUGUACUGGGUACUCAUCUAACCAGCAAAUGUAUAAAUUGAACUUGCAUCAUAAGAUGAAGUCAAAACACUGCCCCAGUUUGUCAUAAAUAAAAAUAGGCUUCCAACUGUAGGCCUAUCUUAACUUAAAAAUGAUAACUACAUGCAAAACAUAAAGAGAGAAAGGGCUAACAUAUACGAUCCAGAGAUUCAGAAUCACAUAGGAUGUGCAAUAAAAUGCCCCAUAAUCGUAGGAGCCAAUAUGACUUCAUCAACACAUCAAGGAAGUUGCACAAAAAAACUUGUCAACCAUGCUCCAUCCACUACAGCCUAUUUUCACAGAGAUCCAGUAGCCAAUUUAUAGGUGAAAAAUCCCCUGUUGUUAGACAAUAAAAAAGAAGGAUAUGUAGUUUUUAAUUUCUUUUGGCAAUAGUUGUCAUGCGCUAUGGGAAACAGCCAAGUUGAUAAAGUUAUGUAUGACUUGGUAUAGACAGGAAGAACAUAUCAAAAUUAAGCAGUUUAUCUAAUUCUAUCGCUAAAAAUUUUCAGUUACUACUUCCUAGGAUGCAACUUUAAUUUCAAAUUAAAUAUUUAUGUGUAAUCUUGUGAUGAGAGAGUCAAAAUUCAGCACAAAUAUAAUUGUUUCAAGCGUGAGAAUUUGUACUUUUGCAAAUAAAUAUAUUAAAAACAGAAAAACUGUAAUUAACAACUAGAGCAUAACCUGCAAGCCAUAUAUGCUGGCUUCCAUUUCAGCCAUCACUGCGUCACUAAUAGAUGUAUCCUUAUUUCCAUCAUCAUCAUUUAUGUCCUGUAAACAAACCCAAGCUGCAAAUUAAGACUAGAAGUAAAUAUUUAAAGAAUAAAACUAGAAACUACACACACCAAAAAAACAGCAAUUUUUACCUCAAAUUCAGUUUCUUGCAUGAUACUUUCAUCUACUGUUGCAAUAGGCGAUAUAAAAUCACUGUUGGUUGGAUUGGCAACAGGUGGCUGAACAUGUGGGAUGAUACUGUCUGACCCUCUUGAGCUAGGAGCCACAAAGUCACUAGUUGUUGGAUCAGUGACAUACACAGCAACAUGUGGCAUAAUGCUUUCUGCCUCAGUUAUUGUAGUUGAUCUAAAAUCAUCACUGACAAGAUUGGCAACAUGUGGAACUGCAUCAGAAGAUUGAGCAGUAAGAGGUGUAGCAGCUUCCCCAGUAACUAAUGGUUCCCAUAGAUUUUGAUAUUGAUUUUUACUUAAUGAUUUUAUCUGAGCCAACAUAAGAUCCCCAAUAUUUGACUUAUCAUAAGCAGGUCCUCCAAAACCCAACUGCUCAACCUUUUGAUCAAGGUAACUUCCAUAGUUCUCAACAAGGUGAGAAACCUUUCUUUCAAAUAACGCAUCCUUCGUAACAUUAUUAGUUUUGCAAUGCAAGUCAUUUGCGUUUGUAUUUGGACAGGAAUCUUCACAGAAGCUAGAUGGGAUUUUAGGGCUUAGUAGCAAGGAGUCUUUGUUAUCCAUAUUCUGGCUUUCAAUAGGUUGAACUCGUGAUGAUUCAUGAAAAAAUUGAUGGUUUAAUGCCCCAGACACAAGAUCAACUGACGAAAUUUCACUGUGAGGCUGCAGUUGACAAAUGCUAAAUAACUCCUCAACAUCUAGCCUGCCAGUCUUUGUUAUGUGGCUUCCUUGUUCACUAUUCAGUUCUCCUUUCAAACUACAAUACUGAUUAUAAUCAUUCCCCUGGUCCAUCAGUAGGAGAUUAGAAGGGGCUUGGUAGUUGUGGGAGUGCUCCAUGAAGUCAUUUACAGAAGAUUUGGAAUUAAUGCCCGGUGAUGCAGUGAGCCUAUCUUCAAAUUUGCUCUCAUAUUCAGUACCAGCAGCUCGUAAUUUCUCCACAAAAGGCUUUUCACUUUGAUGAAAACCUGGAUUACUUCUGUCAAAUGCAUUCAUCAUUUCUGAACUUAACAAGUAUUCCUCACAAUGGCUUGUAAUUUGGCAUUGGUCAUCAGCAUCGACAGUAGCUUUCUGAAUAGGUUUAUCCCUUCCUGUUGAUUCUGAGCAUGAAGAAAAAUUGAGCAAAUCCAACCUGCUGCACGACUUAGUAGACUCAAUGUCUGAUAACUUAUUUUGCAGAGUAGGAUUGACAACAUUAUUGUUCUCAUGCAGUUGCACUAGCUUUUCUUGUGAAGAACUUGAGACUAGUGAAGAUAACUGAGUCUUGGCAAAGUUCAAGGGAGAUGAUGGACUCAUUCCCUCUUGAGAACAGUAGGCAGACAAACCCCCAUGCUCUUGUAGUUUUGAAUCAGAAAAGGCAUGUGGCAUGCCAUAAUGAGAAUCAAUGGAGUUCAUAGAUGCUGAUAGGCCUGUAGGAUCUUCCAUGCCCAAGAAAGGCUUCUCAGAAUGGAAUGCCCUUUCCUUAUGCAUAAGCCUCUCGAAAUAUAAAUCAUCAAAACUACCUUCCCUCAAAUUAAAAGCCCAAGGGGUUGCAAGUUGUUUGUCAAGGUUAUGAUUGUGGGAUUGCACCCCAUGUUGUUGGUGUGACUGAACAACAUCAACAUAGGGAUGACAAUGAUUCAUGAAAGCACCUAGACCCUGAGAGGGUUGGUUCAUGCUACAAUUAUCAGGUGGAAACUGAGCAGAGGCACAGGAAUUACUGUUCUCGACACUGGAGUUAUUACAAUGCAAUUUUUUGUGAGAAUUCGCAGAAUCUUGAUGCUGUAGAGGAAUUGGAGAAAUAGGAGGAGACUGAUGGGGAGAUCUGGGGGAUUCAUUUGAAAAUUUAGGAGGAAAAAAUGCACUCAAACCAUUUUUCAUCUCCAAAGGAGAAAAAGGAGAUGGAGAAUGUUUACGAAAGCCUGAAUUGCAAUCCAAAAUACUUUCCGGUUGACUGGCUUCACUAGUUGAACAAUCCCCACCUGAGUUUUUCUUAGGAGUAGUAUCUAAGAUGCCAUUUACAGCAACAACAAACUGGUAACUGGGGCUAUUUUGUUGGAUGGUAGUUGCCUCAAAAGGUGAUGACUUUUCACAUUCACACAAAGGAAUCAAAAAUAUUCGGAGCCUUUGAGAACCUCCGAGCUUUUCAAGCCCAUGGUAUUCCUCUAUCAUGUUUUGAAGGUCUUCAUCAGAAGAAACUGAUAUAAGAGCAUCAAGAUCCUCACCUGGAAGUUGAUACCUGAUGGAGUGAGGUUGGUUGCAAAUACAUUUCGUUUUCAUGACAAGUUCUUCCCAUGUAAGAUUCUUAGAAAUGGAGAUAAUGCGGGUUUCUCCUCCCACAUAUCUGAGCUUCCCAUCACUAGGCCUUGGCAAAAUUUUCCCUCCAGAACUGCAAAGGAACUUCAUCUUUCCUGGUUGAGAUCUAUCCAAAUUACUUGGCCCAUCAAAAUUAUUAAAAGAAGGGGAUUCUAUUGCAUGAACAGCUGAAGCAGAUGAACCCAAGCCAGCACUCCUAUCACAACUCAAUUCUCCAAAAGCCUUUCCUGAUCUAUGUAUACUAUCUCCAUCUUCCACGUUCAGCCUUUUUAGUUUGUCAACAUAAGCCCCGCUUUCAGUCUCUCUUAAAGAACCUUUUGCAGACACAAAAUUAGAAAUAUCAUCAGCAGAUUCAGAAUCCAUUCUCCUCAACCCAAGUAUACUGGCAAGAUCCUCAUAUCCCCGUUGAUAGUUUUGAUCAUCAAUAUGUGCAACUCUGUUUUCACAAUUUUGAGCUGGACUGAGUGGAGGGGGAUGGGGAAUUCCUCUAGUGGUCACACGAUCCUGGAGGAAUUGCAUAGAAAAUUCCUCGCCCGUCUGCACAGAUAUAUUAUGUGCAUUUUUCCUAUCUUGGGGACAAAAGGUGCUGAUCCCUGUUAUUGGACCCAUUGACUGCAGGGACUAGAUACUUCUCUGUUUGCUGAAUCCGCAGAUUUUUUUGCGAUAUUUAAUAAUUAUAUUAAAAGGAUAAGAACAUUGCUCUUCCAAUUUAAGGCACUAUUAAUUAACCUCUGCAACCAGAAAAUCAAGAACACAGAACGAACCAGCUCCUUAUCUCCCCAACACGAAUUCAAAUUCAAUUUUAAUACACCGUAGCAACGGGAUUCAACUUUCAUAAUAUCAAAUAUACCUCCAUACUGUAAUGGCCAUUAUCAAACCAUAAACACAGUUCCUAAGUUCACAAUCAAAUCAAAUCAAUGUGGACAGAGUGCUUGCAAGCUAGUACCAACUCCAAUCUAAAUCAAACCCCAAACCUUUACACAAUUAAAAAAAUCCCCUCUAUUUUAAAAAUUCAAUGUACAAUAAACAAUUGGAACUUCAAAAACCGAAAUGAAAAACUUGAGGUAUGCAUCUGUUCUAUACCCAAUCAGACUUCCAUUUCCUUGUUUCCAACCACACUAACUACAUUCACAAUCACAAAUAUCGCAGAUCCAAACGGCAAAAUUAAUUUUAUGGGAAUCAGUAAAAGCCAAUCCAUCCAAUAUCGCACGAUCUCCAAUUAACAUUAUGUACAUGAGACCUAAAAAGAUCAAAAUCCAGCUCGUAUUAACAAAAUACCUGUAAUUUGGAAAGGAAAAAGGUGCAAAAACUACGUAUCUGCUUUUUUAUGGUGUUUUGUAUUUUUAUAAAAAAAAAACCUCUUUACGACUACUCUUUCUCUCUCUAUAUUUCUCCAUUCAUUGAGUCUGGUUCUGUUGAGCUCCUGAGCUGCCAUUCCUGGUGCAUGGAAGAGAAUAAUUGAUUGCCAGGAUCCAAACGUAAGAGAAGGGACAUUGACUUCGAUUUUUUUGAAAGUGGAAAAAAUAGAGGAGAAGAGAAGAAAAGGAAGGGGUGGCUUACGCCUGUAGGAGGAUCAAUAUCGCUCCGGCAUGGAAAUUUGGAGAAGAGCGACAUUGCCGAGAAAUCAGCGUCAUCGACACGAGAGAAACUAAAAACUAAAAACCUAUCUUUUUAACUGUAAAUGAUUAAAAAAUAUUUAAAUUUCAUUAUUUUUAUAUUUUAUGAAUUUUUGUUUCCUUUUCUCUUUCCUACGUGGACUCACCCUUUGGAAGUUUGAAUAUGUUACCCUCCCAAAUCUGAAACGACAAAUGGACAAAAUGGAUUAAAAUAAUAUUUUUUCGAAAAUUAAAAAGAAUUUAAUAAUAUUGGAAAAGUUCAAAACUUUAGAAUUACAUGUACAUUGUACAAGUACAAGGUAGUUCCACUGUCCUGUCCACAUGCACAUUUUGCAACACGUCAUCACGUACGGCUAACGACUAGGCCACGUCGGCCUCGAUGGGCUCGAUGUCUCGGAUCCAAAUACGGUCCCAAGCUCAUGAACAUACCCAAUUAAAACAUUGAUAUUGAUAAAUAAUAAUCACAGCUAAACAACUUCAAAUCUUCAAUUAACAUAAUUAAUCUAAAAUGUUGACCUGAUCAGAAAACUCUUUUUAUAAUGAAACUCUUAGCCAAUCAAUUUUAUCUUAUCUUUUAUUAGUCAAACUCUUUUCUUGAAGAAUUAGAUUCUCUUUGCCAAUUUUCACAAUGGGGCAUUUAUGUUUUUUUUUUUUUUUUAAUAAAGUGUUUUUCACGUGUAAAUACUAAAUAGUCCAACUAAGAGUUCCAAUUCCAUCUCAACAAGUGGUGAAACGAUUGCCAUGCUAGUCAUUUUGUGAUAAAAAACUUUUAUAUUUUAGACAUUUAAAUAUAAAAAUAUUUCUUCUAAAUACCAAAUUAUAAAAAUUUAAAAGCUAGAAACCAAAUUUAUAAUUACCUCAAUCUUAUUAACAAAAAUUUCGACUGUCACAAGAUGUUUAUAUCCUUAAUUCCAAUUUCAGGACGUCUAUACAUGAGAAGAGAAAUUAGUACUUCUUUAAUUUGAACAAGGGAUAGAGAGACUCCUUCCAAACAAAUUAUCAGAAAAGAGGAAAUAAAACAACAAAACAAUUUUUUUUUUUUUAUCAAACAAACUUUUUUUAUUAUAAUAAAAAAAGUUUGUUUGAUAAAAAAAAAAAAAUUUUUUUUUUUUUAUCAAACAAACUUUUUUUAUUAUAAUAAAAAAAGUUUGUUUGAUAAAAAAAAAAAAAUUUUUUUUUUUUUAUCAAACAAACUUUUUUUAUUAUAAUAAAAAAAGUUUGUUUGAUAAAAAAAAAAAAAUUUUUUUUUUUUUAUCAAACAAACUUUUUUUAUUAUAAUAAAAAAAGUUUGUUUGAUAAAAAAAAAAAAAUUUUUUUUUUUUUAUCAAACUAACUUAUUUUAUUAUAAUAAAACAUUCCAGGAGCAGAGACGAUUUAUAAAAAAGGGGCAAAUUACUAUAAAAAUUUAUUAAAAUAAUAUUAUGAAAAAAGGAGGAGUCAAAAUGGUUAAAGGUGUCUUAAAAAUUAUUCUAGACCAAGAUUUGAAUCGCUGUUUUUUUUUUUUUCCCUGACUAGAAAAAAUCUAACUUAUUCAAUUAAUUUAACCCGAAUAAAUAGAUUCUCGGAAACACUCGGUUAUAACCUAAAAAAAUUAAGUGAAAAUACUUGAUAUAAAUACCUAUGAGAGAACAAGACAACAAAGCAAUUCCAAACCCAAUUCCCUUUUCCUCUAAAAAUCUGAUACCUCUACUGUCUCUCCAGUGGAAAGAGAGGCCACGCUGUUUCCAAAGGAUCAAAGAUUUGUUCACUAAUCUAAAAUACAAAGCCAUGCCAGUUCACUUUAUCAAAUUUACAAUGAACAAACUAAAAAAACUAAAUAAGUUAAAACUAAAAAGCUAAUUCUCUGUUUCUUUCUUCUCCUUUUUUUUUUUUUUUAACAGUAAAAAUAGCUAAUUCUUUCUAAAAAAACUAUUUACAACCAAUUGUAUACAUAUUUAUUGAGUUUUUUUUAACCAAAUAUUUACUGAGUUGAGUUAUUAAAAAAAAUUAUCAAUGCUUACGGACUUUGGCUCAGUUGACAACACAGGCUGGAUAUGUUGUAAGAGCUCUUGGAUUCCAUUUUCACUAAACUUUUAAAUUCGAUUCCCACUAAAAAUACUUGCUGCACUUGCUGGGAGAGUUGAAAAGUCUUCACCGAUUCUACAUAGCUUCUGGUGCAAGGGUCAACAUACUUAGAAAAAUAAAAUCGAACUAUUCUUGGUUUUUGGUUACCAUUUUGAUAUUCAAUAAUUUUGUUUUUUGGUAUUUGGAUCGUUUAUUGCAAAAAUAAUUAUUUUUCUAAGUAAAUCUGAAUCGUUUCUGUGAUUUGAUUCAUCCUGUGUCCAAAGUCUACUGACUCGACUAAUUUGGAAUCGUGACGGGUAGACUUACAUAUAGAGGGCAAAGUGCCCCCUCCCGCCCGCUUUCUCCCGAGUAUUUAAAAGAAUUCUAUACCCAAAAUUUGAGCUCAAAACUUUUGGUUAAGGAAUAAAUGAUUUUUGUCAUACCAUCUCACUUUUCAAGAAUUCGAGUUUGAUUUUAAUAAAAAGCUAAAUUUGAUUUUUUUUUUUAUUUGGUUCGGUUCCAUUUGCACACCCCUAUGAAGUGUGCAUAUAUAAGAUAUAUGUGUUAUUAUAUUUUAUUAAAAUUGCUAUAAUUUUGAUAGAAUGAGUCUUGUCUCCUACGUGUGUUUCUCGUAAAAGGAAGUAAUUAUAUGUGCUCUAUAAUCUAAAAUGUUACUUUGCUAAAGACAAUAUUUAUACAUACAAACACGUAAUACAUUGUCCAAGUGGGAAAUCUUACUAGGAAACGACUUAUCAUUUAGCCUGUUUGAGAAACGCAAGGCUUGGACUUCUACGAUCUUGUCUAACUGCAACGGCAUGUGCGAUGUGGUUAAGGCUGGAUUAUAGAGCGACAUCUCGUCUUGCAUCGCGGAAAUGACGGAGACAGGUUGUCUGGCGCAGCUCAAUUAAGAAAUGACUGGCUUGUGCGAAUUAGAAACGACAGAUCGCAUAAUCCCGUCAGGUCAUAAAUUCAUGAUCGUCGGACCAUUAAUUGACAACGAUCGAAAAAGAACAUCAAGUGCAUAUGGGGACAGCGUUAAUUGACCAAAAUGCCCAUUUAUUGGACACUUCGCGUACGUGUCCAGCAUUCGAAUCUAACAGGGCCGUUCACAGACCCGUCACCCACUCCGUCGAACGUGCUUUCUCUCUCUGUGUCACUCCCAGAAAGAACGAAAAAAGAAAAAGAGUAUCCCUCGAAAUCCGCUACUCUAUCGGAAUCCAAACACAUACGCAACUUACUUAGACUCUCUGUCUGUGGAAAGUUCCACAGAUCCGGAUCGAAGGCACGAAUAAAACUAAGGCGGCCAUGGUAGAGUCGCCGGAGAAUCGCCGGAGAUCUUCUUCUUCUUCUUCUUCAUCGAGUUCCGGCGAGGUUUCGGUGAGGAUCGAGCGGAAACUUGGCGCUGGAACUAGCACUGAAGGCAAAGAACUUGAGGGUACAGCAGCGGCUGCUGGUUCAGUGACCAAUGGAGGCCCGGAUUCUUCAGGUUUCUUGAAUUUUGCUCUAUCAAAUGAAAUUCAGUUGAGUUUGACUCUAUUUUUUUGUUCUAAUCAAACUAUCAACUGAAACUGUUUGUUUUUUCGUAUUUCCAUUUUUAUUAAUUUAUUAAUUAAAAUUAAUGAGUUGAAUUGUCUGUUAAAUUUCUUCUUGCCAACAGUUUCUUAAGUGCAUGAAGUAUAUCUUAUUUUUUGUUGAUCAGUCAGUCACUGUAAUACGUUUGAUAUAGUAUUUUUUUUUUUAAUUUUAAUUAUAUGGAAAUAGUCUAAUAGAUUGUACGAAAUGAUUUAAGAUGGAGACGUAGUAUAGAUGGUCUAAUAAAAAGCAUGGUCAAACAGGUUUCUUGAAUUCUGGUACCCGUUCAGUUACAUUUUUCUCCAAGUGGGAUUUUAAUGGAAAUGGCAACCUAUUACCUUUAAUCUUCUUUAAUAAGGUGUAUUCAUCUAGUAGCUUAGGAGUCAUGGGCUAGUUGCAGCAUGUUGACGCAUGUUGACUUCAGUAAAUUUCAAAGGAUAUUGGCCGGCAAAGAUUUAACCUAUGGUAGUCACUGGGAGAAGACGAAGUACCUUGCACUAUUAUGAAAGCUUUUUCUUGAACUGAAUAAAAGCUCCUUCAGCACACUUUGGUGUUUUAUUAUUUUAGCUAAUUCCUAUGAGAAAUGUCGGUAGAGUAUGAAACACAACAGAUUUUGCUUAUUUUAAUGUAUGAAUAAUGCUUUGGUAUGUGCUAAGAAUCAUGGGAGAGUUAAGUGAAGUUUUUCAUGCUCAUGUAGACGUUUACCUCUGUAAUUAAAUCGACAUACUUAUUUUAAUGUAUGAAUAUGCUUUGGUAUGUGCUAAGAAUCAUGGGAGAGUUAAGUGAAGUUUUUCAUGCUCAUGUAGACGUGUACCUCUGUAAUUAAUUCGACAUAAAUUUUUGAAUCUCACUUUGUAAUCAUUGUGGUAAUGGCUGUAUGCUGUGAUGACGUAUUGUAUUAUAAUUCAAUAUUCCUUGGAGAAUUGGCUUCUUGUUUGUGUGGGCUUAAAUUUGUGAUAUACUGUGGCUUUUUCUUUUGUUUUAGGGAUUGCUGGCAAAAGUACAUCUAAAUUAAACCCUUCACAGAUUGAAGUUUCUGGUGCUAACGAACUAAAACCUACUUCAAGUGAGCUUAAGCUAGAAAGAUCUAAAACUGAAAGGCAAAGGCAUCAUAAUAUACUUGCUGAAGAGGCAAAACAAAUAUUUGAUGAGAAGAUUCCUGUCCAGCAGAAGGUAUUACUCAUCAAACAUAAUACUUUUCUUCAUUUAAAAUUUUAUCACCUGUGAUGCCAUCAGUUUCCAUGUUGUUGGUGAUUUUCACUAUAAUUAGGGAGCUUUGGUGCAUAAUCUCUAAAGAUAAUAUUUGUUAGUAAAUGAGGAUUUGAUUUUGAUUAUUUCUCUUAUUUAUGAUUUAAAGUCUGGGCUUAAAUAAUUGUUGAAGAAUGAUUGUUAGUGUCUUGACUUGGUUUUGAUUAUAACUAUACAUAAGUGCUUAUAUCUUUUUUCGUUUAAAACCGUAAAUCUUGAAAUGAAUAGCUUCUUUGCUGAUGCAACUAUACUUGGGUUUUUAUUUGAUUCUAUUGAAACUGUGCAGCUUCAAUUGUUGAAAAGAAUAGCCACUGUCAAAGAUGACGGAACUGUGGAAUUUGAAGUUCCAGGAGAUGUUGAAGCCCGAGCUCUCGGAAUUGGAUCUGAUGAUGUAUAUAAUACAGUUACUGAUGAUGAGCCUGUUGAUGCAACAGAUAUUCAGUAUAUUCCCCCGCUGCAAAUAGUAAUGCUUAUUGUUGGUACACGUGGAGAUGUGCAGCCCUUCAUAGCAAUUGGAAAAAAGCUGCAGGUUAAUUUGCAUCGUACUCUCUCUAAAUCCCUCCCCCGCCCCCCCCNNNNNNNNNNNNNNNNNNNNNNNNNNNNNNNNNNNNNNNNNNNNNNNNNNNNNNNNNNNNNNNNNNNNNNNNNNNNNNNNNNNNNNNNNNNNNNNNNNNNNNNNNNNNNNNNNNNNNNNNNNNNNNNNNNNNNNNNNNNNNNNNNNNNNNNNNNNNNNNNNNNNNNNNNNNNNNNNNNNNNNNNNNNNNNNNNNNNNNNNNNNNNNNNNNNNNNNNNNNNNNNNNNNNNNNNNNNNNNNNNNNNNNNNNNNNNNNNNNNNNNNNNNNNNNNNNNNNNNNNNNNNNNNNNNNNNNNNNNNNNNNNNNNNNNNNNNNNNNNNNNNNNNNNNNNNNNNNNNNNNNNNNNNNNNNNNNNNNNNNNNNNNNNNNNNNNNNNNNNNNNNNNNNNNNNNNNNNNNNNNNNNNNNNNNNNNNNNNNNNNNNNNNNNNNNNNNNNNNNNNNNNNNNNNNNNNNNNNNNNNNNNNNNNNNNNNNNNNNNNNNNNNNNNNNNNNNNNNNNNNNNNNNNNNNNNNNNNNNNNNNNNNNNNNNNNNNNNNNNNNNNNNNNNNNNNNNNNNNNNNNNNNNNNNNNNNNNNNNNNNNNNNNNNNNNNNNNNNNNNNNNNNNNNNNNNNNNNNNNNNNNNNNNNNNNNNNNNNNNNNNNNNNNNNNNNNNNNNNNNNNNNNNNNNNNNNNNNNNNNNNNNNNNNNNNNNNNNNNNNNNNNNNNNNNNNNNNNNNNNNNNNNNNNNNNNNNNNNNNNNNNNNNNNNNNNNNNNNNNNNNNNNNNNNNNNNNNNNNNNNNNNNNNNNNNNNNNNNNNNNNNNNNNNNNNNNNNNNNNNNNNNNNNNNNNNNNNNNNNNNNNNNNNNNNNNNNNNNNNNNNNNNNNNNNNNNNNNNNNNNNNNNNNNNNNNNNNNNNNNNNNNNNNNNNNNNNNNNNNNNNNNNNNNNNNNNNNNNNNNNNNNNNNNNNNNNNNNNNNNNNNNNNNNNNNNNNNNNNNNNNNNNNNNNNNNNNNNNNNNNNNNNNNNNNNNNNNNNNNNNNNNNNNNNNNNNNNNNNNNNNNNNNNNNNNNNNNNNNNNNNNNNNNNNNNNNNNNNNNNNNNNNNNNNNNNNNNNNNNNNNNNNNNNNNNNNNNNNNNNNNNNNNNNNNNNNNNNNNNNNNNNNNNNNNNNNNNNNNNNNNNNNNNNNNNNNNNNNNNNNNNNNNNNNNNNNNNNNNNNNNNNNNNNNNNNNNNNNNNNNNNNNNNNNNNNNNNNNNNNNNNNNNNNNNNNNNNNNNNNNNNNNNNNNNNNNNNNNNNNNNNNNNNNNNNNNNNNNNNNNNNNNNNNNNNNNNNNNNNNNNNNNNNNNNNNNNNNNNNNNNNNNNNNNNNNNNNNNNNNNNNNNNNNNNNNNNNNNNNNNNNNNNNNNNNNNNNNNNNNNNNNNNNNNNNNNNNNNNNNNNNNNNNNNNNNNNNNNNNNNNNNNNNNNNNNNNNNNNNNNNNNNNNNNNNNNNNNNNNNNNNNNNNNNNNNNNNNNNNNNNNNNNNNNNNNNNNNNNNNNNNNNNNNNNNNNNNNNNNNNNNNNNNNNNNNNNNNNNNNNNNNNNNNNNNNNNNNNNNNNNNNNNNNNNNNNNNNNNNNNNNNNNNNNNNNNNNNNNNNNNNNNNNNNNNNNNNNNNNNNNNNNNNNNNNNNNNNNNNNNNNNNNNNNNNNNNNNNNNNNNNNNNNNNNNNNNNNNNNNNNNNNNNNNNNNNNNNNNNNNNNNNNNNNNNNNNNNNNNNNNNNNNNNNNNNNNNNNNNNNNNNNNNNNNNNNNNNNNNNNNNNNNNNNNNNNNNNNNNNNNNNNNNNNNNNNNNNNNNNNNNNNNNNNNNNNNNNNNNNNNNNNNNNNNNNNNNNNNNNNNNNNNNNNNNNNNNNNNNNNNNNNNNNNNNNNNNNNNNNNNNNNNNNNNNNNNNNNNNNNNNNNNNNNNNNNNNNNNNNNNNNNNNNNNNNNNNNNNNNNNNNNNNNNNNNNNNNNNNNNNNNNNNNNNNNNNNNNNNNNNNNNNNNNNNNNNNNNNNNNNNNNNNNNNNNNNNNNNNNNNNNNNNNNNNNNNNNNNNNNNNNNNNNNNNNNNNNNNNNNNNNNNNNNNNNNNNNNNNNNNNNNNNNNNNNNNNNNNNNNNNNNNNNNNNNNNNNNNNNNNNNNNNNNNNNNNNNNNNNNNNNNNNNNNNNNNNNNNNNNNNNNNNNNNNNNNNNNNNNNNNNNNNNNNNNNNNNNNNNNNNNNNNNNNNNNNNNNNNNNNNNNNNNNNNNNNNNNNNNNNNNNNNNNNNNNNNNNNNNNNNNNNNNNNNNNNNNNNNNNNNNNNNNNNNNNNNNNNNNNNNNNNNNNNNNNNNNNNNNNNNNNNNNNNNNNNNNNNNNNNNNNNNNNNNNNNNNNNNNNNNNNNNNNNNNNNNNNNNNNNNNNNNNNNNNNNNNNNNNNNNNNNNNNNNNNNNNNNNNNNNNNNNNNNNNNNNNNNNNNNNNNNNNNNNNNNNNNNNNNNNNNNNNNNNNNNNNNNNNNNNNNNNNNNNNNNNNNNNNNNNNNNNNNNNNNNNNNNNNNNNNNNNNNNNNNNNNNNNNNNNNNNNNNNNNNNNNNNNNNNNNNNNNNNNNNNNNNNNNNNNNNNNNNNNNNNNNNNNNNNNNNNNNNNNNNNNNNNNNNNNNNNNNNNNNNNNNNNNNNNNNNNNNNNNNNNNNNNNNNNNNNNNNNNNNNNNNNNNNNNNNNNNNNNNNNNNNNNNNNNNNNNNNNNNNNNNNNNNNNNNNNNNNNNNNNNNNNNNNNNNNNNNNNNNNNNNNNNNNNNNNNNNNNNNNNNNNNNNNNNNNNNNNNNNNNNNNNNNNNNNNNNNNNNNNNNNNNNNNNNNNNNNNNNNNNNNNNNNNNNNNNNNNNNNNNNNNNNNNNNNNNNNNNNNNNNNNNNNNNNNNNNNNNNNNNNNNNNNNNNNNNNNNNNNNNNNNNNNNNNNNNNNNNNNNNNNNNNNNNNNNNNNNNNNNNNNNNNNNNNNNNNNNNNNNNNNNNNNNNNNNNNNNNNNNNNNNNNNNNNNNNNNNNNNNNNNNNNNNNNNNNNNNNNNNNNNNNNNNNNNNNNNNNNNNNNNNNNNNNNNNNNNNNNNNNNNNNNNNNNNNNNNNNNNNNNNNNNNNNNNNNNNNNNNNNNNNNNNNNNNNNNNNNNNNNNNNNNNNNNNNNNNNNNNNNNNNNNNNNNNNNNNNNNNNNNNNNNNNNNNNNNNNNNNNNNNNNNNNNNNNNNNNNNNNNNNNNNNNNNNNNNNNNNNNNNNNNNNNNNNNNNNNNNNNNNNNNNNNNNNNNNNNNNNNNNNNNNNNNNNNNNNNNNNNNNNNNNNNNNNNNNNNNNNNNNNNNNNNNNNNNNNNNNNNNNNNNNNNNNNNNNNNNNNNNNNNNNNNNNNNNNNNNNNNNNNNNNNNNNNNNNNNNNNNNNNNNNNNNNNNNNNNNNNNNNNNNNNNNNNNNNNNNNNNNNNNNNNNNNNNNNNNNNNNNNNNNNNNNNNNNNNNNNNNNNNNNNNNNNNNNNNNNNNNNNNNNNNNNNNNNNNNNNNNNNNNNNNNNNNNNNNNNNNNNNNNNNNNNNNNNNNNNNNNNNNNNNNNNNNNNNNNNNNNNNNNNNNNNNNNNNNNNNNNNNNNNNNNNNNNNNNNNNNNNNNNNNNNNNNNNNNNNNNNNNNNNNNNNNNNNNNNNNNNNNNNNNNNNNNNNNNNNNNNNNNNNNNNNNNNNNNNNNNNNNNNNNNNNNNNNNNNNNNNNNNNNNNNNNNNNNNNNNNNNNNNNNNNNNNNNNNNNNNNNNNNNNNNNNNNNNNNNNNNNNNNNNNNNNNNNNNNNNNNNNNNNNNNNNNNNNNNNNNNNNNNNNNNNNNNNNNNNNNNNNNNNNNNNNNNNNNNNNNNNNNNNNNNNNNNNNNNNNNNNNNNNNNNNNNNNNNNNNNNNNNNNNNNNNNNNNNNNNNNNNNNNNNNNNNNNNNNNNNNNNNNNNNNNNNNNNNNNNNNNNNNNNNNNNNNNNNNNNNNNNNNNNNNNNNNNNNNNNNNNNNNNNNNNNNNNNNNNNNNNNNNNNNNNNNNNNNNNNNNNNNNNNNNNNNNNNNNNNNNNNNNNNNNNNNNNNNNNNNNNNNNNNNNNNNNNNNNNNNNNNNNNNNNNNNNNNNNNNNNNNNNNNNNNNNNNNNNNNNNNNNNNNNNNNNNNNNNNNNNNNNNNNNNNNNNNNNNNNNNNCCCCCCAAAAAAAAAAAAAAAAAGAAAAAAAUAACAGUAUCCUCCCCCUCCUGUUUGCUGUUGCUAGUCAAAUAUUAUUGAACAACUGUAUGCAGUAUGUUUGCUUAUGCUAUUCACAAUGAAGGCUCUUUUUAUAUUAUUAUAUUAAUUUUCCCAUCAAUCUUUGUAACAUGGCCUUGGAUCUCUAAGCAUUAUUGUUCACAGAUCCACCAUUUUUUAUGAUUUUUAUUUACACAUGUACAUUGGGUUAUGCUGUCUCAAGUUCUUCGCGGAAUAGUAAUUAAUGAAAAACAUUUUUUAUUGCUUAUUUAUGAAAAGGAAGUAACUCUAAGCUUAAUUUUUAUUUCUUAAGGGCUCCAGUUAUUGAAAGCUUUGUGCUUAUUUCCUAUAUCUGUGAACAAAAAGGAAGUAAUCUGAAAUUAAAUUAUUGUUUUUGCACCUUUUUGGGACUUCACCUUUUGAAGAAUUUUCUGUUCAUUUAUUAGAAUAUUUGUGUGCAGGAUUAUGGUCAUCGUGUUAGGCUAGCAACUCAUUCAAAUUUCAAAGAGUUUGUCUUGACUGCUGGGUUGGAGUUUUACCCUUUAGGUGGAGAUCCAAAAGUUCUUGCUGGCUGUAUGUACCAUUUUACCUUGAAGGGUUAACUAUUUAAAUGUAUUGAUAUCAUCUUUCAUUCCCCCGCAUUGUGGUUGUCUGCAUCGUGUAUUUGUCAAUUGGUUGUUUGGUUUCAUCAAUAACUUUUCGUUAAUUGAAUUACUUCUCCUGGGCAGACAUGGUUAAAAAUAAAGGCUUCUUGCCAUCGGGGCCUUCAGAGAUACCUGUUCAACGAAAUCAAAUGAAGGAAAUCAUAUACUCCUUGCUUCCAGCUUGCAAGGACCCUGAUAUGGAUUCUGGAAUCCCUUUUAAGGCUGAUGCAAUAAUAGCCAAUCCUCCAGCAUAUGGUAGGACUUAAUCAACUUUCGUCUCUCAUAACAUUCUGAGUUCUGGUAAAAAAAAAAAACUUUCUCCAGCAUUUGUUUCUCACAAUUAUGCAAUGAUUACUAUGAAUUAGUAAUGAUAUUUGUGUCUGCUUUUGUGUCAUUAGGAAUUCUUAACAAGUGAUAGAAAGAUCUUUUUUUUUUUUUUUUACAAAAUCACUAAUUUCUACUCUCUAUGUUUAUAUUUUUUUUCCUAAAAUAAGUACUCCUAAAAUGCCUAGGAAUAUGAUUUGCAUCAAUAACAUUUUUUAUGUUUUAAAUAUUUGUUAUCACUAUUGACUAGUUAAAGUGAUUUAACUUGCUUUUGAUUGCUCGAUAUUCUUUCCCUACCUGUCACGAGGAAGUUUGGAGUUUUCUGAUUUCAUUUUGGUUCCUCACCUCUCCCCUUUUCCCACCCCUUAUCCUGCCCCUGUUGGUGAAGUUUUGAUGAUUUUUUAUUCCCUCUCCUUUUUUUCCUUCUUUUCUUAAGCUAUGGGCAAAUCAAGAUUGAGGGAGGCUGGGAGUUUGUUGAUUGAAUGACAGAAUUAAAAGAUUCAAGUAGCUAUGAGGUUUGCUCUUUGGUGAACUUGAUGAAGAAACAUAAGUUAAUCCCCCUUUUUCUUUUCGUUUGCUAGCAUCAUCUCCUCGAACUUGGAAUAGAUUGUUUGUGUCAGUGGCUUGAGUGGUGGGGAUGAAUUUGGGGCUGGGGGGUGGGGGUGGGUGGUGGUUUGAAGGUGGAGAAUAUUGGCUGCAAAUGAGAAAAGAGAGAAAAAAAGAAGCAAUUUGACAUAGUGUGUGUGUAUACAUAUAUUUGCUAUCUUUAAUCAUUCGCAACAAUGUAACAAAAUUAAAAUGAUUGGCUAAAGUUGAAAAAGCCCGCAAAGUUUCAUUUGUUUAAAAUUCUUCUCUAUAAACCACAAGACUUACACCAAUGUACUGAUGUGUAUGAGUGCCUUGCGACUUGUUUCACUUUUUGCACUGAUUUUGACUUUUAAAGAAGCAUGAAAAUGUUUAUCUUCAGUUUUUUGGUAAAUUUUAUGUCAAAAAGGGUUUCUCUUUUUCCCUAAUUUUACGUGAUGGUAGAGUUUGUUGCAUUCUUGCCUGAGUACUUUGAUGAUGGUUUCAACUUUCAAGUAGUGAUGUAGCUUUCAAGGAGGUUAUAUUCUCAUGUUCUCACAAAUGGUAGAAAGAUCUAUCUGUUUUUCCAUUUCAUGCCUCUCUAAUGUGAAUUAAGGAUGAUGGUUAAACUUGUUCCCAAUUCUUUUUGAAAGCUGUGUUGGAUGAUAGCAGAAUUUUUUUGUUCACCAUUCUGCAGCUGACGUUGUAAAUGCUUUUUUAGGACACACUCAUGUGGCAGAGGCACUAAAAAUUCCGCUUCAUAUAUUUUUCACUAUGCCAUGGACGUAAGUCUUGUCUGGGUAAUGGAAUCUACCUGGGUUAAUUGUUGAUUUAAUUUGUUAUAGUUUAGAAUUUUGUGCUUUCUACCUCAUCAUUAUCAGUUUUUGUAUUACAUGGUAUGCUGAAUAAUCCUAAACUGCUCUAAGCAAUGCUUGGUCUUUUCCAUCAGGCCAACUAGUGAAUUUCCACAUCCUUUGUCCCGUGUCAAGCAAGCAGCUGGUUAUCGAGUGAGCCCAUUGCUUCUCACUCUCUCUCUCUCUCUCUCUCUCUCUCUCUUUCUUCUUUUGAUGUACUUUAAUUUCCCAACUCCUGGUACUUCUCAAGUGCAUUUGGUGUGUACAAUUUCUUCAGCUUUCAUAUCAAAUAGUUGACUCGUUGAUUUGGCUUGGAAUACGGGACAUGAUAAAUGAUGUUAGGAAGAAAAAGCUAAAGCUACGACCUGUCACAUAUCUUAGUGGUUCGCAGGGCUCUGAAUCUGAUGUGCCACAUGGGUACAUAUGGAGUCCUCACCUUGUUCCGAAACCAAAAGGUGCUUUCUCUUGAGAUUGUAUAUUUUUGAAGGAUUUUAUUAUAGCUAACUUGUCUGUUGUGUCAAUCUUACAUUAUGCUCAGCCCCAUGUUGGGGGAUUGCUUCGUUUGAAUUCACUAAGCCUUACCUACUCACUACUCUUAUGGAAGUUUGACUCUUUGAACCAAUAAGGCUGGGAAAGCUAGGAACGUUAGGGCUUUCAGCAAUCAUUUAGGAAAUAUUCUUUGACAUAACAAUGGUAAUAUCUUCAUCUCUAUGGACAGCGGAAUACAUAGAGUGGAACAUGGUAAAAAAGAAAUUGAAAUGCUACUUGGGAUAUCUUUAAGAAUAUUCCUUCACAACCUCGGCCUAUCUUUUUAAAUGAAAGAACAUUAAUUUGUUGGCAUGGAUAAUACUUCUAGCUUAAGUGAUUGGAUUAGGGAUUUUAUUGUUUUGGUGGCUUUUGCCUACUCUAGGCAUUGAACCUCAAGACUCUGCUUGGUAUGCACAAAAAAGGAUGUCAUUUAAUUGUUGAGGAACAAGUAAGAUAUCAUAGUAAGAUCUUCCAAUAAUCUAGACUUCUUUUUCCCUUCCAAAUAAUUUUUUAGAGCGAUUCACAAAACUGUGAAAAAGAAAAAGAUCUUUGCGUGCACUAUUAUUUAAGUUUCUAGGUAAGGGUUUUUUGGUAGUGCUGCAAAAAAUUUAGCACAAAGUUUGUUGACCUCAAGUUUUAAGGCCUAAUACACGCUUACACUCUCAAUUUUGCACCUUGUUGCAAUUGCACCCAAUUUGUACUUUUGAACGACCACACUUCAAGAUGAAAUUUAGAAAGCUUUUACAACCCAAGACCCAAUUAAGGUUAAUAUUUGCAUUAAAAAAAAGUUUUUGUAGGGUCUACAGUUCAGCUUGGUUAAUUUAAUCCAAGCUCAUAUAUGUUCAAAACGCACCAUAUCUUAUAAAGAAGAAAGGAAAUUGCUAAGCACCUUCUUCGAUUUCUUUUCCUCUAUCUCAUCUGCAGUCUUUGUUGCUCCAAACCAGCAGUAAGUGGUCUGAGAUUCAACCGGACCCACAAAUCAAUUUCAAAAUUCCCUUGCAAAUUUCAAUUUCUCUUCACCUCUCUCUCAAAUCCAAACAUGGGCGAAUAUCAAAGUCGAGAAGGUGAAGAACUCACAAACGCAAAAUCUUAGUAUCUAUUGCAGAAGGAGGAAGAAGAUGCAGAAGAAGUGCAUUACAUCAAGGAACACCAAGAAUUCCAAUUCCAAUUCAAGAUCAUCUAAUCCUGAAAAUCUGACCUGGGUAACAGGAUCAAAGGGAGAAAAGCAGAUAAGCAGAAUGCCAUCGAAUCCAUUGCCGAUAACAACCAGGUUGCCAGAUCGGUUAUCCGGACAAUGAGCUGCCACGACGCUAGAGCUCUUAGAAGAGAAUGAGGGGUUAAGAUUGAGUGCGUGAUAAAGGAUGAGAAGGAAUAGAAACAAAUGAUCAAUAAUAAUCAGCAACGAUUGCAAGAAAAUGAGUCUAGAUCUGGUCUAAAUUCUGCAGCUAUGGAUUAUUGGUAAGGAGACUGGAGAGGGGGGAGGGGAGACUCUAGGUAGGCAGAUGAGAGAGAUCGAGCUAACGAGGAGAGGGAUUGUUUCUUUUCCUUUUCAUGAAUGGUGUCAUUUGGGUUUGCUGCAUGUGCUAUGUGGUUGUUGUUUUCUUUAGGUGAUUAUUAUAGCUAGCUGGCGUUAAGGUUUAUGCAAUUGUUGUUAAGGUUAAUGCGUCAAUAGGAAGGCAAACAGGGAACUGUGGUUGAGGUGGGAGUGCUUCAUGAUGAGAGAGUGAGAACAGGGUCGUUUUAUUGAAACAUAACUGAGCUCAGGUUAACUUAACCCAGCUCAGCUGUGAAUUCCUCAAAAAUAUUUUUUUAAUGCAAACCCUAACCCUAGUUGGUUUUGGGGUGGUUUUCGAAAAGUUCAAAUUGGGGUGCAAUUGCAACAAGGCACAAAGUGGGAGCUGUAAGUGUCUAUUUAGGCCUAAGUUUUAACCAAGCUUAACAUGAGCUUCUUAGGGCUAGAAUUGUAGAUAAGCUAAAAUGUCAAAUUCAAACAUAUUACAAAACUCGUUAAUAUAGCCACAGAGUAUGAAUCUCUUAAAAAAGAAAAAACUAUCGGGAUCUCUGAACCCAUAAGGGAAAAAAAUAUGAUAAUUUGUAAAAAACUUAUUUAAUUUGAAGAAGUGAUGAUCUCUUUGUUGGUUUUAUUCGAAGUGUCUUGAUUGCUUGAAGUAGCAUAUCUUUUCUUUUAAAAACUCAUACACAUUUUUUGACAGGAACAACUUUUAGGCAUUAUUUUUGCUAGAUUGAGCAUACAUCAUUCUCAAUGGGAGGAUGCUAAUUUCUGUUUGCAUCUAUUCCUUGGUUUGCAGAUUGGGGGCCAAAGGUUGAUGUUGUGGGAUUUUGCUUUCUUGAUCUAGCAUCAAACUAUGAACCUCCUGAGUCUCUUGUGAAAUGGCUUGAAGCUGGCCCUAAACCUAUUUAUAUUGGAUUUGGAAGCCUUGUGAGUCUUGUUUUCUAAACUUUCUCUUUGGUUAUUUCAUUAAUUUUAGUGAAAUAUUAAUUUAUUCUUGAGUUUUAUGCUUCCUUAGGGCUGCACAACUAUAUGGUUGUUUCCGAUUUGAGAUUGUUGGCUGCUUUUUAAGUUGGGCAUGAAAAAAUUCACGAACAUAACAAAAUACUGCCUGUAUUUACUGGCUAGAUAUAGUAUUAUUGCUUUAUUUUUGAUUUGUUGGAGUGGACUGAAUUUGAAUAUAAGCUUGUGGCUGGAAUUCAGAAAGGAAAUGCUGACUGAAAUAGUUUUUGAAGUCUUUCAUAUACUGCUAUUUAAUUUCUUCGAAUGGUAUUUGUUGGUUGCCUUGUUUGGUAGAAGCACUAAUAAUCUGUAUAUUUGUCAUAGAAUUGACAAGAUAUUGUUUUUAACUGCUUGGAUUUAUAGGUUCUAAUUCUCACUUGUUUGGAGAUAGAACAUCUGGGACUUCAAUAAAUGACCUCAUGUACUUCAGUACAAGCUCUGAUUUGAAUUUAAACUGAGAAAUAAACCAUAAUCACUGAUUCAAUCUUUGUAGGAGUACGAGCGUCCUUUGUCUAAUUAUUUGAUUAAUGAAAAACUGAACCAUCCUAAUGAAUAAGAAUACUUGAGAUCACAUCUGUUUUUAGUUUUUGUUUGUUCUUUUCUUCCUUGAUGGUAUUGAAAGGAGAUAUGACUUGGCAUCCUAAGUGUAUUUGACUUUGUUCUUUUGUGUAUUCUAUCUGUGUUUUAACUUCUCUGAAAUGUUCUAUUCAUUUAUUUUUCAUGUUAGCCUGUUCAAGAACCAGAAAAAAUGACCCAAAUAAUCGUGGAUGCAUUGGAACAAACUGGACAGCGGGGAAUCAUUAACAAAGGUUGGGGUGGCCUGGGUAACUGUAAGUUUCUAAUUUACACUUUGGACCUUUGCAUACUACUAUGGUCUCGUAAUUGUUUUUUUUUUUUUUUUUUGGUGCCUUUUUCUUGAUACUGAUAUUUUGAUUUUAAUUUUGACUCCUUACAGUGGCUGAACCAAAGGACUCCAUAUACUUGCUGGAUAACUGUCCUCAUGACUGGCUAUUCUUACGAUGCAAGGCAGUGGUGAGGUUUAGGUGCAUGGUUUUGUUGCCGGCUUAAAUUUUUGUACAGCUGCUGUUAUUGUAUUAGUCCUAAAAUGAAUUCAUCUGGAGAGUCAAAGCAAAUUAAGAAUUUGACAAAAUAAUGAAGUCUAUCCAAUGAAUGAUUUGAUUAAAUACGUGAUGUAGUCAUUUUCUCCUUAGAUUGAUUGAUGGAUGUGGGCAUAUUUCCUUAAGUUUCUUGUAACCUAUGCUCACUUUAGAUUUUUUUCUUUGAGCUUGGAUUAUUUGCUGUCUUUAUCGCAUGUUCUUAUCAGCAUGCAUUCUGAUUUUAGGUUCAUCAUGGGGGUGCUGGAACAACAGCUGCUGGUCUGAAAGCUGCUGUAAUGGCCGGAGCUUAUUUCUUCUUUGAUCGUGGAACUUCAGUUUCCACAUCAUAUGUUCUCUACCUUGUGUUGACGCCUUUCUCCUUUUGCAAUGUAGUGUCCCACAACCAUUGUGCCUUUCUUUGGUGACCAACCAUUCUGGGGUGAACGAGUAUAUGCCAGAGGAGUAGGUCCUCAACCCAUACCUGUUGAUGAGUUCUCACUUCCCAAGUUGAUUGAUGCAAUAAAGAUUAUGCUAGAUCCCAAGGUAACAUGCGAUUUCUGGAACGCUUUACUUAAUAACCCUGUUCCUUUCUAUAUUUGCUUAGCUUACCAAAACAAGUGAAUAUGUUCAACAUCUAAAAUUUACAUGGAAGGUUCCCCUGCCAACCCACCCCCUGCCCCGCCCUUGACCACAGGAAUAUGGAAUUUCUAUCCUAAGCUGCUGUAAUAUACUGCCUGGUGGUGACAUGGAGGGUUAGGAAUUGACGCUUACCAGUCCCAGGGAAAAAUGAUACUUAGGAGGAUAAAGACAAAACAAGAAUGUUUGGUUUUUUUUUUUUUUUUUUUUGGGGGGGGGGAGGGCGGGGAAGGAGGGAGGAGGAGGGAUUUGCAACAAAAACAUUAAGGGUAUGUUUGGCAUUGUUGUUUGAGCUAUUUAUUACUGAAAAUAUUGAUUAGUGAAUAUUCUAAUCCUAAAAGCUUCAAUACAUGUUUGAACUUCUUUUUCCAAUAGGGUCCAAAAUGGUAUUUUAUAAAACAUGCUCACAAGAUUUUGAUCUCUAUAAAAAUGAAAUCGCCUUCAUUUAUAAUUGGAAGAAACUUAUCACAAGAUGGACUUAUGAUGGCAGGUGAAGGAGCGUGCUAUUGAACUUGCCAAGGCCAUGGAGAAUGAGGAUGGAGUAACUGGAGCAGUGAAAGCAUUCUUUAAGCAUCUUCCUAAGAUGAAGCCAGAGCCCGAGCCAUCACCGGAACCAUCAAGUUUUUUCUCCUUUAGGAGAUGUUUUGGUUGUUCCUAAAUGUCAGCACAUUGAUUUAAGCACCAGCAGUAGUAUAUACGAUGAUUAUGAUUCAUGAGCAUUAGUUUGUCUGCUAACCAAGAUACAACCACCCUUCUCCUGGUUGUUCUACACAAUGUGCAUCCGACAUUAUUGCCUAUUCAUUGCAGUCAUACAUAUCCAGUGCAACCCAUGAGAUCUCUCUAGAAGUUACAUGUUCAUUUCAAAAGAGCUCUUUUCUAAAACACUUCUGAGGCUUUUUUUUUCUUGUUAUUACUCAUUAUCAUUGUGUAGAGUUUGAAUUUUUUUUUUUUUUUUUUUUUUUUUGAAGAAAAAAUGAAGAAUGAUUUGUUUAAUUAUAGAUUCUAUGUUCGAGCUAUUUUGCUUCCUGUUAUAUAUUUGUACCCGUUGUAAUUUAAGGGUUUUGGUACAUGAUUUCGACCUAAUUUUGUCACAUAACUUGUUCCAGAGAUGAGUGGAGUUGCCAAAAUGUUGGCCUAUGUAUUAGGUCUAAUAUAUCAAAAUGUCCUAACGUUACUUGAUUUUGCAAUUUCACUCUAUUUUGAUUUUUUUUUUUGGUCAAUUUUAUCUAAUUUCGAUAUUUUAUAGCAAUUGCACUCUCAAUUGCAAUUAAGGAUGAAGUUGAGGUUGUUAUUGUUAUAAAAGGUCAAAAUUGGAUAGAAUUGACAGAAAUGUCAAAUUAUAGUGAAACUAUAAAAGUCUGUAAAGUUGAGGAAUUUUGAUGCAUUAAGCCUAUAUAUUAUGAUAGGUGUUUUUUUGGUCCAUUGUGUUUACAGUUUAUUAAGUAGGAUCUGAAGAUAAAAAUUAGACAAUUUUUUUUAAUUUUUAUAAAUUAUGAAUUUUCAAAAACAAUUGAAAUUUCUAAAAUAAAUUAUUAAGAAUUUUUGAAAAUAUUGAAAAACGUAGUUUGAAGCUUAAUUUUAAGAAAUGGGAGUUGGAAAUAGAGUAAUAAGUGCCAAGUGUAGGAAGGAGAUGGAAAGGAAAGAAGCAUUGGGUUCUCUAAUGAGAGUUGGGGGAGUGAUAAUGAGGGUUCAGUUGAGGAAUGGACGAAAAGUGACAAAUUGCAUGGAAAUGGCGGUGGGGGAAAGCUAAAAUUGCAGGACCAGUGGCUGUUAGCCCCAUAACUAUUUAUAGAAAAAAGCAGACGAAUGCAGCACAAGAGCCAAGCUAAGCCAAUUGCUUCCAACCCCAUACAAUAUAAUAAAUAAAUAAACAAAUGAAAACUAAAACCACUACUCUCUCUUAUACUGAGUUCCGGAGUGGUUUUAGCUUUUAAGUGACCCAAUCGUUCCACAUUGGCCAUUGGAGAGAUGAUCCAAAGCUCAUUUGCUAUUCUGACAAUCUGACUUCUCUCUCUUACAACACAAUUAAUUUGGCCUAUUCAUGUUCGUCUUUUCAAAUUUGACAAGUACACUACCUCUCCUUUAUUAAAUGCUCCAUUUUGAAGAUUGAAUACUGUGCAGCACUAGCUAGCUAAAGGCAAAUAACAACCCCAUAUUUGAUUACUCCACUUACAAGCAGAUACUUAUAACUCCUGCAAGAAGAAACCCAUUUGCCCAUGAAACUGAUAUGAUUGUCAGAGACAGAAAAUUAAAAAAACAGAUUCCUUUUUCCAAUCCAGUCCAGGCAUUUCUUUCUACCAAUAACUCCUCUUUCUCUCUCUCUAGUGUUUUUUUUUUCAUAAACCUUGUAGGAUUCAGAGUAUCCCCACUUCUCUCUUUCUUAUCUCCUCUGUUACUAAGCCCAUACAGCCCCUUGUCUCAAGCACUCUAUAUAAUUAUUACAUGUAGAGGUUCUUCGCAUUUUUCAACUCUUGUGAACUUAGUCUCUCAACUCUCUUUACCUAACUCUUCUUCCUUUUUUUCAUCAGCUCCAACACUAAAAAGAUCAAACUCACCAUUUUAUUUUGGUACUUUCUUUAUCUUCUCCAUUGUUUCUUUUUAGCCUUUUAGUUUCCUUUUCCCAUAAAUCAGCAAGUGCUCUACCACUAGUUAAUUAUUAGUUUUAGGGCCUUCACCUACCUGGCCUAACAGUAUCGAUCAUGCCAAUACUCCAUUGGACUGUUAGCUUUCAACCUUGAUUUGCUUAUUUAUACAUAUAGUUAAGGUAAUUCUUUUUCUAAUGCAUGCAGGCAUGGAAAUUGAGGAGAAGGUUUGUCAUCAGACAAAUGUAGAAGACGAAACAAGAACAAGAGUAUUUCCUUGUUUAUUCUGUUCAAGAAAAUUUUACAGUUCUCAAGCUUUAGGUGGCCACCAAAAUGCUCACAAGAAAGAAAGAAAUGCAGCAAGAAAGGCAAAAAGAGCUUCUGAAUAUGCAACGCCACCACCACCUCUACCGCCAUCGGCGUCAUUGCCAAUGGUUUUUGCUCCAAGUCAUAAUCAUCAUUUAGGGUUAUUACAUCCUUCAAUGUACAUAACAGCCCAUGCAGCCCCCUUGCAAUGUUAUCCAAACCACCAAUUCAUCUCCAAUAGUUUUGGGUCAAAUGGUGCACCUAAGUUUGAUAAUGGGAUUUUUUAUGGUGGGAAUUGUUCAAGCCAUAGAUAUCAUAAUCAUCAAUGUGAAGAAGAAGAUCCAAGUUUCUUGAAUUGGCAAAGGAGCAUAAGAUUCAAUGGUGCCUCCAACCAGAACUCAGCUAUAGUAGCAAAUAAUGCCCAUCAGAAUUUGGCAAAUACUAAUGAUAAUAAGAAAGAUCCAAAACUUGAUUUAUCGCUUCAUCUAUGAAGAAGAUAUGUUAAGUUCUUUUUGAAGUUGUUAAUUAGGAUUUCCAUAUUCUAUUUCUUCUUUUUGGAAAUUUGCAUUUGCUAAUAAUAAAACAUAUCUGUAGCGACAGACAAUUUUUUUUUUUUUAAUUUCACGAGGCAGAGAAUUAAUGCAUUUGUUGUAAACAUAAGUUUUAAUUGAUUUUUUUCUAUUAAAAGAAAAAAAAAAUUCAUAGAGCAAUGCACUAUAUUUGCUGCUUUUAGCUUUAUUUUGAAUAAUUUACUCUUGUAAAGUGAAAGUGAGGCAUUAUUUUGCAAGUUUAGCUUCCCUUUAGUCCUUUCUUUUUCACAAUCAUUAGGAUUUAAAGUUGCUGCUAUCAAUUACUAUAUCUUAACAAUCUUGAUUAAAUAAAAUAAUUACAUAUUUAAGAUGUUAAUUAUGUCUUCUAUUGAAAAGAUUAAACGUCAUUUUAAGAUGUUUAGUCGCACUCAAAGAUCCAAGUGGGCCAUUCACAGUGUGAUUUGUCUGAAUUAGCUCACAUUUUUAGGCCCAACAAUGUACAGGCCGACUGAGUGACCACAAACAAUGGGCUAUUCCAAAUCCAAGGCCUUCUUCUCUUUUUCUUUUUUUUUUUUUAAAUGGAACUAAGCUUUUUUUUUUUUUUUAACAAUGAGCUUUUAGUUCACAAAUAAUCAAAAUUAAAAUUAUAUUUAUAAUAAUAAUAAUAAUAAUAAUAAUAAUAAUUGUGAGAGAGCUGGCAUUUCGAGUUUGGUGGUGAACAUACAAAGGACAUUCCAGAAACAUGUACACAUGACCCUUUUGAGUUGUACAAUUCAACGAAAUUAAGAGAGAGACACGUGUAGUUUUGGCAAAUUUUGUUUUUUGUUUCGAUUUCUAUUCUUUGCUCUUGUUAUGUAUGUAGAAAUGAAAAAGAAAGAAACAUGAAGAGAUUUGUUGCACCCAAUCAUGGUUUCCAUUUGUAUGAUUAAAUUGUUUUUUUCUUAUAAUUAGGAGGUUUAAUCCUUCUUGGGUCAUAAAAGAUAAAGAAUUUUUAUUCUUUUAGUAAGAUGCGUUUUUUAAAAAUCAAAUUUGUAUAAUCUGCUUAAGUCAGAUGAAUACGGGGCAAAAGUAAAAAUAUUAUGUAAUUGCAGUGAGGGAACACAUUAAAUUAACUAUAAUCAUCAUUGGCAUUUUUUUUAAUCCAUGCAUGCAUGAUGGAUGGAUGCAGUAGUUCCAAGUCACAUGUGACCAUCAUUUAGGUCUUUUGAUUAGUGUUUAAGGAUAAUGUAUUAUAACUAAAUUAACAUAAUAAUCCCAUUUAUUAAUUAUUUUUAGAAAGAGAAGAUGCUACUUCUCCUCUUUAUGGACUGGCAUGCAUUGGCGGAAUCAACUUAUGCCAACCCGCAAGUUUCGGAGGCAUGCAUGCAAAUAAUGUACGUGUCAAGCUUUUUCUUUAUUAUACUUCUUUUAACUAGUUGUGUAACCAGACGUGCGCAGUUUUCUUGAGACCUAAUAUCAGUGUUCUUGAAAUUUCAUUGAAUUAAUCCAUCAGACCGAUUAAUUUGUGAAUUGCCUGCUAAUCAGUUCUGAUUUAACGAAAAAAUUUUUUUAAAAAAAACAAAAAUCGAUUUCGAUAAUUAAAAAUCUAUUUGAAUCCACAACCAUCUAAACCAAAAAAAAAAAAAUAAAAUAAAAUAAAGAAAGAGUUAUUACUUAUGUUUGAAUAAUUAUAAUUUAAUUAUAUUUUUAUAUUUAGUAUGGAUAAUUAAGUACUUGAAAAUUAAUAAUUAUUGACAAUGAAGAAUGAGUUCGAAAUUGCUAUAAGUUUAUAACAACAUUAUAUUAUUAUAAUAAUUAUUUUCAAUAUUAUUAUCUUGACAUAUAUAUAACAUUAAUGACGAAUCAUCACUUGAGAAUUAGUAGUUUUGAAAUUGAUGUUUAUUAAUGAAUAAUUAGAAAAAUAAUUCUAGAUUUGUGAUCAUGUUAAUUUAUUAUUUUCUAUAAUUAAUAUUUAUUAAUAAAAAUGAAAAUAUUUAAAUUCAGCUGAUUGUUGAACCAUCAUAUAGUCAUCAAUUCACUUUGAUAUUCUGUCUUAUUUUAAAAGUAUAUUCUAAUAUCGAUAGAUUUGGAAUUUAUGAAAAAUUAUCCAUUAUAAUUAAUCUAGUUGUUAGAGUUAAAACUCUCUUUCAUCAUCUAUGAGAAUUUGAUGUUCAAUAAUAGUUCAAAAAUAAAUAAUUAUAAUAUUAAUUAUGGUUAAAUAUUAAAAAAAAUAUCUCAAUAAUCUAUGGAUUGUAUCUCACAUAAUAAUGCAGGUUGAGCAUGUGAAAAGAGCUCUCGAGUUUCGAUCUCCAAUAAACACACGUGCGAAGAGGGGUGAAGAAUUUCAACUGUGAUUAAAUCCUGAAUCAGAUUCUGCGGUUUUUGAUAAUAAAUUUUGGACACUGGUGGUUAAAAAAAAAAAAAACCCAAUAAACAAAAAAUAAAGAAGAAAACGAUGGUUUUGCUCAAAACCCAAGGUGGAUAGCUUGUUUUAAUUAACCUAUAAACAAAAAGAAACAUAGGGGAGUUGAAAAAGAGAUUGCGUGGAAUUUCAUUUGCUGAGGGAGUAGUAGAAGUAGUUAGUUAUUUAGGUUUGGGCAAGUAGAGAGAUAAUGAGAAUAUUCUUGUUCUGCUAUUAAACUAGAGAAGGUUUAAGGGCAAUAAAGUAAAUUCAGCCAUCAGAUUCUUGACAUGUGGGCAUAUGUCAAGCCACAAAACCAGCCAGCCAUGUGAAAAAAAUUAUUUACGGAAUCUUAAGUGUAUUAAUCACAACCAUGGCCUGGCCUCAAAUCUAUAUAUCCACUAAAACCUUUUUUUUUUUUAAUUAAACAUAUAAAUUUAUCUGUGUCUCUUUUAUAAAAAUUAAAUUGGUCUCUCAAACGAUGUAGAUGCAUGCCCAUAUGUGCCCUUUGUUCUAUAAAUUAACUUGAAGUGCCCCAUGAUAUGUUGUCUUGCCUGCCUAAUUAAGUAUUCCGCUUGGUGACUUAAUUUGGUACCACAGCAAAGGCUUUUUUGCUCUACCAGCAAACUGUUCUUUUUGCGAAUUAAAUUUAUAUUCUCACACUUACCGGAAUUGAGGUCGCUAACCAUCUCAAUUAAAGCUUUAUUAGUUGCAUUUUUUUUAUUUUAUUAUAGUGUUAUAGUAACUUAGAAGGUGAAAACAAAUUUAAUUCAAUUUUUUUUAUUAACUACAAGUAUUCUCCCUCUAUUAAGUUAACACUGAAUUUUGCUCAUACUAGAUCAGCCAGUUAAAGGGUAAAACGCUUCCAGUAAGUAUUUACUUCAUUCAUACAUAACGAUCGAAUCCUCGACUUAUGAGAAAAAAAUAUUGAACCAUUCAUGCCAACGCUCAUUUAUUUAAAUUCAAUUGUUGUUACAUAAUAGAGAUUAAUAUUUAAGAAAUGAAAAUUUUAUUAUCUUUUAAUUUUAAAUGGUUUGAUAAUAUUACCUAUUACACUACAAUUUUCAAUAAACUAACUCUAAGGGUAAAUUGACUGUACGCUCUAACUUUAUUAAAAUUGAAAUCUUUGGACCAUCCAAAAGGUAGCUUAUAAAAUUACUAAUCAAAAUAAUAAUCUUUUUUUAAUAUUAUAUGUUUAUUAAGUCGUAAUAGAAUGCAAUAUAAUGUCAAAUAAAAUUAUAAUAUAAGUUAGAUACUGCAAAUUUAUUUGAUUUUAUUAUAUAACAUUACCAUAACUAAGACAAUUUUGAUAAAGAAAAUAUUUUAAUUAAACUGAAAUUUUCUAAAAAUAAUAAGUCAAAAUUCAUUAACUUAAAAUUUAACCAAACAAAAUCACUAUUAUGUUUUAAAAUAUUUUUUUUUUUGGAUUAAAAAUUCAAUACUUACAUAAUUUAACACUUCAAUUUUACAUUUAAUUUUUAAUAUUUUUUUAAAAAUAAGGAUAAAAUCAUAGUUGGGUGGGUUUCCAUUGCUAUCAGAAAGAGCAACUAACAAGGUUGAGUUGAUAUUCUAGACCAUAUGACAUAAGUGUUACACUAACAUAUCCAAGCAGUUAAGUUAGGUUUGGUGUUAGUAAAACACUUAAUCAAAAGCUAUAAUGAUUUUUAACUUAAAUUUUUGACUAAUUACAAUCUAUACCUAAUAAUUAAUCUCCAAUUGUUUAAUUGAACUUCCAAUUUGCAUAUCUCCAUGGCAGUCAAUUCCAACCCCAAUACAAGAAGAUUAUAUGAUUGUUCGAGCACAAACGCAAACCCUAAUUUGGAUUUUCAAUUUGACUAAAUUUGUCAAACAAAGACAUUUGAUGUUGAUCAAGGUCACCUUCUUUAUUUUUCUCAUUUGGGUUUUCUUUUUUUUGUUUUGAUUGGGUAUUUGACAGAGUGCAAGCAUGUGGUUGGGGAAAUUUAACAAACUGUGACUUCCUUGUCAUAAAAGAUUGCAAGAAAAUUACAAUGCACUCUCCUUCUUUUGCAGCUACCUGGCUUAACUAAGUCUUUCAACAAACUUAACUGUUUUGAUAGUUGUUAGCUGUUUUAACGGCGUCGAUCUCUUUAUCUAUAUCUCUUACCAAAUAUUUCAAUUUAAUGUGAAGUUAUCAUUUCGUUUUCUUGCAAAAACAACUUUUUAUUAAUUAUAGUGGAAAGGGAACAAGAAAUUACCAUGUAGUACUUGUUUUUGUUUCAAAUUAGUAAUUGAUUACUCUUUUGAAGAGAAUUAAUUAGCAACUAAUUUGAAUUAUAAUUAGUUGAGGAAUAAGAGAUUUAACCCUCUCAUAACAAUGUCCCAACAACCUUUGUUAUUGUCUAUCACAAGAAUUGCUUAAUUAAUAUUUUUUUUUUAUAAAUGAAAAACAAGGAUUAAGAGAGAGUUUUGGAUUAAUUAAAUUAAAGAAGAACAAUGAUACUUCAAUUGCACUCCAUUUAUAUUUAUAGUAAGAACUUAUAUCAUCGAAGUUAUACUAUGUUUCUCUCUCUCUUUUUCUUUUUCUUUUUUAUUUUAUUUUAUUUUAUUUUUAUCUAGGUUGGAUGAUGGGAAGUGUAGUCCAUUCCAUUUCCCUGAAAUCACAUUGCUUAAAAAGAAGCCUCUUAUAAUUUUAGAUUAAAGUUGAUUAAAGGAAUAGGGAUGAUUAGUUUAACCUAAUUAACGAUUAAUUAGUAUAUCUUAAUUUGUCUUUAAAGCUCAAUGGUUCUGUUAAUUUAGAUUCACAUCGGACAUAUUACAAAAGAGGGCAAAACACUUUCUCUCGAGUAUUUCAAAUAGAGGAAGAAGUGAUCAUUAUCAUUUCAUCUCAUUUCUCGGUAUCUUGAAAAUAGAAUUAAAGGGUGAUUAAAAAAUUCAUCUAUUAACUAUUUUAACAAUUCCAUCAAAGUAAUUGUUAAUUAAAAAGAUAAUUAAUUCCUGGGAUUUACUAAACUCCAUGAUAAUUAAUUUAUCAAUAGAAGACUAGCAAAGGAAAAUAAGAUAUUAGUAAAUGAAAUGGCGUGAAUUAAGGAAAUAAUAGAGGAGAAGGAAAGAAAAGAAAUAUAAAAACCUUCCAUGAUUGGCGGUGAUUAGCUAGCCAUGUGAGUUAGGGACAAAUACAACAUCCACACCUAAUCUCAACUUCCUCCAACCCAAAUUCAAUUCAAUUGUAAUACUGAAGAUCGAGGAGGGGAAGAAUUGAAGUUGGUCGGAAGCGUAAACUUUAAAUUACUGACUAAUAAAUUCAGGAAUAGAUGUUUGACCAAAUAGUUCCAUGAAUUAUAUUUUAUGUACAAAUGCCAUUUAUUUCUUGGUAGCCAACCCUCAAGCUUUAAAAAGAAAAUUGGUUUAUUUUUGUUUUUAUUUUUAUUUAGUAUUGUUAGUUGUUGGCAUUUAGAUCAAAUUGUAACUUUAUAAAUUAAAAUAUUUCAUCAUUCAAUCAAAAUCUCCAAAACAUUUAUUCUCUCCAAAGUUUAUAUAUAUAUAGAUAUAAAUCACCGGUAUACGGACCUCGUUACUAUAGCUUUAUGUAAUAGUAAACAUAAAGACAAUACUCUUGAAUAUAUAUAUACAUAUAUAUAAAAUUACUUUCUUAAAAACAUGAUUAAAAAAAAAAUCCAUUCUUUAAUUUUUUUUUGGCUAAUCGUUGAAAUUGGAUGUGUAUAUAAAAAGUAGUGUUGGAUACGGCAUUGUUGGACGCUUAUGUUUUGCCGUUUUGGUCUUAAAUUAAAAGCAUACGGAUCCGUGCAGACAGUGGUACCAUGUGCUCCGCCUUCUUAGUCGCAAAAGAGCACAAAUUUAAAAUCAAUUAGUAUUCUUUUCUUUUGCUAGCAUUAAAAAAAUUAAUUAAUUAAUUAAUUAAUGUGAAAUUUAAUGUCAUUUUCCAUGCCAGAGGAGCAAUCUUUGAGCCAUACAAUCUGAAAUUGAUCAGUCUCAAUGUCACAUGAGCUUUAUGUGUUUGGUGGGGAACAUAUUGCCAAAGAAUUUAACUUUGUUUUUCAUUUUGUUAGACAUGGAACAAAAUAUAUUUAAAGCCAUUUCAUGAUAUCUAAUCUCAUUUAAUUCUCUAUACAAAAUAACUAAAAUAUUAAAAUAAUUUGUAUAAAAAUAAAAGUAACUAUAUAUUUAAUAUAAAUAUUAUACUAAAAUACAUUUUAUUAUAUUACAUUAUUUCAUUAAUUCCUGCUCAUCAAAUAGAAUAUAAAAUAAUUUUAUUAGAUUGUAUUUAGUGAAAUAGAAAGUAAUGGAGUAUAAAAUAUCUUUUAACACUAUUACUAGUGGGAUACAUUCUUUUUACAAGAUAGAAAAAAAAUUUUUUUUUUUUCCUUUUUUGUUCAUGAUAAGGAACUAGACCCCUAAUUUCGCCCUAAAAACUAGCUCAUAGGGAAAAGAUUGAAUCCAACCUUACACACUAGGCCAAGAUGUACUCCGCGGGUGACGUGGGACGCAUCGGUUCAUGGGAGGUAUGAAGAGAAGUUUGACCAUAGACGGUGCAAAUGGUGUACUAUCAAGUGGAGGAACACAAAAAUGGAGUUGACACUUGACAUGCACUAGCACUAUCAUGGAAUAAUGGCACAAAAUAUAUCACAAUUAAUAAGGAAUGACUUCAAGAGAACUUCCAGUGUGUGUUUUGACAUAAGUGACAAAAGGUUAAAAAUGAAAAUAUUGCAAUCAUUUCUCUCAACAUACACCACAUGAUCUUAAAAAGUUCCAAAGCCCACUUUCUCUGGGGUUCUUAAAAAAUAUUUUGUAUUUUUUAUCCAAUAUAUUUACACUAUUAAGCAUUUUUCUUUGGUCUUAUGGUGUAGAGAUACGAUCUUUAGAAUGCCAAUAAAAUUAUAAAAAAAAAAAAAAAAAAAAAGAAGACAAAUAUGUAUAAGCUUGCGAGAGAGACAGAGCGAAACCAGCCAGCUUUCUGGUAGCCAAAAACUGGACCUACGCUACAAAAACAAUGUAGCUUUUUCCCCACUUUAAUACAGUACAAUGCAGAAACAAACUAAAGUAAGCAACGGUGGACCAGAAGAAAAUACCAGCUAGCAUUUGAGGGUCCAUCCAAUCUAGCUUGCGUUUUAAGCCAUUGGUUCCUGUUUUGAGGUUCCUUUUUAAUUUUUAUCAAACGACAUGUUUAAUAAAAGCGACACAAAUGAAAAGGGCAAACGAUAAUUUCAGUGGUUCCCAUAAGCUAUUAAUUUGGGUUUUCAAUUUAGUAGGGUGAUUACAGCUUAAUUUUUUUGAUUAUAGUCAUAAUUACUCAGUUGAAUGAAAUUGCAGCCACUAUUAAUUGCAACAAACUCUCAUGAUUGUGGAUUGUCUUCUCUAAUUUUGACAAGCAGUAUAAGGUUAAUUAAUUUUUCUGUAAUAAUUCGUAAGUAGAAGUCAUAAAUGGAAAUUAAACCUUAUCUAUACAUUAUUAGACUGUGUAAGUUGUAAGAGAUUGAGGGUUGUGUGGACCAAAGUUGAAUUCACUUUAUAUUAUAUGCAAUUGGGAAUGAAAAAUGUAGACCCAUACAUUUUUAUGGGCACUGUCUCUGUUGGAUGUCCUAUCAUAUGGGUUAUUUUUUAACAUGAUUUGGGCUCCAACCUGAAAGCCAGAUUUUGUGAUUGGGACCUUCUCUCCUCAAAUCUUCAAGAACAGGAUGUAGCUUUGCAUCUCUUUUUCAUGCAAUUUUCAAACAAUUGAAAAUGGAAGGUAUUGGUAUUUUUUAACAAAGGCUUAUGUAGUUAAAUAAACAAAGGCUUUAAAUGGUUGGGUUAUGUAGUUAAAAAUCGCGGGAAACAUUUUCUUGGAAUUUGCAUAAAAGAACACUCACCGAGAGAACCGGUAACCUGGGAGAUCCCAUAGUCGUUUUACCGUACUCAAUUAGAAGGACACCUGUCAAUAUCGUACGUUUCAUAAUACAGAAAAUUCGUACGGUCACCGUAAUUUUUUUAUUGCCACCUUCAUCGUUAGCAACGUGGCAAAUAGAAGAAGCGAGUAGUAAUCUUCACCGCCAUCGGCGAGUACGGAUACUUCUGUUCAGAAUAAAUACAGCUGACUUGGCUUCGGUGGUCUUGGUGACGGAAGACGAGCAAGAGACGGGGGUUGAGGUGAUGUGUCAGAGGGGGAUGAUUAGGCACGUGAGUUACCGACACACACGAGACGUGGGCGAGUUAAAGCGUAUAAGGCCUUUAAGCGAGAGAGAGAGAGAGAGAGAGAGUCAGUUAGUGGCGGUUAGAGAGGUGGUGAGGUGGUUAGUGUUUGGGUUAAUUGACUUAACCUGAGUUAAGAAAGGUUAAACAAAGUUAGGCGAGAUUUAGGCCUGUAAGUUCUUUUCGCUAUAAAAGGAUAGCUUCGCCAGAGCUCUCUUUGACUCGUAUCUUUUAUUUUCUUUCUUGAUUUCUUGAUUCUUAGACAGAGAAACAAACAGCGCCAUUUACUCCGAUAAACAGAGAGAGGAAAAGGAAGAAGCAACAAUGGCGGUUUCGCUAAGAGUCUUUUGUACAUGUACAUUGAUGCUUCUAGUUCUGUUUGUUAGUGUAAAAGCUGAUACAAAGAAGACCGAUCUGAAAUCGAGGUACAUUUUCGAUCUUCUUCCAUUUUGAGCUCUUCACGAUCGAUUUUCCACUGAAGCUGUAGAAUUCUCUUGAUUUGUAUUGACUUUUUAUUAAAUUUCUCAAGUGCUCUAUUUUUUACGCUUAAAUUAGUACAUUUUGAUAUAAAUAAAUAAAUCAAUGAUGAUGCUUUAAUUUGGUGUUUUGUUCUCCCAGAUUAGAAGAAACGCGGCGUUUUCAGAGCUCCAACAACUCAUCAAUGGCGGACGGGUGAGUUACAGAGCAGUUAAGCUACUAAUUGGAUCCUAAUUGUACAAUUUGAAAACUGCGAGACCUGGACUGUUGGUUAAUUCAUUUACCUGACAUCCAGAAAACUUUAAGCCGUUGAGAUCGGGAUCCAAAAAAAUCAUUAUCGUUAAUUCUGUUGCAUUAGUUUAGUUUCUCAGGCGACGGUUGCUCAGUUGCUCUGUUAUCAUUUCUGAACGUCAGAGUAAAAAGUUCACAGUGGAAGUAGUUUACUUUUUGAACUAUGACCGUGAUGUUGACCAGAUUAGUUUAAUUUUUCUUGUGUACGAAAAUGUCCUUGAAUUAUAAGGUUUUAUGAGGUUAAUUUAGUCACCUAAACUUAUAUUUUUGAUUAUAAGUUUAUUUUAUUUUAUUUUUUAAUAUUCAGGUCAGGUGAUGCAUGGAACGAGCAUGCUGUAGAGAAUCCGGAUGAGGUUGCUUCAAUGGUUGAUGAGUGAGUUUUUAUGUUUACGUUGAUUAUUAUUUUAAUACACAUCAAAUUCUUUUAAUUAAUAUUCCCAUUUUAAUUAAUUAAUUUUUUUAUUAUAUUUAUGGGUAUCAAUAAAGAGCUUCACAUGCCCAUAUUAUUUAAACUCAUAAAUAAGUAAACCUCUUUUGUUUUUUAAGGUCUAACAUGUCUUCGAUUAUAAUUGAUUAUAUAUAAGUAGAAGAUUGAAACUUAUCAUUAAAGGAAAAAUUCCUUUUGAAAACAACAAAUAUGGUUACAAAUUUUGGUUACAAAAUUGUUAUUUUCGUUAUAAAAAGUUCAUUGCAAAGGUAAAAAUCAUUGCAGGAUUGUUGCGUGUAAUAGCUAACCAAGAUCUUCACAUUUUCUGUGAGGACCUUUUUCCUAACUCUCAGUACCCUUUCCAAAAACCUUCCACAUGUCUCUUUCAACACACAGCAUGUAAAAUUCCGUUCAAAAACCUCAGCCAAAAGAAUUGACACCAAAAUGAUGAGGCUCGUGGCUAGGUCGAUUUUGAGAUUAUUUUUGGGUUUCGAGCCAAAAUUCUCAUAUAAUUUUUUUCUCAUUACGUCCGAUUAAAUUAUAUUAAAUUAUAUUAUAAUAUAUCAAAAAAUAUGUCUUUCGCCUUUGAAGUUUGAAAAUAACAGUAUAUGGUAUCUGAAUUGGAAAAAAAAAAAAGAAGAUAAUAGCCUAAUAUAAUCCCUGGUGAAAAACAACAUCAGGAGAUUUAAAACACAUAUAUAUAGCCUAGUUUUUGGGUUGCUUAUAGGUAGGUAGAUGGUUACUUCUAUCACCCAUAUGGAGUAAUUCAAUAUACUAUUAAUUAUUAUCGAUCCAAGUGGUUAUUAAUGAUAUGAGGAUUCAACCAUGUUCUCUUCUAUGAAAUCUCUACUCUUGCAGUAUCCCUAGCUAACUUUUAAUUCUUCCGCCAGCUUAUGCACAUGCCAUGUCGUGAGAUCCGCGCAUCACGCCCUUAUUUUAUUUCUUGUCUUUUUCUUUCUCCUAUCCAAAUCUAAUUCCAAGUACAUUUAGCUUUACAUGCCUAUACCGACGUGUCUAUGACUUCGCAUUAAGUUUUCUAAAUUAGCUUCAUUUUUUUUUUAAUUGCUUUUGUAAAGCCAUCAUUUGACUGUACAUUUUAACUACUUACUUUCCAUGUUGGCCUUAUACAUCAGAUACCCUGGUUUUCUCGCUUGUAUCUCGCCCUGCAAAUCUUUAUUUUUGAGUGCUAAAAGUUUUAAAGUUUGAACUGACUGUUAACUACGGACAAUUCUACAUAUUCUACUUCUUUAAUUUACUGGAUUAUACAGGAUUUCUAAGGUUGCAAUCCAUUUUGAUAGUGAGAAAUUUUUUCUUGUUGGGUUUUAAUUAUAUACCUCCACGCACAAGCCUACUUUUUAUCAUAAUGUUGCUCUUAUGUAUUAACAGCUACUAAGUUCCAUCAUCCAUUCGACAUGAUUGGUCUCAAGAUCUCAAUUAUGUCAAUUACAACAACGAUAAUAUCUACCAUUGGCUUUUUAUCCCAAUUAGGUGGGGUAGACUGGACAUUAGACAACUAAGUUUUUGCUCCUUUUCUCCAGCCUGUCAAAAGGCAUGAGCUGCAAACCACACACCCAGAUCUAGCUUUCGUACCAUCAGACUGUUUAUCAGAAUUCUUUUCUGAUCUAACAGGUUGUAGCUACCCAUUUGAGCCAAGCUGUUGAAUAUGGUUAAUGUGAAGUCAAUAAAUGACAACGCCAAAUUUUUAUUGAUCACCGACAUGUAAAAGUACCAGUCAGGCCAUUAGUUCAGCAACCUUGCAUUUAUUUCUUGAAUAGUGGUGAAAUAUAUUUAUGGCAUUAAAAGAUCAUAACAAUUCUCCGUAUAGACCGUAUCAAUUCAUGCAUUUGUCCAUCGUCCACAUUGUCACGUGCCCUACAUCACAUCUUGAUGUGGGGACAUGAUGCUUUUUAAGUUUUAACUAGUGAGUGAUUAAUUUUGUCAAAUACCUCAAUAAUUCUAAUACCAAUAAUGACAAUGUCACAUGUUCUUGUGAAUUCUAACAGGAGCGUACGCAACAGUACAGCAAGAAGGAAUUUAGGAUUCUUCUCAUGUGUAACAGGCAAUCCUAUUGAUGAUUGUUGGCGAUGCGACCGCAAUUGGCAAAAAAACAGGAAACGCCUUGCUGAUUGUGGGAUUGGUUUUGGACGCAAUGCCAUUGGUGGUCGUGAUGGAAGAUACUAUGUUGUUAAUGACCCUAGCGAUCAUGAUGCUGUUAAUCCAAGACCUGGAACACUACGCCAUGCUGUUAUUCAAGAAAGACCUUUAUGGAUUGUGUUUAAGAGAGAUAUGGUGAUUACUCUAAAGCAAGAACUUAUUAUGAAUAGUUUUAAGACUAUUGAUGCCCGAGGAGUCAACGUUCAUAUUGCCAAUGGCGCUUGCAUUACAAUCCAAUUUGUCACCAAUGUUAUUAUUCAUGGUCUCCACAUCCACGAUUGCAAGCCUACUGGUAAUGCCAUGGUUCGUAGCUCGCCUACUCAUUAUGGAUGGAGAACAAUGGCUGAUGGAGAUGGAAUUUCCAUUUUUGGAUCGAGUCAUAUUUGGAUUGAUCACAAUUCUCUAUCAAAUUGUGCUGAUGGCCUUAUUGAUGCUAUAAUGGGGUCAACUGCCAUUACCAUUUCCAACAACUACUUCACCCACCACAAUGAGGUUAAUUACAUUACUCUGGCAUCAAUUUAUUUUACUCAUUUGCAUUUUCUCUUUCUGGCAAAAUUUGACUGAAGUACUAAAGAAUGUUUCUUAAACAAUGAACAGGUUAUGUUAUUGGGUCACAGUGACUCCUACACAAGAGAUAAACAAAUGCAAGUAACAAUUGCCUACAACCAUUUUGGAGAGGGUCUUAUCCAGAGAAUGCCAAGGUAAUAUUAAAAUGAAACAAUAUCUCUUUUAUCCCAAAUGAAUGAAUUUUACUGCUGAAGUAAAUCUGACAGGGACAAGUCAUUAACCUCUGCAGGUGUAGGCAUGGGUAUUUCCAUGUGGUGAACAAUGACUAUACACACUGGGAAAUGUAUGCUAUUGGUGGAAGUGCCAAUCCUACCAUUAAUAGCCAGGGGAACAGAUAUCUUGCCCCUAAUAAUGCUUUUGCUAAGGAGGUAAAUAUAUUUUCCCAUGAUAAUGAUAUGAAUGAUGUGAUGGCUAAAUAAUGAAAAGAAAAAGUUAUUAAUUUUCCUUUUUUUUACUGCCAGGUGACAAAAAGAGUCGAGACAGGAAAUAGUGUGUGGAAACACUGGAAUUGGAGAUCAGAAGGAGACCUAUUAUUAAAUGGAGCCUAUUUUACUCCAUCAGGAGCUGGAGCUGCAGCCAGCUACGCUAGAGCUUCGAGUUUAGGAGCAAAAUCCUCUUCCAUGGUUGGUUCUAUUACUUCAAGUGCUGGUGUUCUGUCCUGCCGUAGAGGCCGCCAAUGUUAAUUCUCAAACCCAUCAACAGGAAAAGAAAAUCUACAACAGUAUCCAGAAAAGUUUGCAGCCAUUCUCUGUUCAAUGCCUACUCCUCUGUAUUUGUCCCCUCCAAAAAAAAAAAAAAAAAAAAAAAUUGGCAAGUGUACAUUUACAUUACGGGUGCCAUUUCUGUAACAAUCAGAUACAAAAUCUCCACUUGUCAUUACGCCAUUGAUCGACCUCGGCGUGCUUAAUUUAGAUGCCGCAGUGUUGUUCACAUCUUCAUUUUGUUAAACUCUCUCUAUUCAUCAUAGAGUCAUCAAUUUGUCCAUUUGCUCAGAUUCUGUACUAUAUAAUUUACGAAUUCUGGCAAUUCUAAGUAUUCCAAAAUCAAAUUUAAUUAAAUAUAUUGUUCAGUUACUUUCAUCAUUUUGCCUCUUUAAAUAGUAAUUAUUGAUAUUCACGACAUAUUGUCCUUCCUACCUUAUUGCACGUGACGGCAUAAAGCAUAUUAUGCAAUGAUGCAUUUUUUUUUAACCUUUCUCACUUCCACCUUACGAUGCUAAAACCACACCUAAUUACAGUAAUUAAAGUUUGGUUAUGAGAAAUCCACAUUGGUUGCAUGUGAGGUGGGGACUCAAAAGCCAUGUGAAGCAUUCUUUACCUACAAAACAAUAGCAUUUUCUUUGCCAACCUGUUAGUUGCAGACCAUGUUACAAGUAUGACAUUGUAAGGCUCAGGCAAUUGUCACCUUGCUUGGAAGUUGAAGCCAUGUGGGUGUGGAUUGGGAGAUGCCAAAACACAACACACUUCAUCUUCUCUCUCUCUCUCUCUCUCUCUCUUUGAUUUUAACUUCCAACAGAAAAUGUCUUGUCAAACAAGUUGGUUCAGCAGUAAUUAGAGAGCCCCUAUAAUAAUUAUGAAGAAUUGAAUUGAGAUAGUGUGAAAAUUAGAGCCCAAUUCACAAAACUGGCAUUUCAUACCAAAUCCAUUAAAACAAAUUGAUUGUAUGGAUGUAGUUUUUGCCUUAUCUAUAGCAUUGAUUUGAUUGUACAAAUAAAAAAUGAGAAUAAAUUUUUGGUGGUAGAGAGAGUUCCCAGAGAUGCAAGGAAUAUGUACAGGUUAACGGUAUAUACGUGUCUGUCUGUGCAGGAUGCACUGUCAAGCAUACUGAUAUAGAAGGUAAAUGUUGUUCUAGUACUUCUCUUAUCACUCUUUACCACCAACUAGGCAUAGCCAGUUCAUUCAACCGUCGGUUCAAAUUUUUCAAAAUGUUGAAUCUGAAUCGGUCUUUGAACCGUCGGUUUCGGUUUGAUUCUGGUUUCGGCGCGGUUUCGAUGAACCUCGGUUCUGUUCACGGUUUUUAAUAAUAUAUGUUUUUCUUUUUUUAAAAAUCGGGUUUAAUGUUACAUCUUUCUUUCGUACAUAUUUAUAUGAGUUUAAAAAAUAUAGUUAAAUUUUAUUUUAAAUAAAUUUUAGAAUGCUUAAACUCAUAUAGGAAUAAAAUUAAUUAAUUUUACAAAAUAAUCAAAUAAAUUAUCACUUUAUUUUGUUUAAAUGUUAUUCAUUAAAUAAAUUAUAAGAAAAUUUUGAAAAAUGCUUCAAAAGAAUGUAAUUUGGAACUUAGCAAACAAUUUAAAAGGGUAAAAAAAAAGUUAAAAAUAAUAUAAGUUUAGACUAAAUAUUUCUCUUUUUUUUACCAUUUUACUUUUUAGAUUUUUAACUUUCAUAGUAAAGUGUAUUUUAAAAAAAAUUCUUAAGUAAAGUGUAUCAUGUAGUAUAAUAUUAUUGAGACUUUUAGAAAUGUAUAAAAUAGGCUAAGUGAUUAUCAUUUUGAAAAUAAAAAUAGAAAAUUUCCAGUUUGAACUGGACCGGAAUCGCCGAUUCCGGUUCAUAUUUUAAUAUUCACAUGAACUUUAACUAGCCCUUGAAGAGCCUUUUCCGGUUUAAAAUUUUGAACCGCCGAUUUCAGUCUAGUUCCAGUUUGAACCGAACCGGUGGCCAUGCCUACCACCAACUAGUCCAAGUGGCAGAAAAAAACUAUAAAAAGUUUUAACUGUUCCGUUGAGUUAACUUUUCACGAGAAUUAAGAAAAUAAUUGAAUCACUUCAAUUUUUUUUUUUUUAAAUAAGAGUAAUUGACUCAAUUACCUUUUAAUUAAUAUUUAUUUAUUUGCGACACAAAUCUACAACAGAUAUAUAUAUAUAUAUAUAAAAGAUAAAAUUGGAAUAAAAUAAUUAAUACUGUUUUGAUUUUUUUUUUUAAAAAACUUUCAUCUAAAUAGAAUAAAAAAUAAUUAUAAACUAUAAAAUUUAAUGCAAGAGAGAGAGUAUAAGCCAAUCAAAGUUUCUUAAUUAUCCAUUUCUUUAAAUCUGCUUUCAGUUUCAAAAAAGUUCAUUGCUAAUUGCAAAUUAGUAGUACUCUCUCUGUUAUUUUUAUAUAUAGACAAACUUUUCUUUUUUUUGGUAACAUUGAAAAAAAGUCAAUUUGAAAACCUCAUGUUACUCUUGUCUUAUUCUUUAUGAAAGUUUUAUUAUGGGAGAUUAUUAAGGUAAUGGCAAAUAAAAUUGUAGAAGAGCAUUAAAUCUGAAGGAAAUUUGGUGAUAGAGUUGUUAUUUUUUAAAUUAACAUUGGAAAAAUAAAUAUGAUCUAACUAAGAAAAUGGUGCUUUGAAUGAUAUGAAAUUUAAGUUUUAAAAUGGUAUAAAAUUUAGAAAUGAAGCACAUUUAAAAGUUAUGAUUUUAUACUUUAUCCAUCUUUUGUGAAGCUACCCUAUAUUUAAAUUUUUUGACAAUUACUUAAGUGUAUCGGAAAAUUAUUUGAACAUGAAAUAGUCAUUUUUUUAACGCAACUUAUACAAAGAGAAACCAAUAAUAAGUUUCCCUUAACGGCUAGAAAAUAAAUUUUUUUUUUUUUUUUUUUUUGCACUCAUUUGAUUUUUGGUCCAAUUUAUAAUUUAUGCACACAUUUUAUAGGAUAUAUUAUUGUAUUGUCCAAAUUUGUGAGCAAUCCCGUUUAUAAAUUGGGUCUAAUUUUGUUAAGAAGCCAACGUAUUUACUAAAGUUUCAACUAAGGAUGUAGAAUUGAGUUUCAAAAAUUUAAAUUUUUAUUUCCUAAUCAAAUCUUUUAAUAUCCUUUUUUAAGGAAGACAAUGCAUUUAUUGUGAUAUUCAACCAAGAAACAUUGGUAAAUGUUAUGUUACAUUAUAAAGGAGGAGUUAAUGCGAUAUAGGGGUAUAUUAAGAAACAAUAAAGAAAAAUAGUUAGUUAUAUUAAUUUCUUAAUCUCGGUGAAAAUAUGGUUGUGCCUACAGAGUACCGUAUAAAAUGAAGAUUUCGUAAAACAAUGUCUUUAAUCAUGCAAAUCAUUAUUUUUUCUUUUUUUUUUUUUUUUUUUUUUUUUUUUUGUUAUAAGGGAAUUAUUAUUAUAAAGAAAAUGACUUGUGUACACUAAUGUAUAAGCUCACUCUAUGCAUUAAGCCAAUAAAAAAUAAUUAAUUAGAUCAAACGAGAAUAGUUUUGACUGUACAAUAAAAAACAAAGUAAUAAUUUUUAAAAAGUUCUCUUUUAAUUGAUUUGAUGUAUGAAUGGUCUUAAGGGUGAAAAUAAGCCGAACUGGCUUACGAGCUAUUCGAGUUUAACUCGAAAAAAGUUCGGCUUGAGUCUAAUGAUAUUCAGCUCGAAAGCUUAUCGAGCUUUAUCAAACUUUAUAUAUAAACAUAUAUAAUAUUUAUUUUACAUUUACUCAUGUCUCAAACCUCGAGCCGAGCCUGAGCUUAAUAUUUUUCAAGUUGAACUCGCGCUCAAGCUUAAGUCUAAAAUAUUCGGCUCGACUGGUCUCAUGCAUUGGGUAAAGAUAAAUAUUAUCUUAUUAUAAUUAUUUAGUUAUUGAUGUGAAAACUGUAAUGAAAAUGUGAAAGUAUGAUUUAAUUAGCCUGGAUUCGGCCCAAUUUAUGCAAUCCAAGAUAAUCAAUAUAGCAUGGAUUUGUUUGUGUUCCAAUGGGAUUGCCUUUGCCUAUUCCUAAAUUUCUCACUCAAAUAUAAGAGUUGGGGAUUCAAAAGGUUUCAUAUUAAAUUCCAUUCAUAUCGAGUAUUUAUGAUAAUUCAUAUUAAAUUAUUAAAAAUUAACAAACUCGAGCCAAAUUCAGCUAAUGUAUUAUUCAAAAAUUAAAGAUUAAUAUUUUAAUUUCAUUUAUAUAAAGAAAAAAUAAGGUAGUAGUUUGACUAUUAUAUUUAUAUUUAUGGUGUAAUAGAACUCAAACCAAUCUUAAUCUCUACUUCCAGAGUCAUUUUGACUAAUGAACUCUUCAUUUGUCCCUCUAGAUUCGAUUUUGUCUUAGAAAUUAAAAAAGUAAAUUAAAAAAGUAUUGAAAAUUAAUAAGAAAGUCCUACUCCAAUUAGCAUUCGGUUACCUCUAACGCCCUCAAGAAAUUUCCUCUAAUCAAAUUCUUUAUAUUUAUGGAUUACGAGACCUUUCAGAAUCUUCAAGUGUAUCUAUACAAGAACAACCCAUUCCUUGUCCUCCACUCAACCAUCUACGACCAUUGCCAAACCUGACAAGAACAAGAUCAAGAUCCUUUCUUUCAACCUUCUUGACAAUAUGCCUUUUCGCAUUGGAGAAACUCGACUGUUGUUGUUCAUCAUAGAGGAUGAAAAGAUCGAAGCUAAUAAUGGAUGCAACUCCACUAUCACCUUCAGUAUCAGUUCUGCAUCUACCCACCAUCAGAAACUUAAGAGGGAACCAGACAUCCUGAUGGAAGUCAAUUCCGUUCCGAUCGUUGCAGAUAAUGUACACAUUGAUGCAGAAGAAUUUCUUGGUUGCAGCAACGAUGGAGAGGCUUAUUCAAAGAUUUCUGACUUAUUGGCUUCAUUAUGUAUCAACUCUAAUGAUAAACAGAGAAUUGGUAAUAAUAUAGUCAUGCAGACACGUAUUAUUGCAAGAAAAAACUCUUCUUCUUCUUCAGGUAAUCAUAAGUUGCUGAUAAAUGUGGAGAUGCAACUUAAAACAGUAUAUUGGUGGCAAAGAACAGUUCCAGCAACUUGCUCUUCGAUAGCGAAUUUGGAGCGAGGAAGACUUGGAGAUUUUGUUCUUGAUGCGCCUAGUCAGUGUUCAAUCUGUUUAGACGAGUUUCAGGCUCUGUCACAGAUAAAGCGCAUGCCUUGUUUGCAUAUAUUCCACAGUCAUUGCAUUGAUCAGUGGCUGAGUUUGAGCCAUAAAUGUCCCCUAUGCCGGUUUGAGAUGCCGGCUUCUUGUAUUAAUUUCACGUAUUAAUUUCAUGGAAUAGCAAACUCACAACAUGAAAUCCUGAAGAAAAUAACUCCAGCAUUGCGUAAAUAUCGAUCUAAAUUUCUGCUAAUACAAUCUAAAACUGAUGCUUCUGAUUGUUGUUGAUAUUUUUUAUUGCUGCUAGCUGGACAAAUAUGAGACGGAAAAUUAAAAUUUGUUUUCUAGCUCUAAUUAGGCAGUAAUAUUUUUUAUAAGGAAGCAUUGUUUUGAAUUACAGAGAUGCUAAAGAAAUGAAUUCUCAUAUGGAAAUACAAGGAAGGUAACAUUACAAUCAACAGCUACUACUAUCACCAGUAAAUUUUGAAACAUAGGAGGAGCUAAUUUUUGGGUUGAAAAAGAAAGCUUAGCUUAAUUAAAAAGGGGUACCAAUUUCGCUUCUUGUUUCAGUAGGACUGUACAAAGCAGACCUGUUUCUUGGUCUGUUUUCUUCCAAUUGCUUCACAACUUCAUCCAUAGUAGGCCUGACUGAAGGGACUGGAGCACAGCAUCCCAUUGCGAGUUUCAGUGCCUGAACUAGCCCUUCUUCCAUUGGAUUCCUUAUCCCUUUCAAAAUUUCCACAUCAAAAACCUCCAUUGUUGUUUCCUCCAAAACUGCCACUUUCACCAUCGAAGGCAAAUCCACAAAUUCACCAUUCCUCCCGUUUUUCCCCGGUUUUUUACCGAUCAAAAUCUCGAGCAAAAGUAUUCCAAAUGCGUACACAUCAGUUCUAGAAUUGCAUUUCUUCAUCCGUUGAAGCUCUGGUGCCUUAUACCCAUCAGUUUUUGCAAGUGCCACUAUUUCAUCAGCCACAGAAGGGACCAUUAGCUUGUCAAGCCCGAAUUCUGUAAGCCUAGUAACAAAAAAUUCAUCCACAAGCACAUUUUUGGAUCUCACAUUCCCAUGUGUAAUAGGUGUCUCAAGACCGGUAUGAAGGUAUGCUAAUCCCCUGGCUACGCCCAAUGCAAUCUUGUGCCGCCUAGCCCAGUUCAGUAUUGGUUUUCCUGCUUUUGUUUCUGCAAUUAACAAGACAACAAAGCAAGAGUAAAGAAUAUGUAUUUGAUUCCCAAUUCACACAAUAUGAAUUACAUAGUCUUCGUUUUCUAUUAUGAGCUUCGAGGAACAACACAAUUUAAAGUGUUUGAAUUGCAACAGAUAUUUGUCUUAAAAUUUUAACUCUUUAGUGAUUCAAUAAUGAGGAAAGGCAUUAGUAUAAAAAGGACCCUACUUUAACCAGAGAGAGCAAGCAAUGAUUUUAAUAUAUAUAUAUAUAUAUAUAUAUAUAACAACGACAAAUAAACAAAAUGUAGAGAGAAGAAAAAGAAGGCAUACCAUGUAAGAGAUCAUAAAGAUUUCUGCUUGGAAGAUAGUCAUAUAUGAGUAGCUUCUCUCCCCUCUUCCCCUGGUAGAAAGCUCUCAAAGGAAUCAAAUUUUCAUGCCGAAUCUUCCCUAAUUGCUUUAUCACAGGUAAGCAAGAGCUCCUAUCUUUGCAACUACCUUCCCUCAACAACCUCAAAGCAAUCGUGCCUCCAUCAGCAAGUUUUGCUUUAUAAACUGUCCCAUAAGUAGUCUUUUCCGUUACUUGUCCUGUUGCAUUCAAAACAUCCUCUAAUGUCAAAUGCUCACCACCUUGAAACAAAAUUAGCUUUCCUUCACCGCCACCAGCACCACCAUUUUCUUCAUCGUCUCCUUCCUCUAAUUCAUCUUCACUAUCUUCCCUACAUUUUCUCUUCUUAUUUUGCAUAUACCCAAUUAACAAUGAGGCCAAAACUACAACUCCUGUCAUUAGACCAAUAACAAUACCAGCUAUUGCACCUGAACUCAAUCUUGAACUUCCAUUACAACUUCUUAAAGGCAGCCCACAAAGACUAGGAUCAUUCCCUUCAAAAACCUCUACACCAAAUUUUGAUUCACCAAAAACAGGCAAAACCCCACUAAAAUUAUUAUGUGAAAGAUUCAAUUUUUCAAGAUUUUUUAACACAGUUAAACCCUGAGGAAUUGAACCUGAAAACAUAUUAUUAGAAAGAUCAAGCUCCUUAAGCCCUUCAAAGUGAGUAAAAAAUUCAGGGAAAUUCCCUGAAAAUUUAUUGCUACCCAGAUCAAGAAAUUGCAAAUUCUUGCAAGUAGAGUCAGGCAAUGCAGUUUCAGGAAGAGAGCCAGAGAGUGAAUUAGAAUGAAACUUAAGAGAAACUAAUUUAUCACAUAAAUUCCAAACUGAUGGAGCUAGAACCCCAUUAAGCAUAUUAAAACUCAAAUCAAUAUCAGAAAGUGAAGAACUGUAACCAAGCUCGAGAGGGAUUGUUCCACUUAAUGAGUUAAUGUUAAGAUACAAACUUUGAAGCAUAGAGAACUCACCAAGCUCUCUAGGAAGUGAACCAGUAAGAUUAGCAGAUGGGAGCUGGAGGGAUAACAAGUGCAAAGAUGGGUCUUUAUAAAGUGAAAGAUUAGUCCAUUCUGGUGCAGAAAGAUCACUACAAGAAAGAGGGGACCCAUUGGAGAAUACCCAUUUGAGACCUCUCCAUUGGCAAAGAGGAAUAGACGAGUUCCAUGAGGAAAGUAAAAGAUUUUCAGUGUUACCUUGUAGUGAAGCUUUGAUCUUUCCAAGUAGAAGUUCAACAUCUGUAGAAGGAGGAGGAGGAGGAGGAGGAGGAUUUAAGGACGAGGAUUGAGUGAGUGAAACAGUAGUAAAGGAUAUGGUAAUGAAGGUGCAGAAAAUGUAAGAAGAGUAUAGUUUCAAAACAGCCAUGAAUGAAGUAACAAGGUGCAGAGAAAGAGAAAGGGAGAGUCAGAGAGAUACUUAACAAUGUGGUCUUUGUGUAGUUUUAUGAGAGGUUUUUCUUUUUGGGAAAACUGACUGAGUGUUGACUAUAAGUGAUAUUGUUUUGUCUAAUGACUCUUUCUCCAUUAUAUCACCUUGACUGAAAUGGCAACUCACUCACUUUGCUCACUUUAUUUAUUUAAAAUAUAAAAUACAAAAACUUUAAAUGUAAAUGAAUUAUUUGACAUUCAUUUAAAGUCUGAGAAAACUAUUUAAUUUUAAUCUAAUAAUAUUACAAAAUAUUUUUUAAGAAAUUAAAAAAAUUUCUAGAACUGUAAAAUUUAUGCACUUGUCCUACAUUACUGGUUCAAUUCAUAAAUACCGUGAGAUAUCUAAAAGAUAAUCAUUCAAAUAGCUGUAAGAUGAUCCAACGGUGGAAACACUAUAAAAUGCUGCACGUUAAAGUACAAGAAUACUACACCUGCAUGGUAAGUUGAAACUAUAAAAUAUAGAAAUAAUUGUGCUUGGUUUCUAUAUUUAACAAUAUUUAAAUAAUUAAUAAUAAUUGAAAUGCACGCUCUGAUCCUUUGGAAUUGCCCAUUUUUGCAAAUCUUUUCCCCUUUGCUUUGCACUCUUCGCAAAAGAUUGCUACGCAGGACGCCACCAAGUCUUGUCCUUUCAUGGAUCAAAUGUAUGCGCAGGUCCAUUAUAUGUUUACCGCUCCUUUGCUCAUAGCCCUACACGUGUGACGAUCGUUUAGCUAAUAGCAUUGACUCACAGAAGCUGAAUGAGUUUUUUGAAUUUGACGAUGGUGAUGAGUACACGGAAAAAUAUCGAAUUGUGACUGGGACCCAUAUGCCUGUGGGUCAGAGUACAAAAGCAAAACUCAUGAAGGAAAAGAAAAAGGUGAAUCUAUGUCUACUGCUUAGACAUAAAGUGGGGCCACAGGAUAACAUGUUCAAAAAGUUUACUUCUUUGUUUUUCUAAAAAAAAAAAUUAAUUAAUUAAUUAAUUAAUAUAUUUAUUUGUAUGAUACCUUCAAAACUUAGCUUAGCUCCCCAAACUUUCCAAUGUUGUCUUUUUUUUACUCAUUUUAUUUGAGCAUUUAAACUAUGGGUAUUAGUGUCAACUAAUAAUUAUGGAUAAUUCUACAUAUUUUUGGAUUAUACAAUAAUGCUAAUUAUUAAAACUAUUUUCAAAACUUAGUUUUUUUUAAUUAUAAUCAAAUGGAUCGCGUUAAUAUUAUAGAUUAUACAAUAAUUAUUAAAAUUAUUUUUUAUCAACUCUUUAUUGCAUUUGUGCACGAAACAAUAUUAAAGGUAUAUGUUAAAAUUGAAAUAUCCACUUGUAAAAUAUAUUCAGUUCACCGUUAAAAAUAACAUAUAAUACCUUACAGGGCUAAUAGUUUGUACUUUGUAUUAGAAAAAAAGAAAAACCUAUUGGGUACUAAACCUAGUUGUCUCUUUUUUUUUUUUUUUUUUUUUUUUUGUUAGAUUUUGUUUCUAAACCACCGCUAACUAUCUGUUUUGAUCGGCGUUAAUUUGUUUCUAACCCACCGCUAACUAUCUGUUUUGAUCGGCGUUAAUUUCUUUCCAUCCCUUUCUCGUUUUUCUUUAUUUUAUUUAGUUUUCUUUUUAAUAAUUUUCAAAUCUACGAUCGUUUGGAAUGAAAUUUGAAUUUAGUCUCUCAAAUAAUAAAUUUUGAGUAUUUUUUGUACCAUUUUAGUGGGGUUAUUAGUUUCUCUCAUUUCAUGGGAUUGUUCCUCUGUAUUGAAGAGUUUUUAUAUAGAUAUUUUAUUUCUUGGACAGUUCGAAAGACAUGAUGGAUGGUUGAUUGUUUGUGGUUGGAGAGUUUAGAUCUUCAAAUUCAGAUUUUUUUUUUUUUUAUCAAUGGAGCCUGGUAGGGCAUGUUCCUCCAUUAAAAUUUGAUGUAUUAAACUCUUCUCAGAGUGUCAGUUGUAAUAAGUUUUCGAAAAAACAAUGUUCGGGACAUUGUGGAUGGUUUCUUUUAUCGUCCUAUUUAAAAAUGGACCAAUUUUUACCCGGAAUAUUAAUAUCUUCUGCCAAAAUUAAGAACAUCUCCAAACAGAAGAUUUCAAUUUUUUAUAUUUGUAUUUCUUAUUCCUAUAGAAAUAUUAUGACGUACUUAAUUUAUAUUCAUUAUUAAUAAAUUAUUAUUAUUAUUUUUUUAAAAAUAGUUUGUACUUUGUACUGCUUCACCUUACAUUUCCUGUUAUACAAAGUCAAAAAGCAUUCCUACUUUCCAUGUAAAAUAAAUAAGUAACCAAUAUUCCUAAUUUCAUAUAUGGUUUUUAAAUUCAAAAUUUUAGAAUUUAACUAUUAAUUCCAGAAUUAGUAACAUGUAAAUAUUUACUUUAUCUUGAAUCUCAAAUAUGGAUAUUUGCUUUUCCUUGAAAAAAUUAUUUUUUGCUAAAAUUAUAAUUUCUAGGAAGAAAUAAUUCCUUUUAUAUAAAAUUGUAAUAAUUUUGAAAGUGCAAUGAGAGAGACAAAAACAAAUUCACUUUGGAAUAUAUAUAAUUGGGAAUAAUUUUUUAUUUUUGUUCUUCUAUGGGACCUCCUAUGGCAAUUAUGCCCUUUUUAAGGGAAAGCCUAUAUGGCCCUGGCCCUGUGCAUAAAAAGAAUAGUCCUUGUUUUUUUAAGGACAUACCAUGGGAAUAUAGGGCAAGUGGUUGAAUUUUUAAUUAUAAUGGAAUUAUAGUGGGUGUUUAGGUAGGAUAUGGCAUGUUUGUGUUUGCCAUUUUCACUGUUAUACCUCACGCCACUCUAACCCUAAUUAAUCUUCUCUAAUCAUUUUACUAAAUCAUUAAUAGUGUCAAAAGAUCCUUUUACAUCCCAUUAUUAUAAUUUUCAAACUAAGGUGAAAAUGUCUUAUAAUUUAUUUAAUCUUCCAUAAAAAAAAUCUAAAAUCAAUUAUAUUAAUAUUUUCGUCAUUAUUAUUAUUAUUGUGGAAUAUAUCCGGGAAAUAUUAUCUUUUCAGAUUUUACUUGAAUACCACCCUUUAUUUAAAUGUAGAAAAUCGUGUGCCGAGAAAUUCCAUAUGUUUUGAUGUGAAAAUUUCAAAUAAAUGUACAAUAAUUUCCACAUAAUUUUACAGUAUUUUAAUGGAAAUUUUUCCUAAAUUCAUCAAAAGAUUUUAAAAAGAAAGAGUUGAGUAGCAACAUGGGAUUUGAAAACAAAUCCACCUGAAGUUAUAAAGUAAUUAUUAUCUACACUGAGGAUUACAAAACCAACUGGAAUUUUCUUAUUGUUGCAUGGAACUUUGUUUGGCAUGAUACAAAGAAACUAUCAUUACUUUCUUAGUUUUGGCACCUACAAAGACAUUCAUCAUUUUAAAGAUAUAACAAAAGCAUCGACAAGACUUCGGUGGAAAAGCAGUCCCAGUCCUAAUCCCAGCCGUAUAAUAUUUGGCUAUUUGCCAUAACCGAAAGGUAAUAUUCCAGGAAAUUCCAUAACAUUAUCAUUGUGGUACUUACAAUCUGUUUGAAAAAAUUAAAUGUUUUCGCAGCGGUUUUUAGUAGUUAGCUUUUUAUAAAAUAUUAAAAAAUUAAACGUUAAGGGAUUAAUAUUUUAUAAAACGCUACUUUAAUCUCUCGAAAUUAAUUUAAAAUAAAUGCUAAAACCUGCUUUAAAAAAUUAUUGCCAAAAACAGACAAUUGGGCCUUGGCCAUUUCAAAUUUUGGAUUAUGGCAAUAAUUUGGGUGAAUAAGCUAGGCUAGCUCUAUAAAGGGCCGGGCUGGAAGCUGAGAAGCUGGCCUUAAUUGGGCAAGUUGGCAAUUCUGGAGGCAAUAGCAUCUGGACCAAGUACACUACCAGGAAAAUAUUGUGGUAAAUCUACAAACAAACUUGUGGUAAAUCUAUAAACCCUGCCAAUGAAAAGAGGCAAGACAAGAAGCUACCAAUAGUCCAUACAAGAACAUACUCCUUUCUCAAAAUGGUGGAAACGCUUCCGGUCCCUAACAAUAAUCUUACGCUUAUAUAUCUCUGAAAUUAGCUUAAUCGAAGAGUGACAAUCUUCACAAACACGAAGGUUCUUAACAAUCCGGAGUGGUGUUUGGGGUCUUGUACUGAUUAAACCAAAGGCAAUAGCAAUCCUCUCACUAUGAUAGUGUAAUGCACUUUCUUUUUUUUCUUCAUCCAUAUUGAGCAAGACUUGUGUAAUAUUCGGCCUGUAACCUGCAGAUCUUAUUCGGUUCGAAAUUUCCUCCAACAUUGAACGGAUUUCUUUUGCUCUAGGAUGGGAUUCAUCUUCUACUAGGAAUUCAUGAAUCACCCCAUCAAUCUCAAUCCAACUACAACCGGGAUCUUUCCUUACAUCCAUUUCCUUCAUUUUUAGCCUUACUUCUACAACUCCAACCCAAUUUCCCCUAGAGGCAAAUAUAUUGGAGAGAGCUACAUAAGAUCCACUGUCAUGUGGAAACAACUUCAUCAAAGUCCUUGCAACACGUUCACCCAUCUUUACGUUUCCAUGCAUUUUACAAGCACCAAGUAAUGCUUUCCAUAUUACAUCAUCCGGUCGAAUAGGCAUGUUUAGGACAAGUUGUUCAGCUUCUUCCAAAAGCCCAGCACGACCUAGAAGAUCAACCAUGCAUCCAUAAUGUUCGACCCUAGGUUCUAUACCAACAACCUUAACCAUAUGAUUGAAUAAUGAACGACCCUCUUCAAUUAAACCAGCAUGGCUACAAGCACUCAAUAAACCGAUAUACACAACAUCAGUAGGAGUUACACCUGCUUGUUGCAUCUUUCUGUAAUAAUCAAGAGCAUCAUUUGCUCGACCGUGCAUGGCAAGCCCACCAAUUAUAGCACUCCAAGUAAUAGCAUUCUUUUUAUUUUCUAUCUUUUCAAAUACUUGAAUUGCCUUCUCAACGCUCCCACACUUUGCAUACAUAUCAAUUACAGCAGAACCAAGCACAUCAUCAAUCUCAAUUUCAUUCUUCUCUGCAUACAAAUGCACCCAUUUACCUAAUUCUAGUGCACCCAAGCGCGAAAUAGCAGGAAGAACACUAACCAAAGUGAUAUAAUUUGGGGACACAUCUCCCAUUUGCAUAUCAUGAAAGACAUCCAUUGCCUCCUUAAAAAACCCAUUUUGUGCAUACCCCGAAAUCAUUACAUUCCAUGACACAACACUUCUUUGAGGCAUUUUAUUGAACAACUUCCUGGAAGCUCCAAUGUCGCCAAGCCUUACAAAUCCAUCGAUCAUCACAUUCCAUAAGACAACAACACCCUCUUGCAUUCUCUUAUUUCUCACUAAUUUAGUGGAAUUAUUAUCAAAAUGAGAAACAUAAUUACUGAACAAUAAAUAAGCAUCCUCCAUAACUCCACACAUGGCGUACAUUCUAACAAGAUUGCUAGCAACAAAUUCAUCAUUAUCCAAUCCUAAUUUAACAACAAACCCAUGAAUCUCUUUUCCUUCUUGAAUCCUUCCCAUUUUAGCACAUGCUUUUAAAACAGAAGGGAAAGUGAAUCUAUUGGGUUCUACAAGACCUUCACUGCACAUCUGACCAAAAAAACCCAAUGCCUCUAAUGGGUUCUUGUAAUCAUCAUCAUCAGUUUCGGCAAAAGCUCUGAUGAUUGUGUUCCAAGAAAAGCAAUUGGGAUUAUUCAUUUGGGUAAAAAACUUACGGGCGUAUUUGAGGUCCCGGCGGUCGGAGACGGACAGAAAUUUCAGAAUUUCGGCUGCAGCUAGAGGAUCGCCGAUAAGGCCAGUUUUGAUGAAGUGGGCGUGAAUUUGUUUCAGUUGUUUGAUGGAUUUGCAUCUUGCAAUUUGUGGGAAGAGUGAAGAAGGGUGAGUUGGUCGAGUUGCGGUGGUCGGUUCACAUAUUAAGUUCAUUGGCUCGUAAAUUGAAUGGAUAAUGUAUGCAAUAUACUAUAUAGAUUUCUUUUUGAGAUGGAGGAAACUGAUUUUCAGUUAUGGCUGGAUUUUCCACCAAUAAAACUAUGCUGCGUCAACUUCUAACUGUAUUUUAAGCGACCUGUCGUCGGAUGACCCAGAUGAAAUGCAUGAAGCGUUCCUAUCAUUUUCUAUAAGUAAGGCGUUGGAGUGCAUCUUUAGCUUAUGUCGUUCAACUAUAAACGUAAAGUAAAUAACUCGAGCAAACACAAUUAUAACCCGAAAAUAAUUGUAUCACAUCAUGAAUUAACUUGCCAGCUCAUUAAUAAUAUGCUUAAUACAAAUAUAUAAACCCAUAUAGAUUCAGAAAAUUAGCCUAUUCAAUUUAAACUUGAGAGUAGAUAUUUAAUAAUUCGGUUCAAAUUGAAUAAACUAAAUUUUUUUAAAAGAAAUCAAAUAAAAUAAAAUUGUGUAUAGAAUUAAACUGAAAUUAAUUAGUUUAGCUCACUUCAUUCGAUUCAUUUUUUGACUUUCUUGACUUUUAAAUAUUUUUAAAUACUGAAACGAAUUUAACUUUUUUCAAUUUUUUUAAAGAAAAUGAAACUAAAUCUAAUAAUUUUAAUUAGCAAAUGAAAGCAUGCCUGCAUAAUAUUCAUCAUCUUUCGUCAUGGUAACUCUUAGCAUCAAUACAAAGUGAAAUAAAGAGAAUAUAUAACUAUUCUUUUAGGAAUGAAUAAUGGAUGAGGUCUAGAGUUGAUUUACCAAAAACAAGAAAUCUAAAUAUAUUAAAUAUACUUUCAAUUUAAUUUUCAAAAAAAAUAAAUUGUUAGUAAGAUAACCAGCACUUACGGUGAGCCACCUUUUCAAUUUACGGGAAAUACAUUUUGUUGAUGGAGAAAAAACCUUUAAUCUCUAAAAGCUUAGAAAAGAUUACACCUCUUGAUUAUAUAAUAAACAAAAAUUGUUAGUGAGAUAUGAAUUUCAACUCUAACGAAGCUUAAACAUGAAUUGAGAAUUGGAAAAGUUAUUUAAUAGGACGCAGCAGAAUCAAGCAACAGGAGAAGAAAAACCAGGUGAAAUGAAGUCCAAAACCACAGCCAUGUUGCCAACUUGCCACCCAAAAGAUCUCUUUCCUGGGUGCCAUUAGUUCAUGGUUUUUUUGACAAAAAUGUUCAGAUUCUUUGAUUUUUAUUAAGCAGCUGCCUAAGAUGAGCUUUGACAUUGAGGCACUCAUUCAUUGGUUUUGAUUAUUGGGGUUGAGAAAAAAAACAAAAAAAAUAAAAUCCGUACUUUUGUUUUGAAUUAUUGUUUCCAUAUGACUAUGUGCACGUGUCACAGGCUAAAAGCUUUAACGCCAUACUUUAUUAAUAAGCUGCAAAAACAGAGCUUUGGCACUCAUUUUCCUCCUAUUAGAGUCUCUUAUUUGAGUUUUAAAACAAGCAAAGCUCGUUCCAUCCAUUAUUCUCCAAUUGAAUCAGCCAUGUCAAGCACUGCUGGUCUUGUUAUUCCCUGCAAAGGUCUUUAAUUUAUUAAGAAUAUUACUAGUUACUGGCUGUUUCAGAUUUCUUGACUUAAAUCCUUUCUUUUUAUAUAUGGGUUUUUUUUUUUACUCAUUUCUUGACUUGGGUAUUGUUUAGUUUUUAAAGAAUGUUAUGUUUGUGUUUAUGCAUAUUUUAUAGCUGCGGUGGCAUGGGAGGCAGGCAAGCCAUUGGUGAUCGAGCAAGUGGAGGUAGCUCCACCGCAGGCCUUGGAAGUGAGGAUCAAAAUUAAAUAUACUUCUCUUUGCCAUACUGAUCUCUACUUCUGGGAAGCCAAGGUAUAAUAUAUGGUCUAAUACUUUCUUAAACUAUUAUUUGUUAUGAAUUAAUUCAAAAUUUUGAAUUUUGGGUCUUAACUUUCAGGGUCAGACGCCACUGUUUCCUCGUAUAUUUGGACAUGAAGCAUCUGGGUAUGUUUCUCCUCUUCUUUACAAGUUUACAAGACUGUGGCAUAAGUGAUUCUUUCUUUCUUAUCUCUUCUUUUGAUAAAGUUUUGUUUUAUAAUUCUUAAAGCUGUAAAUCUAUAUCUAAUAAUCUAAAUCUCUGCUUCGAACUAUAUACUAUGCAGGUAAACAAAGAUUAUAUAUUUAUAAUCCUAAAAAGUCAUUAAAAUUGAAUCUUAUUUUAGUUUCUCAAGUCAUUAGUGUUUCAAACGUAGUAAAUAAUUAACUUCCAUUAUAUGUGUAUAAUUAUGUUCCAAUGUUACAAGCCUUAAAAUGCUUCCAUUAUUUCGAUUAUCCUCGCAGAAUUGUAGAGAGUGUCGGGGGAGGCGUAACAGACCUCGAGGCUGGGGAUCAUGUUCUUCCAGUAUUUACUGGGGAAUGUGGAGAAUGUGAGCACUGUAAGUCUGAGGAGAGUAACAUGUGUGACUUGCUGAGAAUAAACACUGAUAGGGGUUUCAUGCUUAAUGAUGGAAAGUCUCGGUUCUCGAUUGAUGGGGUGCCAAUAAACCAUUUUGUUGGCACUUCUACAUUUAGUGAAUACACAGUUGUUCAUAGAGGAUCUCUUGCAAAGAUCAAUCCCUUAGCUCCUUUGGAUAAAGUCUGCAUUCUUAGUUGUGGUAUCUCAACAGGUUGUGCUUUCACUUCUUCGCUAAUAGCUAAAUCCUCAACUUUUCUCCCCUUUUAAUCUCAAAUAGGAUUCUGAAAAGAAAAAAUCUUUCCUAAUUUCACAUCAGGACUUGGUGCGACAUUGAAUGUGGCUAAACCAAAGAAAGGUUCCUCAGUUGCUGUUUUCGGAUUAGGAGCUGUAGGCCUAGCAGUAAGUUCUAUGCAGAGCUUCAUAGCAAUUUGUUCAUUUUGUAACAGGUUAGAGGUUACAUUAAUCAACAAAUUAGAAAUUUUCUCCUUAUGUUCCUUUAAAUCUGCUUAGGCUGCAGAAGGUGCAAGAAUUGCUGGAGCAUCUAGGAUCAUUGGGGUGGAUUUGAACCCAAAGAGGUUUGAAGAAGGUAGAAUGUUCUUGUAUUAACAAAUCCCAUCUGCUACUUAGUUUAAUACAAAUAUGAUCAAUAUAGGUGUAACUGAUAUUUUUCGUAACUCAGCCAAGAAGUUUGGAGUAACUGAAUUUGUGAACCCGAAGGAUCAUGACCGUCCAGUUCAACAGAUAAUUGCAGAGAUGACAAAUGGUGGAGUAGACAGGAGUGUGGAGUGCACAGGGCACAUUGACGCCAUGGUUGCAGCUUUUGAAUGUGUUCAUGAUGUAAGCUUUUCAAUUUUUAAGCAAUGACCUAAACUAAAAGUCUUCUUAUUCAUAGUUCUACUUGGCAUUGUAGUUUGAGUUUAAUUGAUAAAAGUACCAUGCCUAAAAUGUUGUUAGAGGUAAUUAAAGUUUACUUUUAAAGUGAAAUUCACAUAUUGUAGUCAUAAAAGCCUAUUCACCGUUAGUAAGAAUCAGCAGUCUUAAUAUUUUGUAUGUCAUUUAACAGAUUUAUAGCAGAAUAAUAUGGAAUUUGCAUGACCAUGUAGGGAUGGGGGGUGGCUGUGCUCGUCGGGGUACCGAACAAAGAAGCAGUUUUUAUGACCAAGCCAAUCAAUUUGCUUAAUGAAAGAACUCUAAAAGGAACUUUCUUUGGGAACUAUAAACCGCGAACCGAUCUCCCAUCUGUUGUUGACAUGUAUAUGAACAAGGUGAUCUUAUAUGUUAUAGCUUCUUGUAAUUGUAGGUUUUUUAUAUAUGUUCUUAUAUUUCACUAACCAUUAACCCAUGAAUUACACUGGAUUAAAUUUGCUGCAGAAACUGGAAUUGGACAAGUUUAUAACUCAUAGGGUUCCUUUUUCUGACAUCAAUAAGGCUUUUGACUUGAUGCUGAAAGGGGAAGGCUUGAGGUGCAUUAUUAACAUGGAAGAGUAGUUUCUAUUGUUGUGAACCUUAUGAUAAAUAAUAAAAAAAGUAUGGCACUUGAGAAAUAAUUUGACAUAAAUAUGAAACUAUUGUAUAAUUUCUCCUUCUCUAAUAAGAAAUUUCCAUCUACUGAUUAUAUCUUCUAUCCGAUAAUAUUUUAAAAAAUAACUAUAAGGCAUGCAUAAAACAUGGAAAUUGAUCAUUCCUGCUGCUAUUACUUGUAUUUCUCCAUUAUUCUUCUUGCUUCUUCUAAUGGGUCAUCGGACGAAUUUCCACCUCCACCAUCUCUUGGCCCUUGAUCUUUGUUCAAGGCGAUGAAGAUGAAAUAUACGAACCCCAUUGUGGCCUGAGCAUCAAACAGAAAGCAACUACUUACCAUAAAAUAAAUAAAUAAGAUUCAUUAAUUAAAACUAACGUCUACUCUCAAGUUUAACAAGAAUGCAGAUCUAUGUACAAAGUUCAUUAAAUCCUUCCUGAGCAGGUGCAUGAAAGAUGAAGAUGCGCAUUACAUGGGCAGAGGAGGCAAUUGAUUUUCCAUUCUUACAUCCAUGAAUUAUGGUUGAUAAUUUUUGAACUAUUACAGAUUGAUUCUUGCAAAUAGAAUAAAACAGCAAAACAUACCAGUGCAAAUAAAGCUGUAGACAGAAAUGACUUGAGCACAAAGAGUGAAAUGGUCAGUGCAGCAAUUGUCACAGAGAUCCUUGCAAUUGGUCUUGGUACAGAGUCCUAGCAACAAACGGUAAAAGAAAUGCAUAUAUAUCGUUUAAAUCAUCCCAAGAAAGAAAUCAAUUAAAGAAAGGAGCCAAAUUGAACUUACAGGCACCAGAUUUGUUCCUGCCUCAAUGCCAUCUUUUCCAACCUUCAAUACUGUUUGAACAACUAUAUUGCAGAAUCCAAAUACCCAUUAGUAAUGCAAAACACACCGCUCUUUUUUGUAUGUUGCUUAACUUAGCAGCAAUCCUAACCAGUAAACCAUCAAAAACCACCAAAAAUUAACAAUUAAAUCUGAAAAUUACAAAUUUUGAAACACCAAUCAGCUGAAAUUUUAAAGUAAUAACAAAUAAACAUCUAAAUACAAUUAUUAACCAAACCAAUCAUGGAAUUUCGUAAUGUCACAAACACUGGGAAUCAAAAAACCAAAACAAUUCAAGUAGACAAAAACGAGCUCAAAACCAAAAAGAAGUAAAAUUAAAGCCCCAAAAUGUCAUACCUUUAACGAAAUUAAACUGUGCGGCAAAGACAACCGGAAGAGACCUGGGAUUGCGCGGUUUGGACCUCAGAAUUUGCAAUUUUGGAAGUAGAGGCUGAUUCUUCAGUCGUAGAAAGGAAUUAGAGAAAAGAAACUGUGAAUUGAGAGUUAGGGUUUGGAAUUUGCAACGUUUUGGAGAGUAGGAGAGUGGAAUGGAGCAUAAGCUAUCAACAAUGGCCGACGAAGCCAUACACGCUUCCUGUUCUUUCAAAUUAUACGGUCGUUUAUGAUUAUAGGAUCGUCAUCAAUGAACAAAAACAGAGAAGAAAUUAAGCAGGCCAGACAGCGAUGGUGAGCGAAGAAGAGAGAGCAGUAGAGAACCAGCUGGAUCUAAAACAAAGGGCCCAUAUAAGAUCAGCUCAGCCCAACUUAACAAUGUCCUGGACUCUUGUAAUUUGUAAGUUUAUAUUCUAGUAGUUUGAAGUCAUUGACUACUAAUAAACAAUGGCAAUAAACAUUAAAGGCAAUGUUAUAUUAAUUAAUUUGAAUCCAGAAGAAAGGAAUCCCUCAUGUUUUGUCCAUAGAAAAAGCUAAUAUUGUUGGAAAUUUUUAUUUAGGCUUUGACAAAACAAAAUGUGUAAAGAUUCCAAAGUGGGGAAUUCCCAAGGGUCAUGUCCUAGAGCUCUGGGCCAUUUCUAAAAAUUGUUUGAUUUUAUAUAAAUAAUCUUAUAUCCAUGUUGGUUCAAUUAUAUGCUAUGAGGGCAUACUCACAUACUCACAUUUAACAAAUACUACAAGUUAAUGUAAGUUUGAGUAAGAAGUUAGGUAGGGAAUAGGUUCUUAGCUUCCACAAUCACCAUAGCUAUACUUUACAUUUCCAAAGAUCCUUCAAUGCUUUAAAAUUAAAGUUUCAUGCUUUAUUUUAAUCUUGUUAGUGGCAGAAGAAUAAUUAUAUAUGAAUACUUCUUUUUAAUUUUGGUAAUAUAUCAAAGAUCGUGAAAAUUCAAUUUAUUUUUUUAGAAGAAAUCAAACUAGAAAUUUUAUUAAGGAAAAAUUGUAUAUAAAUAUUGGAUACAGAUCAAUAUGUUUUUAUAUUUUUACAUAGAAAGUCUAAUAAUAAACCACUUAUACAACGAAUAAAAAAAAAAAAACAAUUUUGAUUUGAAGUAUACGAUCAAAUUGACAAAAUAUAAUAUUUAUGUCAUAGGCAAUCGUUUGCUUCAUCACUUGGUAACUAUUUGUCGCUAUGGUUUUUCUACAAGUUCGAUUUGAUUACCUUUAAAUUUUUUCUUUCUAUUGAGGACGAAAUCUGUACUUCUUUCUGUAUGACUAUCCAAAUAAUAAAAGAUACCGGACAAAAUCACUAGAUGGGUAAGAAAAAAAAAAAAAAAAAAGCUUGUAUUACCAUGUAAAACGUCUAAUCUAAACCAUGUCCAAAAUUAUUUAUGCCUUGAAAAGAUUAAAAAGUAUUGAUUUUAGAAGUAUUUUUGUUAUAAUUUAAGUCAUUUAAUUAUUUUUUUAAUUACUACGAUAAAAAUUUUAAAUGGACAAAAAGGGGUAUUUUUUAUGUUAUAUAUGGUAGUAAUAUUAUUACUAAUCCGUCCAUAAAUAUAAGUCAUUUAAGGUUAUUGCACGGUGAUUAAUGAAAUAAUUAACUCUCUUAAAAUUAUAACAAAAUGUUUAUUAAUUUGAUCAAAAUUUGUAAAGAUCAUUAUUGCAAAUAAAAUUGAAAAAACAUCGUUAAUUACUUUUUUAUAUUUGUGGACAAAAAAUUUCCCUAAAAUGACUUAAGUUUGUGGACAAAUAGAGUAUAUAAGAACUAGUGUAACAACCCUUUAAAAUUAUAUUAGUACAAGUCAAAUAUGUUACCAAUAACUAGACUUAUUCCAAAUUUAAUGGUCUAUAAAUUUCGAUUAAAAUUUAAAUUCACAAUCUUUUAAUUUUAUAAACUAUUUUAAUAAUUAAUUAAUAACUAAGCAAAGCCCAAAAAAAAAAGAUUACCCGGGAAAAAAUGAAUUUCCUCAAGGUAAUAAUAAAUUUUUCAUUUUUUAUAUAUGUGUUAAUGGGUAUGGGUCUCAUAAUGUGAUGAACAAGUACAAUCUGCUUGGCAAUCAGAGAUGCAAAGUUCCCCCAUAAGAGAAUAUGAUAGCUUGUCUUGCUCACCUUGUUACUUGAAAUAUUGAAUUGCUUUUAGACAUAUAACUAUAAUUCUUGCCAUAUCUACCUGUUUGGUACCUCAAAAAGAAAAUGCAAAGGAAGUGAAGACCGCACAGAUUUUCUUGAACAUAUAUAAGCUAUAGAUAAAACAUUUAUAAUGAUUUAAACCAGAAGGAAGGAAAAAUUUUCAAGAUUCUUGAGAAAUGUAACCGAAGGUAAUGCCUUGUUGGUUUUUUUUUUUCUUUUUUCAAGGAAGAGUGGUGGCUCUGUUAUCAAAGCUAAAACAAUCAAUAAUACUGAAAACUUAUUGAGGAAAACAAUGCAAGAACACAUGGAGUAUCUAUUCAAAUAAAGAAAAAAGAUCAAGAAACAGAACCCCGAGGUGAAAUAGGUGGUGGAGUAGUUGAAAAUCUUUAAUCUUUUGUUUCUUUUCUUUAUUGCUCUGUAUGUAUGUGUUUGUUGCUUGUCUUCAAAGACAAUCUUAUUAGUGAGUUUUGAGUUUAACAUAAGAGAGAGAAGAAAGAGGAUUUAGAUUAGGUUAGACAAACCCAAUGCAGAAUCAAGAAGAGAGAUUUGGGAUUUGAUGCAAAUUGCCAAUGCCGAUGUCGAGGCAACCCUACAACCACCACCACCACCACCGCCACCACAACCACCUCGUCUUCUUUCUUUUUCUUGCACUUGGAGUAUUUGCUGCUAGUUCUGCAGCAAAUAAUGAAGUCGAUACUUUACUUUCUUGGCUUCACAGCUCCUCUUCUUUACUCUCUCCAGUUUUCUCUAAUUGGAACCAUUUGGAUUCUAACCCUUGUAAGUGGUCUUAUAUCACUUGCUCUUCUAAUAACUUUGUUAUUGAAAUCAACAUUCAGUCUACUGAUAUUGCUCUUCCUUUCCCUUCCAAUCUUUCCUCUCUUCUUUACCUUGAAAAGAUCAUUCUUUCUGCUGUUAAUCUCACCGGUACUAUCCCACCUGAUGUUGGAGACUGUAAAAACCUGAUAGUCCUUGAUGUUAGUUCUAACAGUCUUGUGGGUAGUAUUCCUAAAAGCAUUGGCAAGCUCCAAAAUCUUCAGGACUUGAUUUUGAACUCCAAUGAGUUUACUGGGGAAAUCCCAGUUGAGCUUGGUAAUUGCUCUAAUCUCAAGAAUCUUGACAUAUAUGAUAAUUUCUUUAGCGGGAAUAUUCCAGUUGAACUAGGCAGACUAACAAAUUUAGAGGUCAUUCGCGCUGGAGGGAACAAGAACAUUGCAGGAAAGAUUCCAGAAGAGCUUGGAGAUUGCGAGAAUUUGCAAGUUCUUGGUUUAGCUGAUACUAAAAUUUCAGGUUCUAUACCUGCUUCAUUAGGCAAGCUAAGCAAGCUUCAAACACUAUCAGUAUACACUACAAUGCUGUCUGGUGAGAUUCCACCUGAUUUAGGCAACUGCUCAGAGCUUGUCAACUUAUUUUUAUAUGAGAAUGAUCUCUCAGGUUCAUUGCCACCACAGUUGGGUAAACUACUGAAGCUGGAAAAGAUGUUACUAUGGCAAAACAAUUUUGAUGGGAUUAUUCCUAAUGAGAUUGGAAACUGUAAAAGCUUGAAGAUUUUUGAUCUUUCCUUAAAUUUUUUCUCUGGAGACAUACCUAAGUCUUUUGGCAACCUAUCAAAUCUCGAAGAGCUUAUGCUUAGCAAUAAUAAUAUUUCUGGUUUGAUCCCUCCAGUUCUUUCAAAUGCUACAAAUUUACUACAGUUGCAGCUUGAUGCUAAUCAGAUAUCAGGUUCAAUUCCUAAAGAGCUUGGUAUGCUGACACAGUUAACAGUCUUCUUUGCUUGGCAGAACAAACUUGAAGGAAGCAUUCCUGUAGAGUUAGGUAGCUGCAGAAGCCUUGAAGCAUUAGAUUUAUCGCAUAAUGCACUUACUGGUAGCUUACCUCCUGGCCUAUUUCAGCUUCAGAACCUAACAAAGCUUCUUUUAAUUGCUAAUGACAUUUCUGGUUCAAUUCCUCAAGAGAUUGGUAAUUGCAGCGCUCUUAUUCGUCUUCGCCUCGUAAAUAACAAAAUCAGUGGAAAUAUUCCAAAAGAAAUUGGAUUGCUCAAUGACCUCAAUUUUCUUGACUUGUCUGAAAACCAUCUUGGUGGGACUUUACCAGACGAAAUUGGAAAUUGCUCUGAUUUGCAGAUGUUGAACUUAAGUAACAACACCCUUCAAGGUAAUUUGCCUAAUUCUUUAUCUUCUCUUACUAGACUUCAAGUAUUGGAUGUUUCUAUGAAUCAAUUUGUGGGUGAAAUUCCAACUAGUUUUAAUAAACUUAUUUCACUUAAUAGACUGAUUCUAAGUAAGAACUUUUUCUCUGGGGGAAUUCCUUCCUCACUUAGUCAAUGUUCAAGUCUUCAGCUUCUUGAUCUCAGUAGCAAUGAACUAUCUGGCAAGAUCCCAGUUGAACUGUUUGAUAUUGAUGGUCUUGAUAUUGCUUUGAAUUUGAGUUGGAAUGCGCUUACUGGGGUAAUCCCACCACAGAUUUCUGCUCUAAACAAAUUAUCUAUUCUUGACCUAUCACACAAUAAGCUAGGAGGAGACUUGGUAUCACUGGCUGGUCUUGAAAAUCUUGUUUCUUUAAACAUUUCCUACAACAAUUUCUCUGGCUAUCUUCCGGACAAUAAGCUGUUUAGACAGUUAUCUGCGACAGACUUGGCAGGAAAUCAGGGAUUGUGUUCUAAAGGCCGUGAGUCAUGUUUCUUAAGCAAUGCAACAAUGAUGAGCAUGGCUAAUAAUGGUCACUUGAAAAGAUCACAGAGACUUAAACUAGCCAUUGCAUUGCUCGUCGCCUUGACUAUAGCAUUGGCAAUUUUUGGGGCGAUUAUUUUUUUUAGAGCUCGAAAAUUGAUAGGAGAUGAUUGUGAAUCUGAGUUGGGAGGAGAUUCAUGGCCUUGGCAUUUCAAUCCAUUUCAGAAGCUAAAUUUUUCAGUAGAACAAGUCCUAAAAUGCCUAGUGGAAGACAAUGUAAUAGGAAAAGGAUGUUCAGGAAUUGUGUAUCGUGCAGAACUUGAAAAUGGGGAAGUCAUUGCUGUUAAAAAGCUUUGGCCAGCAACAAUUGCUGCAGGACAUGAUUGUCAAAAUGAUAGGUUAGGAAUUGGAGGAGUUCGCGAUUCCUUUUCAGCUGAGGUAAAAACUCUUGGUUCCAUUCGCCAUAAGAACAUUGUUAGAUUCUUGGGAUGCUGUUGGAAUCGAAACACGAGAUUGCUUAUGUAUGACUAUAUGCCUAAUGGGAGCUUAGGCAGUCUUCUUCAUGAAAGAAGUGGUGGUUGCUUGGAAUGGGAAGUGAGGUACCGGAUAGUCUUGGAAGCAGCACAAGGUCUUGCUUACUUGCAUCAUGACUGUGUUCCUCCAAUUGUUCACAGAGACAUUAAGGCUAACAACAUUCUCAUUGGCCCAGAAUUUGAACCAUAUAUUGCUGAUUUCGGACUUGCCAAGCUUGUCGAUGAUGGUGAUUUUGCUCGCUCUUCAGCUACUGUUGCUGGCUCCUAUGGUUACAUUGCUCCAGGUGAGUUCAAAAUCCAUACCAGCAUUGUCCUGAUGAGGCUAAAAUUUUCAAAUUGCAUAUUGAUAGCAUUGUCCUGAUUUGACUUUAGAAAAUUUUCACAAUGAUGAGACUCAUUUAUUUGGUUUGCAGAGUACGGAUAUAUGAUGAAGAUAACCGAAAAAAGCGAUGUGUAUAGCUAUGGUGUGGUGGUGCUAGAAGUACUAACUGGGAAGCAACCAAUUGAUCCAACAAUACCAGAAGGGCUUCACAUUGUAGAUUGGGUGAGGCAGAAGAGAGGAGGGAUUGCAGUGCUCGAUCCUAGCUUACGAGCUCGGCCCGAAUCAGAGAUUGAAGAGAUGUUGCAGACCAUAGGAGUAGCUUUGCUAUGUGUAAAUCCAAGUCCUGAUGAUAGGCCUAACAUGAAGGAUGUAUCAGCAAUGCUCAAGGAAAUAAGGCAGGAGAUUAGAGAUCACGAGUGCUUGAAAGUGGACAUGCUUAUAAAUGGAUCUUCAGGAAAUACUCAACAGGAGAAUAGCAAUAACUCUCCAUCAUCAGCGCUGAUGCAAGAACAAUCAUAUCCUGAAAGCAACAGUACAAGCCUUUCUGCUUCUUCAUUUUUACAUUCUUCUUCAUCCAUGGCUAAAACUACAUUCAAAUAAAUUUCUUAAAUAUUUUUUUAUCCUUGCAGCAUCAUGUAUCACUAUUAUUUUAGAUAAACUGGAUGUUAGCUAGUCCAGUGUCAGAACUUUCUUGUGUAAAAUAGAAAAGCAGGCAAUUAAAAAUCUUUAUAUAUAAAGAUGGGCAAGUGCGGAGGUAGGACUUUCACCCAACGACAAAGCAAAACCAUACAGAUUGGCCUCAAAGCGGACACAGCUUCCCAAGGAAUUGAAAAAAAUUCUUAUUAAAAAUUACAUUUUAAUCCUUCAAAAUAUAAAGAAAAUUAUAUUUGACUUCUUAAAGAAAUAAAAAAAAAAAAAAAAAACGUAGAAAACUAGGAUGAUGAUGAUCCACUACAAAGUUCUGGGCAAUUACAGACGGAUUUCUGCGAUGACGAUGAUGUAUUGAUGUAUAGAUAUGAAACCAAAAACAUUAAGUUUCUUAGCUGAAAAAAGAAAAGAAAUGGAGUGGUAAUCCUUAAUACAAGGUUGUCUUCAUUUCAUACACAAUGAUGCUUUGUUUGCGUUAGAGGUUGUACUUUUCCUAUGUCUAAUAUUUUGCAAGUUGUAACUGCACUUCACUAAACGACAACAAGUCUAAAUUCGCAUUAUUUCAACGUCGUACGCAAGUGCAAAUCAAAUUAAAUUCUAGCAAUUCUUUCGUCAUAAUUUUUUUUGGCUGCUAUUAUUUUUUGUUCUUCAUUGUUAACAACAAAAUUAGAAGAAAAUAUCAAAACCAAAAUUAAUUAAUUAAUUAAUUAAUUAUGGUGUCAUACAAUCAAGCAAAACACCCAUAAGGGGACCAUGAUUAAUCUAAAAAUUUUCUAAUUUCAUGGAGUACUACUUGUUUUUUCUUUUUCUUUUUAUUUUUUAUAGUGUGGAAAAUGAUUUUAAAAGAGGGUUUUGCGUUUUUUUUUUUUUUUUUUGGAAGGCAAAGAAUUAAUAGAAAGAAUAUUAGAAAUAAAAUUAAAAAGGAUGAGACUCUACUUCUAGAAAUUAUACGUGGAAUAAGCAUACGUUACAAGCAGAUGCACAACACUAUUCGCUUACCUUUUAACCAAAAAAAAAAAAGACAUUUAAUACAUAAGAUUUUGAUGUUUGGUUAAUACAUGAAUGUUACAUUCUUGAAAUAGCUAGGUUCUUAAAACUACAUUUUUCGGUCUAAAAAGAUGGAAAUUUACAUUAUAUAAAUAAAAAAUUAAGAACACUAUUAUUUGUUAAUUUUGAAUAAUAUGUGCAUCAAAUUAAUUUGUCAAUAAAAAAAAUUUAAUUGAAUCAAUUUUACAUCUGUAGAUAAUACUUCUAGAAUAUCAGUAAAAAAAUAUGUAUAAAUUAAAAAUACUAUUAUAAUUUACAUUUUUUAUAAAUUCAUCCAUCUCUUAAUUAUCUUACACUUCAAAAAGAAAAUAUUUAUAACUCAACAUAAUUUUUUUUUUUUUUUAAAAAAAAAACUUUCUCAAGACAUCUCCCAGGAGAGGGAAAGUUAAAUUUUUAUUUAUGGUUCUAACUUAUAAUUACAAAAAGAGAAAAUAUCAUAUAUGUAAAUUUGAUUAAAACCCAUUAUCUAAAUUGCUAAAACAUUUAAACAAUUCAAUUUAAAAUCAUAUUAUACAGAAAACAUUUCAAAUAUUCUUUCCAAUCAACAAAAUUCAAGAUUUCAAAAUAGUAAUAACUAUCAAUAAGGGUUUUGUAUCAUAAAAUUUAUCCACAUUACACAUAAAAUGAAAUAUAUAUAUAUAUAUAUAUAUAUAUAUAGAGUCAUAUACUCUUGCAAAGCAGUAACGUAGUAUCAACAGUUAACUGGCACAAGUACAAAACAUUGUAUAGUAAUACUAGUAUAAUGUAAGGGGCAACCCCAAAACUAAAACUCAAAUUAAUGAUACAAACAUCCAUUUAAUUAUAUAUUUAUUAUUAUUAUUAUUAUUAUUAUUAUUAUUAUUAUUAUUAACUAAUUAACCGUCUCCUUAAUACUCUCUCUUGGCUGUUGUCAUGAUUUUGACUCAGAAAUCAGAGACUGUUGAUUGGAUUGUGCAGAGAAUCUAGGGUUUUCCAUACCAACUUACUCUUAUCACAACAUCUUGACCAUCCACUUGUCCAUCCAUUUUCAUGCAUGAAGGAGAGAGAAAGUGUCUUCUUUUUCUACUACCAUUCACUUUACCGUUUGGGUUUGAUUUGUAUUAGAAGAGGAUCCAUUAACAGUUGCAGGAGUGCUUGCAUGUGAGUUUUUUGGUGAUUUUCUUGCUUUCUUAUUCUCUGGUUUCGCUCCCGGUUGUCUCACCUUCACUCCUCUUAUCAACUGUUAAUAAUCAUAAUUAAUUAAUUAAUUAACUAUUAAUCUAUUUAUAUAUUAAAAUUAUAAAUAAAAAAAUACAUAAAAAAAAAAAUAUAUACAUAUUUGCCACACUUGACAUCCGAGUAUAUGACAAUGAAAUCUCCUUCUUGAAGUCCAUUUGUUCUCACAAAAUCUCCUGAAAUUAAUUAACAAAAUCAAAAGAAGGUUAUUACUAUAGACUCAGAAUUUAAAAGAAAAUAUCUAAAAAUUAAAUAUCCACCGAACCUGUGUUUUCUAGGAGGUACAUCCUGCUUUUGUUGUUGGGCCAGAAUCUGAAACUCCAUGUAGAAAAAUAAAAAUAAAAAUAAGAAAGUGCAGAGAAUUAAUUUUGUAAGAAUGGAAAUGGAAAAAUCAAGAAAAUCAAGAAUCAUUUAGAAUACAAAAAUACCUAUAACGCAUGUUCCAAACCCUAGAAGUCCCUAUGUCUUCCAUUGCAAUAGAAAUCCCAUCUCUUGCCUCCAAUUCUGGUAAAUGAGUUUCUGCUUCUUUCUACAAUAUUUUUUUAGAAAAAUAAAUAAAAAUUCAAAGAAAUAAUCAGCACACACACAAAAAACAAGUACCUUCGGCAACACUAUCCUCCCAAGAUUACCCACAUCACUCUGCUUCAGCACCUUUUGAAGGAGAAACCUCAGGUUCUUCUCUGGUUUCCAACCCUGAAGAAACCAAAAUGAGCAUACAUAUACAAAGACAAAAUUAUCUUUAAUUGUAAUUAUUCACCAUCUUAAUCAUAAAUGCAUAAUUACUGAGAUAAUCUCAGCAAUAAAGGCAAUCUAACAAAUCCAAAGUAGUGAACCCACCUGUCGCCUAUCUGAUGCCACUUGCCGUUGAUGAUUCUGAUGUGAUUGCAUGGCCGGUCGAUCCACUGUAUGAACCGGCGGUGCAUCCAUAGGUAGAACAGGCGUGGUUGAAACAGCAACACCGCCGACAGCUGCAGGCCAGUAAACCCAAUUACCGGGAUUAGGCGGCUGAGCUGCUGGUGUUAUAUUAUCACUUCCAAGCCUUCCAUGGUGAUCUAUUACUGUAUUCUGAUUUUGAUUCUGGUUUUGUUGGUUAUUGUUUUGGUGAUUGUGAUUUCUAUGAUGUGACAUAAACCUUCUUUGUCUAGCCAUUCUCUUCUUUCUUGCUUCUUUGGUAGCUGAGGAACCCAAUCUCACCAACGUAUCACCGACUUGGGUAGGGAGAUACUGACAUGGGUAUUGAUUUCCAUAUCCGCUAAAUACAUUCGGGUGCGUUGGUACCGGCUGGAGAUUAUUAUCUGGAAAUGGUGAGUAAUGAGAAGCUAAAGCAAAUUGUGAUGCGGACCAAGAUUGAGCAGAAUCAAGCAUUUGAUAAUCUGAGGAUGAUGGCGGUUGCGGUGGUUGUGGUGGAGGAUAAGAUUGGCCAGCCAUGUUAGAAGCUCCAUUAACAAACGGGUCAGCCAUGUACCCAACCAUAGGUUGAAAACCCUGCAUGCCUGUGGCUGCCGGGUCGGAAAUAUAAGGUGGAGGUGCAAUCCAAGGUGAUUGAGAGAAACAAGGAUUUGAUUGAUCUGGCUGAAUAGAAUUACUACAAUUCAGAUUAGGGUUAGGGUUUUGCAGAGGGUCUUGAGAUGAUUCUUUCAUCCUCCUUUUUUGAAGAUGAUUAGUUUGAACCCAUUCAAGAAUCAACUUCAACAAUUGUUUCAUAGCUGCUUUACCACCACCCAAACGCUUAGCAGCACACUCUAUAGUAGCUUUCUUGAUUUUGACUUUUCUUAAGUCUUCUGCAGAAACAGUCUCUUUAUUGCUCUUUAACCACUCUAAAAACACCAUUGCUAGAUCAUCUGAAGCUCCUUCCCCUGAUUCUUGUUUUUGAGUCACUUCACUUUUUGUUUCCAUUGCUAACUCUUCAUUUCUCUGUUGCACCUGCAGUUCCUGUUGCAGAUUCUGCUCUGUAUUGAACUCUUCCAAGAAAUUUUCAUCAGCUUGAAAUAUCGAAGAAGGAUCCAAAAAAUCAUUGUUUUCGAUCAGAUCCAUGUAACCGAAAUUAUCCAUCAUGCUCAUGCAACCAACACCAACAUCUUGAUCAGGUGGCUGUAAGAUCUCCAUUGAAGCAGUAGAAGAUAAGGCAGCUGCGGUUGGUUCCAAGGGAUCAUAUUGACCCUGAUGAUUAUGAUAAUGAUGAUGCUGGUUAUGAUCAUGAAUUUUUUUCUCCACAUCUUCUUCUGCGUCUGACUUCAAAACUGCCCAGGAAGCGGCGGAUGACGAAGAAGAAGCUGAAGAAGAAGAUGAUGAUGAAGCCAUGGCCUUGACCGGUGCAGGAGUUGACGAAGAUGAAGAAGAUGAUGACAUGCAAGGGAAAUCUGGUAAAGCAGGGUAAUCAUCAUAAAAGAUCGAAGAAUUAUUCACAUCUAACAGAUCUUCUUGUUCUCUUUCUAACCAGAUUUCUCUUUCUUCCUCCAUAGCAUCAACAGUCGUACCAAAACCAGUUGUAGGGUUUGUUACAUUUUCAUGAUCUUCAACAUGCAAAUGUAAACCCUUCAUUUUUUUGCUUAAUUUUUUUUUUUUUUUUAAGAAAAAGCCCAAAAAUAGUAAUAAAUAAAAAAAAAUUGCAACUUGGAGAAACCUUUUGAGUUCUGUUGUUCGCAGAUAGUUUCAGAAAGAGAGAGAGAGAGAGAGAGAGAGAGAGAAGAUAAUAAAGAGAGAGAAGAAGGGAAGGAUAGGGGAUUCCUGUGUACGGAUAAGUGCAAAGAGAAAGAUUGUAUCCGAUUAAGGAAGCAGAAGAGAGAAAGGGCCCAUUUGUAAAUGUCAAUUACUCAACAAAAACGCAACAUAAACCAUCUGGGCAUCUUCCUUUCUAUCUAAACUCACUUACUGUAUCAUCUAUCAAUAUCACCGCCUCCACCAACAAUGGAUAACAUAAACAAAUACCCUCCUUAUAAUUAUAAUAAUAUAAAUAACAAUUAAGAAAGCGACGCCUCUACUCUUAAUGCUGUUUUUAACAAACACAGACUACGCAUAAUAUUAAAACCCUAAAAUUGUACAGAAAACCAUACUCAGCUAGCCAGCAACAAUGGCGAUCGAGUUCAACCAAUCAAAGAUAGAUCAACUUAAAGAGUGAAAAGGGUAAGCAAGAUGAGCAAAUAUGGAGAAGCCCACAUGCUCAAAUAAACCCCCCAUGUGUGUUCUGGUUUGUUCCAUGGAUGUCUAAUUGCCAUUUUCUAACCUUCCUUUUAACUUUUCUUCAAUAAAGUUCAAAUCAGUAUUUUGGGCGUUUAUGCAGAAUUCAAUUAACUAAGAGAGAUGGGUAGUUUUAGAGAUAGAAAGAGAAGAAAAAACAACAAAAACAAAAGAAAAACUUCCCCGUGCCGCUGGUUUUUCAGUCCUAUUCCGGAUUUUGUGCCAUCCGCCAAACGUUCUCUCCUUAAUGGAGCAACCGAGCGGUGCCUCAGCCUUUUCUUUCUUUUAACUUUAAUGUCUAUGUCAAUGUGAACUUAAAAUACUGCAAUGAUAUUUACAGUUACUUCCAAUUUCAAUUUUGUCCAUUUGCUGCUAUCUAAGCAAAGCAUACAUCCAACCAAAACUUGAUUAAUUAAUUCAAGAAAAUUGAGAUAUAUAUUAGAAUUGAGUCAACUUUGUGGGGAAUUCAGCAAUUUCGCUUUUUUAAGCUAUGGAUAUGUAUCAUCUAUCUAAAGAUUGUAUUAUUAUUGAAACAUUAUCGAUUCUCUGGAUGUUUAUGUUCUUCUGAUAUGUACUGAAACUUGUUAGAGUCACUUUAUAUCAUCCAUAUCAAGUUGAUGAAAAUCUAAACUAAAGCAUUAUAUUUCAUAGUUUGUGAAUCAAUCAAUCAAAAACAUAUAUAUAUCUCGUGUUGUUUAUCCGUUUAUUACAAAAACAAACAAUCUAUUUACUGAUAGUUUGAAAUUGAAAUCAAAUUACAUCCUUUAAUUUAUGAUAAAGCGAUUGAAGGAACUAGUUAAAAAUUUGAAAGGUAUUAACCUAUGUCUUGUUAUGAUCAAAUGAUUAAAGGAAUUGUCUAAAACAUUAGAUGAAAACUAAUAUUGUUUAUGUAUUUUAUUUGCACUUGAGAAUCAGAAUAGAUAUAGAGAUAUACAUGACAUGCAAAAGCGAUACUUGAUUAUCCUUUUCUUUAUUGUUUUUUGUGAUUCUUGAAUGCAAAAAUUUUAAUUUUUAUGUCAGGGUUAAUUAAAGUUUUUAUUUUUAUUUUACAGCAUAAUGCUAAUAUUAUUAAUUUACUAUGAUAACAAGAACAAUGUAUACAAAUAGUUAAAAGUUCAACUAUCCUACAAACUUUUAACUAUUUUUAUAAAUAUGGCAAAUUCUUUUAAUCGAAUUGAUAUCAUAAAAUUUUGAUUUCUUAACAAUUGAGGUUUGUUACUCUGCCGUUUAAUUCAAAUGACGUGAUUAUUAAAUUCAGUAUGUGGGCCUAUUUCAGACACGUCAGUCAGAGAGAGUAGAUGCUUAUAGAGCAUAGCUUUUCAAUUCUCGAAUAUUGUGGCUGACUGUGGUCUAGUUGAUCUAGGAAUGUCUGGGUACCCUUUUACUUGGGCUCAUGGUAGAGGUCAACACCGGGUAGAGAAAAGAUUAGACAGAGCUUUGGGAAACAUCACUUGGCAGAAUCAUUUUCCUAAUUAUCAAGUCCAGAACUUAGUCUCAAGUAAGUCUGAUCACUCUCCUCUUUUUAUUCUCACUUCUCCCAGAAUUGAAAACCAGCGACAUCAACGUUUUCAGUUUGAGAAUAUUUGGCUAGAGGAAUCUGAUGUAGACGCUGUGGUAAGAGAGAGUUGGACUAGUCAUGAGGGUGUUGAUGUAACGGGGAAGAUAAAAGUUUGUGGAGAACGCUUACAGAGCUGUGGUAGGAGCUUAAAGCUUCGGUUUAGGCAUAAUGCAAAGAAGUUGACAGUGCAGCUUGAAAAUCUUCGAAUCAGGGGUAAUAUUGAACAGUUUGAAGAUGUACAGCGUAUGCUUGAUGAUGUUCUGCACCGUGAAGAGGUUUUCUGGUCUCAAAGAGCGAAAUCUCAUUGGUUAAAAUCGGGGGAUAUGAACUCUAGGUAUUUCCAUGCAACUGCUAAGAAACGGAAAAAGUUGAAGCAGAUUUUUCGGUUAAAGGAUGCUAAUGGCGAGUGGAUCAGUGACAACAAUUUGCUGAAAGGUAUGGUGAGUGCUUAUUUUGUUAAUCUAUUUGAGGCCGGGGAUGUUGACUUAAGUCCUGUUGUGGGUUUAUUCUCUCCUUUCGUUUCGGAUAAUGACAACUCUCGUUUACUUGGAGAUAUUUCGGUGGAUGAGGUACAAUUGGCUGCGAAAUAAAUGCAUGCAGAUAAAAAGCCCAGGGAUGGAUGGUCUAAAUCCUAGAUUCUACCACAGGUUUUGGGAUGUUAUGGGUCACGAUGUUGUCAAAAGUUGCCGAGACUGGUUCAAUAUAGGCAUUUUUCCUAAUAAUGUGAAUGAUACCUUAAUUGUGUUGAUUCCGAAAGUAGAGGACCCAGAGGCAGUGACGGAUUUUCGACCUAUUUCACUUUGUAAUGUAGUUUACAAAGUGUUUGCUAAGGUUCUGGCGAACAGACUGAAGACCAUUCUGCCUAAUCUUAUUUCAAUAUCUCAGUCGGCUUUUGUCCCGGGUCGGUUGAUCUCAGAUAAUGUGUUAGUUGCUUUUGAGUUAAUCCACUCUAUGCAAACAAGAAUGAAAGGUCGACAAGGAGUCUCUGCAUUGAAAGUUGAUAUCUCAAAAGCCUAUGACAGAGUUAAUUGGUGUUACCUACGGGCUGUUAUGCAGGGGUUGGGUUUUAGCCAGCGUUGGGUUGACUUGAUCAUGCUGUGUGUUUCCUCUGUUAAAUACUGGGUGGGAGUGAAUGGGGAUGAGGUUGGCCCCAUUAUUCCAGAACGGGGGUUGAGACAAGGUUGUCCAUUAUCACCCUAUUUAUUUAUUCUCUGUGCUGAAGGACUGUCAAAGCUAUUUAGUCAGUCUGAACGUGACGGUCGCCUCAAAGGCUGUAGAGUCUCGAGAGCUGCUCCUCAGUUAUCUCACUUGCUAUUUGCGGAUGAUAGUCUGUUCUUUUUUGAGGCAUCAUGGACUCAAGCUCUAGAGAUUAAAAAUAUUCUAGUUACUUAUGAAGCAGCUUCAGGUCAAACGGUUAAUUGGCAAAAAUCUGGUAUUUUUUUCAGCUCUAACACUUCUAAGCUGGAUAAGACUGCUGUUCAAGGGGUAUUUGGUGUGAUUGCUCCUUUAAACCACGGAAGGUAUCUCGGUUUGCCAUCAUUAAUUGGUAGGGUAAGGAGACGGAUUUUUUCUUUCUUGAAGGAUCGAGUGAGGAAGUUGGUCAGGGGUUGGAAUCAGAAACUCCUCUCCAAAGGGGGUAAAGAGGUUCUAUUAAAGGCUGUAUCACAAGCUAUUCCCUCAUUCUGUAUGAGUUCUUUUCUUAUACCGGUAUCUAUUUUAACGGAGCUUCAGCGGCUCAUGAAUUCCUAUUGGUGGGGAGGAAAGAUGAGAUGGUUGAGUUGGGAAAGGAUGUGUGUAGCGAAGGAAGACGGAGGUUUGGGUUUUAGACAUUUGCGAAGUUUCAAUCUGGCCUUGUUAGGAAAGCACUGCUGGAGGCUUUUACAUAAUACAAACUCUCUCUUUUAUAGCUCUUUCAAAUCUAAAUAUUUCCCUAGUGGGAAUUUUCUUGGUGCAGGCGUUGGACGUAAUCCAAGCUUUGUAUGGAGAGGGAUUUGUGUAGCCAAGGAUGCUAUAUGUUCAGGUUUUCGGUGGAGAAUCGGAGAUGGUCAGUCAGUAAAUGUCUGGACCGAACCGUGGCUAUUACAGGAUAAUCAGUUUCGGGUUCACUUGCCUAUUAUUUCUGGUUUUGAGCAUAUACGGGUUUCUGAUCUUAUUUUGGCACACGAGGCACGUGCUUGGAAUUUGCCACUGAUACAUGGUCUUUUCGAUCCUUCAAUUGCUGAAAUUAUUACUUCUAUUCCUUUAGUUACAAAUGUUCAUGACGACAUCCUUAUAUGGCAUUGGACAGACUCUGGGAUAUACUCUGUGAAAUCUGGAUACAGAUUAGUAGCGUCACAAUAUGUGGAUCCUGAAGAUGUUUGGCGGUCGAGUUUUUGGAAAAUUCUUUGGUCACUGAAAAUUCCGCCAAAAGGGAGGCAUUUUCUCUGGAGGUGCUGUCGAGACAUUCUGCCAGUUAAAGCAAAUUUGGCAAGAAGGGGACUGGAGCUUGAUACAGGAUGCGAUUACUGUGGUAAUACUGAAACGCUAGUUCAUGCUCUUGUUGAAUGUCCACGAGUGAGCUUUUGUUGGCAAUUUUUUGUUAUUCAGCUUACUACUUGGAAUUUUCCAACUUUCUUACAACUGGUGGAACAUUUACACAAGGUGUGGGAAAACAAAUUUUUUGAAAGUUUUGUUAUGGGACUUUGGAGUGUUUGGUCAAGCCGUAAUGAGCUGAAAUGGAAUCAAGUGGAAGAAGGACCUUAUCAUGUGGUUACUCGAGCCAGAAGUAUGCUCGCAUCUUGGAAGAAAGCCCAGCUGAAGUCGUCAGGUUCAAGUACAGGUACAGAUGCUCCUGUAGGUAGUCGAUGGUUUCCACCACCUGUUGGUACUAUUAAACUAAAUUUCGAUGCCACUCUUCUCCCUUCUAUUGGCCAUGGAGUCGUUGGUGCUGUAAUUUCAAAUUGCAACAGCGAGUUUGUAUCAGCAGCAAUGUCCUCACUGCAAGGUUGUUCUUCUCCAGCAGUAGCAGAAGCUCAGGCGCUAAGAACAGUGUUGUCUUGGUUGCUAUCGAGCUACCCCAGCCUGAAGAUUCAGAUUGAGACCGAUUGUCUGCAAGUUUACUGUGCUAUGAGGAAUUCUGUCCAAGAUUGGACUGAGUUUGGAGUAAUUAUUUCUGAAUGUAAGCUAUUAUUAGUCCAAUUGUCAAAUAUCACAUUGGCUUGGAUUAGAAGACAAGCAAAUGAUAUAGCUCAUAUAUUGGCUAAAUCAGUUCCUCAUGGAGCUUGUUUUCGAACUUGGGAUAUUGUUCCCGCUUGUAUUGCUCAUUUUUUCUCUUAAUAAAUAAAUGACCAAUAUUAAAUGUCAAAAAAAAAAAAAAAAGCUUUUCCUUAAUCAUUUUAACAAGUAUGGCUGUGUUUUUUAUGCUGCUUUUAUAUGCUAAUUGCUAUUUUUUUACGGUGUCUUAUAAUAUAAUUUUGAAUUAGUUUUAAAAGUUUUUACGGUGUCCCAUAAUAUAACUUUUCAACUAGCUUUAGAGUUUAAGGUAGUCUUUUGUGAAAAGUUAAUUCAUAUAAUGUUUAGCUUGUAAUAUUUAAUUAAAAGCUACUAAAAUAGCUAACAGCUAAAUGCUAUUAAAACAGUUAACAACGCCCAAAAUAAUUAAUUUUGCCAAACAAAUCCAAGCACAUUCAUGAAUUCUAGAUAGUAGAUGAAUGGAGGCUACAAUUGUUAAUAUAUAAAUAUAUAUAUGAGAUAAAAUUAAAAGAAUUUAUUAAAAUUAUAAAAAUGGUCAAAAUUGAGAUUUUAACCCUUUAUUAUAAAAGUUUUAAUCAAUUUAAUUAUAAUUAGUAUCAACUGAAAAAAUUAUUUGGUUUAUUAAUUUCUAUUAUAUAUAAAAUAUAAAGCAAAGUAUAUAUAAAAGAGAGGAUUUGUAUUCUAAUUAAUCUAUAAUUAGAAAUUUCGUCUAUCUCAAUUCUUUUAAUCUGAUUGGAAUCAAUAAAAAUUUGAGAAAAUAAAUAGUUAUAUGGCCUAAUAAUGCAAUUUGUGACUUGUUACAAUCAUAAUAUAUUUAAUUUUUUGAUAAACAUAUAUUUUAAAAUAAAACUUAUACUAUACGAUUGAAAUUAGGAAAAAAAAAAUGAAUUACAACAUUCAAAAUUCAAGGUAUUUCACAUCUCAAAGUAUUAAUUCCAACCUAUAUUUAAAUAGGGUGUAAUUAUAAUAAUAUUAAGAGCUUUGCUAAAUGUCACAAGUUGUUAACACAAUUAUGCGCAUUUACAAGUACAUCUUUCGUGCAGCAUCAACAAUAUCUAAACUGCUGCUAAAAUAUUUUUAAGGGUAUUACAGUAUUUUCAUUUAUGUUAGAUAUGUCACAAGUUGUGCUAAAAAUACUUUCCGUAAUAUUAAUAGGAUGUAAUUAUAAAAUUUAAAUUUCAAAAUACUUUUACACCUUAAAACAAUUAACCAAUUUUUGAAUCUUUCUUCUAAUUUAUCCUAAAAAAUUUUAACUACUACAAUACUAUAGUUAUCAAAGAGAAACGACAUAUUGAUUUCUAUACACAAUUACCAACAUUACAAGUAUUUUUCCAUCUGUGUUGCUAUAGCGACAAAGUACUAAACUUAGGUAAGUUAGAAAUUUAGAAUAUGUAAUUAAAAGAAACUAUUUACCAUUCAAAACAAAAGGCAACUAUAAACUAAAUAGGGUAAUUCAGUGCCAAAGAGCAUUAAUAGGAUUGAUCAUUAUGGUUCAGGUCAUGGAUUUAAUUCUCUAUAAUACAAACUCCUCCUUAUAGUUUAGGUCAUGGAUUCAAUUCUCCGUAACGCAAACUCUUCCGAAUCAGCUAUUUUGCCUCCAAAAACGAACAAACACAGUUCUAAAUAUCUUGUGCAAAUAUAUAUAUAUAUAUAUAUAUAUAUAUAUAUAUAUAUAUAUAUAUAUAUAAAGGUACUAUGAAUUAUUAUUGCGGCAAUUUUUCGCUUAAUGAGGCUAGACUGAUAAAGUUUAAAUUCUUUUACAAAUUUCAAUAACUUUAUAGUUGUCAAAAGGCGAAAAAUAUAAAUUAAUUAAUUAUUUUAGGGUGUCAACUGUCAAGUAUUAAUCAAAUUUUUACAUUUUAUAGAUGCAAUCUAUUUCAAUUAUAUAGUGCAAUUAGUCUAAAGUUAUUAUUUAUUGAAAAAAUUUUGUGAUAAAUUACAAAUUUUAGGGUAUUGUUAUGUUCUUUUUAGUUAUCCGAUAAAGUGUAAAAUGUAGUAAAAGAUUAAUUUGAAUUGAUAUCAAGUAAUAAGUCUAUAACAAGAGGGAGGGAUACAUAAAAUUUAAAUUCAAUAAAUCUAGUUAGGUAAGAAAAUAUGUUAAAUUAAUAUAUUUGAAUUUAUCUAUAUUCAUGAUAUAUGAAUUUACUUAUAUAUUAAAUUAAUUAAAAAUACAAUUUUAAUUGUAAUUAGAAUAUUUCUGACUUUUAUUGGGAGAAAAAGAAUAUAAUAGAAACACUAUUUUGGAAAAUCCUUUAUAAGGACCGACUCCAUAUAAGUGGAGCACAACGAGACGCGCAUAUAAUUUAAUUUUUAAUUAAAUAAAGCAAAAUUGCGGAAGGGAAGGAUCAGAUACAGGCGGUAGUUCUCUACCACUAACCACAUUCUCACUCUACAUUUAGACAAAAUUGUGGGACCCAAGAGACUGACAACGUUACAAUUUAGGUUUCACAAAUAAGCUUUGUCCGGAUUCGUGGGUUAAGCGGCGGAUGCUCCAUUCUACUCUCUGACGUAACCCUUCUUAAUCUGCCAAUAACCGCGCUCUUCUAUUUCAACUCCCGUCUUUAUCCGCUGCCUUCUUUUAACAUUCACACUGCUCAACAAGCAACGCAUCUGACAGACUGCUUGUCUCCUCCCACGUGUACUCGUCCCUCAUCCUGGCGAGAUUCUAUUGGUAGUUACGGUUUUCUGGAUUCCGUACAUUAUACAACAGGUUUUUGUAGGAUUUUCUUAGAUAGUGCGUCUUCACAUGGCUCUGGCCCUUCACUGACUUUUAUCUGCAAUCAGAUUUUGCCACGUCUGCUAUCCUUAUCUCAAUUCGCGUUCUGAUCGUCAUUAAUUUUCUUUUAAAAGGAAAAAAACCAUAAUAAUUCCUUUUCUAUUUUCUUUUUUUUGACCGUUUGGUGAGGUCGUGGCCACACCAGGCUGGAUACAGCCUAUAGAAAAUAAGCCUGCAAGAUUAAAUGGCAUUUUAUUUUCCUAAAGAUAAGCAAAGAAUUCGAAAUUUUUAAUUAUGUAAUUCAUUUACGAUUUUGAAUUUUCUUUCUAUUUGCACAAUUUGGUGCAUUAUAGAAGGACGUGGCAUUAAUUCCACACACUUGUAUAAAAAAAAUAUUUGAAAAGUAAAUGAUAUAUUAUUAAAAAGUUGUAAUAAAUAUAUUUAUAUUUUUAGAGAUUCAUUGAGCAGAGAGUAUGGCGGAAUGGUUAAAUAGUUGGUAGAAUAGAAAGAGAGAGAGAGAGAGAGGUAAUCGUCAGCUUUGCUGACUCGAAACUAAAGCCCACAUGACGAGUGUGAUUGUGUGCUUUCCUGAUGUCAGGCUCAGUUCUCCACUCCGCCUUAUUAUUGGUCAAAAAGAAAUACUCUCCUUCCACCAUUUAUUUUCAUUUGAUAACUUCAAUACUUUAAUUAAUUAAAUUUUAAAAAAUUGUCCUGCCACCACCAAUAAUGGUGUCUUGACUUUGGACUGGUGACUAAACUAGGGAGGAGACCACACAAUUCCAUGUCUCCUAUAAUAUUGGGCCUGAAAUGGGACGGACCAUACCAUUUGGGCUUGACAGAAUAGCCCAGCUUGAUAUAUACAAAUCUAGCAAGUACACUACUUUCCAUAGCUUCUUUAAGCACAUUUCCUUCUUCUGGAAUCCCCAAAAAAACCACACCAAGCAACCAUCGAAACAAAUCGCAAGAGUAUUUUAACAAUGGAUCAACUGAUCUUCCUCGUUUAUCUCUAACAUCAACAGACCUUAAUUACCGUGAAACUAGCUAUUCACAACUACAUUACUUUCUCCGAAUUUCACGUUUAAAUACGCUGCGUUUUGAGAGAAGAAAGAAGGAAUUUGGAUGGUUGAUAACUUGACAUGAAGAGGAGAGUAAAAAACGGGUGAGCAAACUCUCUGACAAAGCAUUUAAACUCAGCUGCACACUACCCCUUAGACAGCCAAUUGUACAUACAGUACAGCAACCUCUCAUGUGCCAGUAAUAAUAUAAGUUAAUAAGCAAGGAAGCAAGCUGUCAUUCUUAUGUAGCACAUGCCAAACAGUCAAACAUAUUAAGUUGGUUGGACAGCUUAAGGUCGAUGUGAGAGAUCUACCAUUUUUCUUUUUACCUUGCUUUAAAUUAUAUACUACUAUUAUUCAAUUAACAUUGAUUUUGAUAAUCACAAAUUUAUGCCAGUUGCCCUAAUGUUUAGCGAUCUCCCAUUUUUCUAAUUUUACCCUUUUAACAUUUUCAACUUUUAUUUUUGCAGAUUAGACACUCAACUUGAUUAUAUAAUUACAUCUAUUAAAUAAUUUAAUUAGUAAAAUUAGACUAAUUGAACACCUACUUGAGUAAAACAACUCGCUGAACUGAGUUGAAAACUGAACCAAUAUUGUUCAAUUUAUUAAUUAUUGGUCCCCUGCUCGUUAGACACUUGAAAAUUUUAAAUGAUUAUUUCGAAAUUUAUAUUAAUCAUACAUAAAAUUAAUAUUUGCAUGUCAAAACUUAAAACCCAAAAAAAUUAUUAUUAGCGGUGCACAAAAGUGUACAAUAUUACCGAAAUUCAUAAUUUAGAAACACAAUAUGCCUCUUAAAGUUGAAAUUGAUGCAAAGUUAAAAUAAUGAAGUUUAGAAGUAAAUUAUGUGUUAUGCCACAAACUGACACAUAUGUUUAUAAACUUACGGGUAUUUUCAACUUUUUAUAUUAACCUAUUUAUAUCCUUCAACUGAGAAAAUUGCAGCUAUUGAUACCUCCAUUUAUAAAAUUACAUGCAUUUUACAUGUUUUUCAAUUAUCAAAUAUAAGUUCAUAAGUGCAAAACUUCGUGCAUUUUUUAACAGAAAUUAUUGAAUAGUAUUUUCUGCACUUUUUUAAUCUCCAAGAAGUAUAAUUUGAUAAGUGAAAAUAUUCUGUAAGUGUAAUUUUAAAACUUAAUUCAUAUAAUUUUAUAAGCUGAUAGAUUUGCAAGGUAACAUAUAAAUUAGAGUCCACAGUAGAAUUUUUUUUCCAAAGUUGACGUUUCGAUUUAAGCAUUUGGCCUUUUUAUCUUGUUAUAAUUACUUUCGAUAGAGGUCAUGUGUUUAUCAUAAAUUCUCGAGACAAUAUAGAGCUACCUCCAUUCUUGCAGAAGCGAACUACCUUAUGGUUUCAUUCAUUGCAUUUAAUACAAAAACUAUUCCUGCAUCUUUUAUCAUGCCUAUAAAAGGACCCCCUGAUCAAAUUUUCAGACAACUACCACUGGUCUUGCAACAAACAGAGAUGGCAGCAACGGCAAGGCAGUUUUCUUGCGUGCUUUUUCUUGUUCUUGCAAUUGCUCAUGCAAGUGCAAGAAAUACGCCUAAAGAAACUGCAGGUCUCGAUGAUCAAAAGAAUGUGGUUGUAUUUGGCGGUUUAGGUGGCUUCGCUGGUGUUGGUGGUGGUAUUGGAGGUGGUAUUGGUGGUGGUCUCGGUGGUGGUAUUGGAGGUGGGCUGCCUGAUCUCGGUGGCACAGGCGGUGGGAUUGGUGGAUUAGGUGGUUUGGGAGGAGAUACAGGGAGCGGUGGAGGUCUUGGUGGUGCUAUUGGUGGUGGUGGGAUUGGCGGUGGUCAAGGUGGUUGUGCUGAUGGUGGUGCUGGCUCUAUCCUUAACCCUUGAUUCCAUUUCAUGGGAUUUUUUAUGUUUAGUGUUUCUGUUGCAUGCAGAUGCAGUUAGUACAUGUGUUUAGUUACUUUUCUGUUUUAUUCACUGUUGAUUUUUUUUUCCCUUUUCCUUUUUUUAGUAUUGUUCGCUGUUUUAUUGUUUUGGAAUUUUAUUAGUAAUAUUUGCCAUUUCUUUACUAAAAUAAUUAUCAAAUUACUUUCACAGUUUGUUCUUAAUUAAUUGUGGAUCAUAAAUAAUUUCAAUUUUACAACAAUGUCUUAACUAACAUAAUAAACAAUCUUAAUCUCGUAAGAGUGAAAAUAUAAAUUUAAUAUAGAGCAGCAGAAUUCUAAUAAAGACAAAACUCUUAUGCGCUAUGCUCAAAAGAGAGUUUAUUCACGCAAAAAAUGGUGAAACAACGGCUCCUAUAUAGUUUUACAACUAAAAUGAUUUAAUUUGAUAGUCAAUUCUGAUUAAAGGAUACGGGAUCUUUGCCAUUCCAUAUCACUCUUCAGAGGUAAAUGAUAUGGUUCUUGAAUUGUCUAAUUUUAGCAAGUUCAUUGGAACUACUAGUUAAUUAACAGUCAAUUCUGAUUAGAGAAUUUUAGAGACGUAUUAAUAUUAAGAUAUGUUUUCAAACGGUUUAAUUAAUGGAAAUAUAUUGUAUAUGUUUUCAAGUAAUUUUUACUCCAAAGAUUAAAGGAUCCAAAAUUUUAAAAUCAUAACUUUUAGAAAUAUUUAUUUAAAUAUUACUCAUAACCGGAUGUGAAUUGUUCUAUAUAUAUUAUUAAUUUGUUGUUGAGCUAAAAUGCCCAAUAUUUUAUUAGUUGCAAGAAGGACCGGCAACCCUCUAAUACUUCAAGAAUAAAAAUUUCAAAUACAUCAAAAAUGAAAAUAGUGAAAUAAAAAACAUAAUGAUGUGAUUUUAAAAUAAUAUCUAUUGAUAUAAAAAUAAUUGUUUUAACAUUAGAAUGCAUAUAUUAUUAUUGAUAUAUUUCUGAUAAAUGUAAUUUGAAUUUAAUGGAUGAUACGAUCAUUUUUAUAUUAUAGUAAACCGAGGAGAAGAUCCAUCUCCUACCUUUCCUUUCCUUCCAAUAAUAUACAUAUCAGAAAUGAAUCAGAUUCGUACAUUAAUUAUUAAUACAUUGGCUUGGCUUCCAACUACUUGUCAUUGUUCAAUGCCUGUGAAAUUUAAAACUUCUCUGCUGCUUUCAGACUUUCAGUUGGCAUGUCUUCAUCAUUUUCUUUUUUUUUUUUUCAAAAAAAAAAAUUUUAUUAUUAAAUUUUUUUAUAUAUUAAUUAAAAGUUCUUUGAGCAAGAGCCUAAGAUCGAGGUGUCUCUCAAAAUUUGAAAAUUUUCUAAAAUAUAGUACUAAAAAUAACAAAUAACAGGCUUAGCUUAAUGAAAUGUGAUACCUAUAAUAUAUAAAAUAAAAAAAAAACCAAAUAACAUUUUUUUGGGAAAAAAAAAAGGAAAUUCGAAGGAUACAUAUUAAGGGUUAAAUAAAAAGAUUGGUAAUAAUAAAGUAAUUAGGUUAAUAGACUUUCUUGCUGUAGCUUAUUAUGAAAAAAAAUAAUUGAUAUAAUUGAAUUUUUAAUUUUUUUUUUAAUUCAUUGGAGGUUUUUAUAGGCCGAAAUAAUAUUGCAGGUUACAAAAAGGGGUAGCCCUUUCCUUGACUCACCAAAUUGGUGAAAACAACUAUAGUCGAGAGAAUUCGAACUCGAAAUCAAUCAAAUCACCACCUGAUCGGCACAAUUGAACUUUUAAUUGAAAUAUAUAAUUAACUUGAUUUGAUAUUAUAUGAAGUGUUAUUGCAUGAUAUUAUUAAUUUUUAGAAUCUUAAUUAUUGAAUAUUUAAAUUUGUAGUAUGAGAAAUUAUCAUAUUCACAUAUAUAUUUUAUCUUCCAUUUCUUUGUCUGUGUUACUUGUCGCAGCAGGAAGCACCAAUGCAUGGCUCACAAUCUGCCACUAAUUUUCCCUCUGCUAAAUUAUAAAUGCCAUUAAUUCUGGCUGUUGAUCUCCCCGUAACAUGUACUAAAGAAAAAAAAAAAAAAAAAACUCACUUUACAAGAAAAAAAGGAUUAAUCAUGGAUAUACCAUUUACUUGUAUUUAACUCCAUUUACUGCUUUCAACCAUUCCAUACUGCUUCAUUUGCCGCUCCUUUUGCCUUUAAAAAGGGCUUCACAAAAACACUUUGAGAUAUCCCUAGAGAAACAGAGGAGAGAGACAGAGAAAGAUGGCUAGGUGGUGUCUUAGUGUUAUGGUUGUGCUUGCUUUAGUAGCUGUGCAAACUAGUGCUAGAAACGUUCCUAAAGUUGAAAAUAUGGCUACUACCAAAACUAAUGUGCCUAGUAAUAAUGCUGGUCUAAAUGACCAAAAGAACUUCCUCACCUACGGUGGUGUUGGUGGCUACAGUGGUCUUGGUGGUAAUGGUCUUCCAUUCGGCGGGGUUGGAGGACUUGGUGGAGUCACUGGCCUAGGUGGCACUGCCGGCAUUGGUGGGUUUGGUGGAGUUGGUGGUGGAAGUGGUCUUGGUGGCCUUGGUGGCUUGGGUGGUGGUGUUGGUGGUUUGGGUGGCGUUGGCGGUGGCGGUGGCGUUGGCGGCGGUGUUGGCGGUGGCGUUGGCGGAGGCGUUGGCAGUGGAACUGGCGUUCUUCCUUAUCCAUGAAAAUAUUGAUCUCAUUUCUGGUUUAUAGCCAGGGUUUAUGAAGAACUCUAUUUUUAUGCAUGGUUAUUAAGUUGGUUGUGUUUGAGGGUUUAUGUAAUGGUUUAAUUUUAAUUACUUUAUGUUUUGCUUGUUUAUUAGGGUUAGUUGGGUGUGUCUCUUUACUUUGAGUUCGAGAUUUUCAUUGUCAUGUUUAUGUUUGAGUGGAUCAUAGUUACAGAAACUUGAGUUUAAUUAAUGAGUUCAUGUUUAUUAUAUUGUGUUCGUGUUUAAUUUUUUUUGGUUCAGCUAAUUUUCAUUUUAAGAUACAUUUUGAUAUGAUUAAAAACAAC